UGGGUGAACCUAAUCACAAGUUGCAAAUGCAAGCUGAAUCUCCUCUAAACAAUCGGUCUCGACUAUCACUUGCGGGAAGUUAUGAUCCAGAACAAUUUGAACUGCUGAACGCUUAAUACAAAGCUUGGCGAGGAGGAAAUUUGAAGUGCCCAAAGUUACUACAAAAACCCAAAAUUAAGCUCCGCUUUGUAUGCAUGAGAACUCGACUACAACCACCGGUUUAUCCACUCUAAACAGUAACUCAUAUGAUAGAAACAGUACCUUUUGGAAAUAAAUUUGUUUUAUUAUGUGACCCAUAAAGUAUAGCUUAAAAAUUCAAUCAUUAUAUAAUUUCAUAUGUUAAAUAAUAUUUUUUUCUUCUAUUCAAGAAAUUAAACCAAUGUUACCAUAAACUUCAUUUAAAAAAAAAAGCACAAAGAGGACUUUAUUUUUAAAAAUUUACAAGUCUAUCUGCAACAUUAUAUGGAAGGAUAAAUAGCGACAAGUAUUAAAAUAAUUUGUGAAGGAUAGCCUUUUUUUUAAAUCGAACAUUUUUACUUUUAUGAUUUUUAUCUUUUCUUUCUUCUACACGUUCUCUUUAUUUCAUUUCCCCCCCUUUUUCUCUGAGGCCAUUUUUCUUUUUCUUUUUUUGCUCUGAAUUAUGAAAAUUUGAAUAACUCAUGUUCACGCCAUAAUGGUUGAACUGUUGAAGAGAGUGAAAAACGAGGGAACACGCAACGUUUGCCAUAGGGGAGUACUCACAGCUAUAACGAACUCUUCUCCCACGCAUUUCCCGCCCUAUAUAAAUUCCCUCCUUCGCUUCUUCAACACUCAUUCACAAUUCAAAUUUCCCUCUCUUUCUCUCAUCUCUUUCUUCAGUCGAAUUCAAAUUUUCUCUCCAUCGCCACCAUGCUUGCGACGCUGAAGUAAGCCACAGCUUCUUCAUCCACUCUCUUCUCCGUCUCGCAGUUUCAAUUCUACCUCAGUUUCUGAUCGGCGAUGAAUGACUUUUGUGUAACCUUGCUCUCUUUUUCAGAUCUGAAGACUCCAGCGGCCAGUUGCAGCUCGUUGAACGUGAAGACAUCGACGAUGAAGAUGACCUCUUCGAAGCCAUCGACAAACGUAACUUCUUCUCUCAGCUUCGUUUUCUUCCGUUGCUUUUCUAGAUCUAUUUACCAGAAACCGAUCUCUGUAAUUCGAUCGUAAAUUCUUCGUUCUGAACUGUUUUUGUCUUCAUUUUCAAUUUCCCUGCUAUGCGCUAAGAGAUUUCGUCAGAUGCACUAUUUCACUGAGAAAAUCACUUGCAAUUACGAAAUCUUCAUCCUCACCUGUACUUGUUUACAUUCUCUCUGGUUUUUGUUGAAAUUUUGACUAUACACUCUGUUUCAUCGAAUACCGAGUUAGUUUGCAAAGCACAAUUAUGUCAUCGUUUGAUUAUUUGAAAACGGAAAUUGUAUUGUCAUUGAUUGAUUCACGAGAAUUUGCUUCUUCACAGUGAUUUCUCAAGGCAUUAAUGCCGGAGAUGUGAAGAAGCUUCAGGACGCAGGAAUAUACACCUGCAAUGGCUUGAUGAUGCACACAAAGAAGGUUUAGUUUUAAACACAGAUCUGCUUGACUUAGAAUUUCUCUGCAGUUCUAUGACUAUCUAACUUAAUUUUGCUGCAUGUUCGUAGAACUUGACUGGAAUCAAAGGUCUAUCUGAGGCCAAGGUUGAUAAGAUCUGUGAAGCUGCUGAGAAGAUUGUGGUUAGUGAUCGUAAUAUCUGGUUUCUAAGUUGCUUCAGAAUACUGUUUCAGUUCCUUGUUUAUAAUUCGAUCUUCGUUUCUAUUUUCUCCUUUUGCGAUGCAGAGUUUUGGUUAUAUGACCGGAAGUGAUGCAUUGCUGAAAGUAUGUCGUUUAUUUUGCUUGGAAAUUUUGAAAUAUGGACUAGAUCUGCAUAUCUCUAACAUUUUGGUGGUUUUGUUAAGCGUAAGAGCAUUUGUGAUCCGAAUUAAUUGUAAUCUGUUAAUGCAGAGAAAAUCUGUGAUCCGAAUUACCACUGGAAGCCAAGCUCUUGAUGAAUUGCUUGGAGGUUGAUUUACGCUGAGAUUUUUCUUUUCUUAUGUAGACUUGUGUUUUACUGAUCGUAUGACUCGUUCAUUUUGACUGUGUUAUGCUCCUCUUUGAAUUGCUCUUUCUGAUAUUUGAAAUAGGUGGGAUCGAGACAACUUCGAUUACUGAAGCAUUUGGAGAAUUCCGGUGAGAACAUAGCACAUAUCUGGUUUCAGAAUUCAGAUAAAUUCAAUUCAUACUCAGUUUCUGAAAAAGUUCAUCCUAAUGAUAUGAUUUUUUUGUUGCAGAUCUGGGAAAACACAGCUUGCUCACACUCUCUGUGUUUCCACUCAGGUUUACUUCUAUUAGGUGUUGUUAAUUAGUAUUUGUUAAUUGUCAUUGAACCUGUUCUCUCAAGCUAUCUACUGUAUUAGAGUGGGUGAACAGAAUGUUGAACUUAGAUGAAAUGCUAGUGUUUUUCUGAAGCGCCUUGUAUCUCUUGUAUUGUAUCAUUGUAUGCAUUCAUAGCUUCUCAGGCACUGAAUUUUGUUUAUGCGUUUGUCCUGGCCGCAUUUUCUCGCCCAUUGAUAUAUUUGGUGCAUACUACUAACCUCUGAUGACCCCUGCAGCUGCCAAUUAAUAUGCGGGGAGGCCAUGGAAAAGUUGCAUACAUUGACACAGAAGGAACUUUGUAUGCCUUUUUCCCUUAGCAUUAUGUAACUUCUAAGAACUUUUGGUUGUGAUUGUGCUUUUACUUACUAGUGUUUUGUCUUCAUUCUCAAAUACCUGUAGCCGACCUGACCGUAUUGUCCCCAUAGCUGAGAGAUUCGGCAUGGAUCCUGGGGCUGUUCUGGAUAAUGUAAGUAUUUCCUGGAUCAUUCAGUUGGGUACUGAAGGGAAAUAACUUUGUGCUGAGUUGCUGACUUCUUACCAUUGUCUAUUUGUGACUGCAAGAUUAUCUAUGCUCGUGCUUACACUUAUGAGCAUCAGUACAACCUCCUCCUUGGUUUGGCUGCAAAAAUGUCUGAAGAACCAUUCAGACUUCUGGUGAGAUGUUACUAAAAGAGAACAGAGUUAUCUUCCAUUGCAAUACUAUGAGAUAUGGAGAGUUAACAGAAUUGAUUUAUGGCAGAUUGUAGAUUCAGUGAUUGCUUUGUUUAGGGUGGACUUCUCAGGAAGAGGAGAGCUCGCUGAGCGCCAGGUAUAUGAAUCUGUCAUUUAAAUGCACUUUACAACAGCUUUUUUCCUUUUCUAUAUCAAUUUUUGCUGAUAUGAACAAUAACCAUUGCAGCAAAAACUGGCACAAAUGCUUUCUCGAUUGAUAAAGAUAGCUGAGGAAUUCAAUGUUGCAGUUUACAUGACAAAUCAAGGUAUAAAUUCUGCACUUGUGUAUGAAACUUCCCCUGUGAACUCUUCCCUCUCAAGUCCUAGAUGAUUUUCUCAAUGGUUUUGUUUAGAACAAUAAGCAGAGGUAUUUGAUUUUUAGUUAUGGCUUUUAUAAGACUAAUGCUUAUCUACAAAAAAAAUUUGUUGUUUUGGUUGCAGUCAUCUCUGAUCCAGGAGGUGGAGUAUUUGUGACUGAUCCAAAGAAACCCGCAGGAGGGCAUGUGCUAGCCCAUGCGGCCACAAUAAGGCUGAUGUUUAGGAAAGGGAAAGGGGAGCAGCGCAUUUGCAAAGUGUUUGAUGCCCCAAAUCUGCCAGAGGCUGAAGCAAUAUCCUUUAUCAGACUUUGCCCCUUUAAAAUAAUCUGCUAGUUGAUCAAAAAGACUUUAGUUCACUGAAAGUUUGUGGUUUAUAAUCUGCCUCAGAUCAGUAGUUAUGAAAUUAUGGCUGUUAAAACAACUUGAAAUUAACUUUUACUUAACACUGUAACAACAAAAAAACUUUUACUUAACACUAAAUAACCAGCCACAAGUGAUUUUUUAUGGCUAAAUUACCAUGAAGGCCAAUGAAACCAAUUACACUGCCUUUGAGAAUGAGGAAACCAUUAUCUGUAUUAUCUGCAUGUUUUUUUCCUUGACAAUAGCUACGUGUUCCAGAUAACAGCCGGAGGCAUUGCAGAUGCGAAGGACUGAAAGGUCGUUACCUCCAACUUCUGAGGCCAUUCCACGAUGGAGACUAAUAUUCAUAGUAACUUUAAUCUUCCUUAUAUUUGCUUAUAUUUGUAUUAAGACUUAAGAGUACUGUUGCUUGAAGGUGUUACUACUUACUACAUUCCAGAGAUAUUACGUGAAUAUUUUAUAUCUUUAUAUCUUAUUAUAUACAUUUCCUUCGUUUUUAGCAGUGCAUAUUUUGCAAUUAAAACGUAGCUAAACAUUUCAAAAUCUUUGCUGCCACUGAUUUUCUGGAGAGAUCCCACUUUGAAUAACAGUUAAAGUAGGGCACAUAAUAAACCUAAAUAAAUAAGAUCAAACUAAAGCAGCAAAUAGUCUUUAUUUAGGAUGAAUCAGAACGCAAGUCAAUAUUAUUACAUGAUAGGUGCCAAUAGAGUAUGAGCCUCACUAUUUGCUUGCAAACAACUUUGUCUAGCUUAAUGAAAUCAUAUCACGGUUCAGCCAGUAAACUAAUAUGAUAAGCUAUCCCUUGCUAGAGCCUCUCAACAUUAAUCAUAUGAUGGGAAUAGAUUACUUGAAUUUGAAAAUACAUAAUAAAACCCGUACUUCAAAUAGAGGAGUUGCAAUUAGAUAUUAUUAGACCAGUUAGCAGCACUCCCAACCCUUGGCAUGCCAGUUGUUUCCUUCUUAGCAUCAGCAUCCACCUUGAAAGUGGCACCACACAUCUCUCCAGAACUGUCAACCCUAGGUACAGCCUUCAUCUCAUUUAGUGGAUGCUCAAAACUGCUCAAACCUCCAGAUGUUGAAAAGAAACAUCCUGAAAUGUGAUAAGAUACAUACGUUACCUCUCGCAUGAAACCAUUGUAUGUGCCAAAUAUAUAAAAGCUAGACAAUCUACAGUCAAUUACAGGAGAAGAGGAACUUGAAACGAAAUCGAUGAAUUGCUACGUAAACAAUAAUAAAAAGCCAAACAAUGUCAAUGUCUACAUUUCCCAUUUCCAAGCCAUUCAUUGAACUCCUUAUUCCUUUCUUUCUCUCGAUUCACUCUUCAUAUAUUUUUAAAAGUGAGGUACACUGGGGAUUUAUAUUAUCAAACUACCUUUUAACAGCAAAUCAUAGUAUUAUUACCUUUAGGAAACGGUGCAGAGGAUUUCCCACAGCUUUUAGCAACAAUCUCAGUCUCAUCUGAAAGAACAAGGUUUCCAUCCGCAUCAGUUCCCCAGAAGAAGGGAACACUUCCAUCAUCAUCCUAUAAAGGACCACAAUAUGCAUACCAGGUUAGAGAAGCAAACGAGUGGCAAAUGUACAGCAGAAAAGACUGAGCAAGGAUAACUCACAGAAGAAAUGAAUGCGGUUUUAGAGCCACUGUCAAACAGAACAAAUGUAAAUUUGCCUUGGAAAUCUCUCACAACCUGAGCAGCAGGAUAGGGACCGCGAUCUCUUAGAGUCCUGUAUGCCUCUAUGACAAUGAUCACUUCAUUUGCUGUUUUAUUCAAUCCAUACUGUUGCUUAAGAUGGGCAACAUUCUGAAUGUGGCCUUGAAACAAGCAGAAGAUGUCAUCCACAACCGCAAACAGCCUACAAAGGUAAGAAUGAGGGGAAAAUUCAUAUAAGGAAUCACAUGAAUGCUAAUAAAGUAAGAAAAGAUAAAAUCCACUCUCAUCAUAACAUUAGACCAUUCCUAAAUUUGCCCAAAUUAAGCUCUAAUAAGAUUAAGAAUGACUUUGAAGUGAAGAUCAUAUGUUCAUGAAAAACAAGUAUAGCUUAAAAAUCACUAUAAGCCAUAAGAUCUUCCAUUACAAGUAUGGGGUUUAAAUUGAUAACACAAACUUAUAUGAACAGGUUAAAUUUAUCAGUAUAGUAAUGUAAUAAUCAAGAAACCCUCAAGAAAAUCAAAGGGGUUUUAUCAAACAAGUUUCAUCCUUUUCAAUCUAAUCUCUCUCCUACUCAAAAUGUCUAAGAAGAUCAUCCCUGAGGGAAAAAAAACAAAGUAACCUAGAUCAAGACAUCAACAUAGAGUUAAACAUAAGACACAUAGAAUAGAAUCAUGGAUUAUCAUUUUCUUUUUCAUCUAAUCCAAAAUGACUCAAAAUAUUCAAGAAAAAUAAAACGGGGUAGUGCACCUUGGAAGGAGAGGGUUCUGUUUGUGAAGAGAAUAGGCCAAGGUACCAGAAGUGCCAAGGUUGACGAUGACGGAACCAGGGUAAACAGAGGAGAAGUGCUGCGCCAAAAACCCAUCUUUCAGCGCUGACACGGAGUUUGACUGAGGGCUUUGCAGUGCCUCAGGACCCUUUGCCACCGAUUUGUCGAAAACCGCCAGCAUUUUUCGUGGAUCGUUGAAAUAGAAAGCGAAGAUGAAAGGAACGAAAUAUGGUUUUGCAGUAGUGGAAGAAGAUGCUCAAGAUUGUACUGUGUAGAGAGAGGGUUACAUAUAAAACCUGUGCGAUGGAAACUGAAUUACCCAUCAUACCCCUGCUUUGUUUGGAUAAUUUUCACAAAUUGCCUUUUUUCUAUGGUCAGAUGCGGUUCUAACUUCCAUUUUCUACUAACGACCAUUUUGUUGUCUCCUAGUCUAGGUUUUUUUUCUUCCUUUUUUCGGGUAUAUAUUUGGAUUGUUUGGAUUUUUAUUCUUCAAUUUUAUGUAGUCAUUAAUUUUUUAUAUAAGGUCAUAUCAUAGUUUUUAUAAGAAAAUCAUGUAUUUUAUUCGUCUAAUGGCAUGUGUCAUGAGUUCCUAUAUUAAAUAAAAUGAUUUGAUAUACACAUAUUGUCAUUGAUAUACGAUCGUGACAUGUGUCUUGUAGAGAUUUCAGGAAUUUCGUCAUGGUCCAAUAAUAUUGAUUGAUCACUCCACAAUAGGAAUGAGACAUGACUUUAGGAAGUAAUUGAGGACAGCAAAACGGGAAUGAUUUGAUACUUUUUUAUGAAAUUAAAGCUUAAUGCUAUUGUAUGAUUUUUUUAAUAAGUAAAUUAGUCUUUUCUUAUGGUUCGAAUCCAGGACACUAUACCUUUUAGUCUUUUACCUUUCAUCUCACUCAAUAUUUAUAUUUCAUAGCUCUUACCAUUUGGUUAACCUUUGGGGACAGAUGUAUUAAUUGUAUGGUAGGCUGGUAGCAGAAUAAACCAUGUCCACUUUUUUUAUUCUAGAGGUGAAUCUGAUUUGUUUUGGUUCUAAUGUUCUAUACAUUACGUGAUCAUUGGAUGUCCAUUUCAUAGGAUGAGCUCUGACCCAGUUACAAUAUUCUUCCAAUUACCAACUUUGUUAUACGUGGUAAUGUUAGAACUUAGAAGUUAGAACACAAUUCCACCAUGCCCAUUUUCCAACGCUUGUAAGAGUAAGCAGGAGACACCACACCACAUUAACUAAUUAAUUAACUAAAUACAAACUCAUAUUUGACUAGAGAUUUGACUUUUGAGGCAUUUGUAUUGUACAAUUUUGUUGUUUUCCGAAUAAAAUAUUUUUUUUUCUUUGGAGGACGGUUCCCACUUCUCAAGAUUAAAAUUUAAACGUUUUAUUUAUUUAUUUUACAUUGAAAAGAUAAAUUACACACGUCAAGAAUCGAUCUCUGGACCUCGUCGUACCCAACCCAUAUGUCCCUAAGCUCUCAACACUUGAGCUGUCAUACGUUUUAAAAAAAAUAAAAAGGGAUUUCUUUUGAUCAUGAAAAAGACGGAACUUAGAAUAGAAAUCAAUUCGUGGUCGAAGCUCCAUAUGUAAAUGAAUAAAAACUCAUCAUGUUCAAUGUUGAAACCUCCAUUUUCGAAAAAAAAAAGUCCAAACCUCAUCUACUAAAAGGUGCCCACUAGGGUGGGCAAGUUAUAAACUGGUCCACCGAUAGACCAGAGGGUAACUUUGUCUUUUCCCCUUCCUUUACCCUUUUCCUCUUCCCUUACAUUUCUCUUAGUAAACUCCAGCAGAGGUUGCGCUGUCAGAAACCCUAAACACCAGUUGCAGAAUCAGGGCACAAAUCGUCAAUUGCCACACUCCAACCAUGUCUUCAUCGAGAGAAGCAGACUCGAGCUCAUCUUGCCACAAUCGAAAAGCUCCAACCCAGACCCAGUGGAGAAGCAGAAUCGGAAUCGGAUGAUUGCGUGGCGCCGCGGCCGGACUGGGCGAUCAAGGCGACGAUGAUGGCGUUGGAGAGGGCGAAGACGAAGAGAGGGCUCUAGAGGCAGCCGACGGAGAAUCGGAGAGCGGAAGGGAGGUGAGUGAGGAUCCAUGAGAGAGCGAGGCAGAUCUGGUUGUUCAUAGAUGCUUCAAGUUCAUAGCUUUUUAGUUGUUCAUCUCCUUUCCAUCCCCUUCAGAUCUAGUUAUUUUAAGUUUUAUGGAAUUUAUUUUGUGUUUUCUGUUGUUUCUAGAAUUGAUUUAUGGAAUUAGUUUUUGGGUUGACUGCGUAGCGCGGCUGCCACCAGAUUGAGCCAUGUAUGGAUUUAUUUUGAGGGCUGGAGACCCUUGUGCGUGCUGUUGAUAAAGGUUUUUUUCUUGUUAGUACUGCUUUGGAACUAAACUCUUAUGAUUCAAGCAUAGCAAAGCAGAUACGGGUUUAUCGUCCUCAGGGAUUGUGUGAACAUUGGUUCCACGAGCUAAAUAUUGAUUUGAGCAGAUGAGAAUAUGUUUGAUAAAAUUGUUUUUGUUGUUUUUGAAUAUAAAUGAAAGCAGUAAAAGAAGGUUUACUGAGGUAACAAAGAAGAAAAUGUAUUUAGAUAUGUCGUCACCUAGUCCUUUGAUUGUUUUCAACUCAAACACUUAUGUAAUGGUUCAUUUCACUUAUGAUGCCGAGAGCUAUCCACCUAACUAUCCCUAGCCUAGGUGAAUCUAUCAGUUGGAAUUCCUAGACGUAAUCCCUUACCAUCUAGAAAACCCAAAAGGAAUAAUAUAACUCAAGUUAUCUCUCAAAGACAUUCCCAAUGACCAAUCUAUCCUAAUACAAGGUAUCCUAGGCUUGCGAAUCUCCGUUCUCACCCGGAAACUUCUGUUAGAACUCAGAACCCCACCUGUCACGUGGAAAUUCACUAUUGCUCUUACCUAAGAUAUUCUCACCUUAAGACAAUUGGUUCAGUGAGUGGUUUCUCUCUUGAACCGGACCUGCAUUUAUCUCCCGAUCUCAUGCUAGUACUCGGAAAUCUAACGCAAAUCACUGAUACUUGAAGCACAUAAAGCAAAACUUUAACACACAAAUUGUGACCUAAGACAUAGGUGUUCUACCUUCAUUGAACUAAGCAUACACUAAUUCAUAUCAACCUUCCGAUCUAUUUAUAAAUUAGUGAACUCUUUUGAUUAUCAAUUGAUUGGUUAGAGGCAUGAAGCAUAGAAAGAAACACCAUACAUGAAAGAUUAUCAUUUACAUUUAUGAAAAGAGUUUACAACAAUCAAAGCAUCAAGUUAUAACAUCCUAAAUACAAAAAUAGAAACAACAAGUACAAGGGAUAAGGAAGAAAAGAUGAAACCCAGAAGAACGACGAAUGAUCUACGGCGAUGGAAGAUUUCCCAAGCUUUCCAUCGCCUCCGAGAGGUUGUCACGGUCCUUCGGCGGUCGCCACCACGCUCCGGAGCUUCAAUCUUUCAAUCCUAGACCCAGGGACCCUUCCUCCAUGAAGCCCAGCCUCCUAUGAAUGUUUUAGGGAGGAAAAAAAUGGAAGAGAGAUGGAAGAGAUCCUGAAAAUUUCGGGGUCUGGCCUUUUAUAGAAUUUCUAGCCGACCUUAGUUGGCUCAAGCCAAGCUAAGUUGGCUCGAGCGAACCUUUCUUCAUGCUGAAGUAGUUAAGACCGCCUUCAGUCCGCUCAAGCUAACUCAAGUUAGCUCAAGCGAACUAUGCUGAAAAUCUACUGUAAAGUGGUGGCUUGAGCCAACUUUUGAGCGAACUCUUUCCUUUGCUUAUUUUUCAUCUCUGUUUCCAGUCCGCUCAAGCUAAAUUUGAGCCAACUUUCCUCACUUUAUUUUCUUGCUCAAGAUUCAAGCCUUCUUCAAGUGAUCAUCUUACUCCUACAUCAAAAUUAAGACAUUAAAUAUUAAAAGCAUAAUAUUUACAUUAUUUUUAUGCUAAAACUAAAUAUUUUCUAAGCAAGCUACUUUGAGGAUAAAAUGAUCAACAAUGCAAGCAUACUAGUCAAAUAAGUGUCUAUAAUGAUAAUGAAAAACACGUAAAAAUUGCACUUAUCAGCUGUUAUAAGACCACCUCGCUGUGUCACUUGCUUUUCAACAGAUUUUUAAAACCAUUGGUACUGUAGGCAGAUUUUGAGACCUUAUUUUUGCUGGAAUUGAAGGUAGUGGAUUGCUCUUGUUGUUUCGUGAAUAUUGGUCUUGGAUGAACCAUGAUUUGUGUACUGUGUGGAUCUGAAUUAGGUGGGUUAGUGAGUAUUUAAUAUUCAUUGUAAUACUCUUAGGUUGUGUUUGGAUGGGGGAAUAUUUGAGGGGAAUGUAAUUUUAGAGGGUAUUUCAAAUCCCUUCAAUUAAAAUACCUUGUUUGGAUAUCUAAUGUGAAGAAUUCUCAAAUUACUAGUAAUUAAAUGAGGUAUUUUACUCAAUAGGAUUUAAGGUAAUUGAAAUCACCUCAAAAUAGGAGGAAUUUCAAAUUCUUCAUCUCUCCCGUAACUCUAUCUAAAUUCAGUAAAAAAAAUUAAUCUCGGCUAAAAACCCUAAAAUCGGCCAUAAACUUGAAAGUCAACCAAAAACUCAAAAAUCGGCCCAAAACCCUAAAAAUUGGCCCGACACUCAAAAAAUCGGCAGAAAACAGAAAGAUGGUCCAAAACCCUAAAAAUCGAUCCGACUCUCAAAAAUCGGCUGAAAACUCGAAAGUCAGCACAAAACCCUAAAAAUUUGCCGAUAACCCUAAGAAUCGGCCGAAAACGUGAGAGUCGGCAUGAAACUCAAAAAUCGACCCAAAACCCUAAACUCGGCUAAAAACUCAAAAAUCGGCCGAAAACUCCAAAUUCGGCCGAAAAUUCUAAAAUCGGCCCAAAACCCUAAAAAUCAGCAAAAAACUCAAAAAUCAGCACAAAACCCUAAAAAUCGGCCUGACACACAAAAAUUGACCGAAAACCCAAAAUCGGCCCAUAACCCUAAAAAUUGGCCGAUAACCCUAAGAAUCGGCUGAAAACGUGAAAGUUUGGCCGAAACUCAAAAAUUAACCCAAAACCCUAAAAUCGGCCGAAAACUCAAAAAUCGAAACAAAACCCUAAAUAUCGGCCGAAAACCUGAAAGUUAGCCCAAAACCCUAAAAAUGGGCUCAAUUCUCAAAAAUCGGCUGAAAACUCGAAAUUCGGCACAAACCCUAAAAAUCAGUCGAUUUCGGUCAAUUUUUGAGUGUCGGGCUGAUUUUUAGGGUUUUGUGGCGACUUUUGAGUUUUCAGACGAUUUUUUAGAGUCGGGCAAUUUUUAGGGUUUUCGGCCGAUUUUUGAGUUUCCAGCCGAUUUUUGGGUUUUGGGGAUUUUUGAGUUUCGGGCCGAAUUUCACGUUUUCGGCCGAUUCUUAGGGUUAUCGGCCAAUUUUUAGGAUUAUGGGCCGAUUUUGGGUUUUCGGUCAAUUUUUUAGGGUCGGGGCGAUUUUUAGGGUUUUGUGCCGACUUUUGAGUUUUCGGCCGAUUUUUUCGAGUCGGGCCGAUUUUUAGGGUUUUCGGCCGAUAUUUGAGAGUCAGGUCGAUUUUUAGGGUUAUGGGCCGAUUUUUGAGUUUCGAGUCGACUUUCACGUUUUCGCCCUAUUUUUAGGGAUUUCUUGUCCUUUUAUGGUUUUGGGCCGCUUUUUAGGGUUUUGUGUCGACUUUUGAGUUUUCGGCUGAUUAUUAAUAGUCGGGCCGAUUUUUAGGGUUUUCGACUGAUUUUUAGGUUUUCGGCCGAUUUUUUGGUUUUCGGCCGACUUUCGGUUUUUCAGCCACUUUUUAGGCUUUUAUGUCGACUUUUAAGGUUUCGGUCUAUUUUUGAGAGUCGGGCUAAUUUUUAGGGUUUUCGGCCGAUUAUAUUAAGAUAAAAACAAUUAAAUGAAGGAAAUUCAUUUAUAUUACCCAAACGAAGAAUUUUACAAUUGAGCGAAUUUCAACAUUUUAUCCAAACAAUAAAAUUUGAAAUUCAAGGGAAUUCAAUUGAAUCAUUUGAAUUCCAUAGCAUUUAAAAUCCCUUGAAUUUCUACAAUCCCCCAUCCAAACACAACCUUAGCGUUUUGUUGGAAGGGGUGGAGGGAUGGACAAGAAUUUUGUAUCAGGCUGCAUUCUGUAGCAGUUUAGUUUGCUCUUUUGCCUGUUCUGUUAUGGUUCUCUUUUCACCAUUUCUUGUUAAUAUUUCUCACACUUGUAAAUGGUUAAAGUACUUCUCCUUCAUUCUUUUGCUUACCUAAAAAAAAGAAUUUAUUUUGAGUUUUCUGGAAUCAGUUUAUGGAGAUCGAUGGUUGAAUCUUGAAUGAGGUUUCGCAGCUUUUUACCCUUUUAGGUCUCAGUAAAUCCUAACCAUUGAUCUAAAGAAUAUUCCAAGAUUCUCUAAUCCAAUGGUGUUUAGGGAUGGUCCACCGGUGGACCAGUUUAUAACUUGCUCACCCUAGUGGGCACCUCUAAUAAAUAAUAAAUAAGUUCAAUUACAUUUUGGUCCCUAUAAUUUAAGAAUAUGUAAUUUUAUUUUCUAUUGUUUUAAUUGCUCGCAACAAAGUCUCAAUACUUUCAAAAUUGAACAAUUUGAUUAAAAUGUUAAUUUGUCAUCUCACAACUACCAAAAGAAUUGGCAUAUAUCAUAAUUUUUUGUGUAAACUGAAAUCGUUUUAACAAUGCCAUUAUGUAAAAGAAUAUGACCUACGUCGACUUUUCUUAUUAAUUAUUAGAUGACAAGUUAAGAUCAAGACCAAAUUCGUUCAAUUUUAAAAGUAGAAGAACUUAAUUGAAGUUAUUAAAAAUACAGAGACCCAAAGUGUGAUUAUUAGCUGAUAAGUUAAGGUCAUGACUAAAUUCAUACAGGUUUGUAUAAAAUUUAAUAUUGAGAUUGAUUCACAUUGUUUUAUCCUGCAUCAUGAACUUAAAACCAUAAAUGAAAAUAAAAAAAUUGUCUCAUGCAAAUUAUAGGUUAAUAAGUCUCGUUAUUACAUCUUAAUAUGGGUAUUUACUUGUAUCAACAUUUCGAAAGUCGGCACUUCAUCUAAUCAAUCACAUUCCCGCAGUGAAAAACAUGCUAUAAAUAUCAAUUAAACGAACAUCAAAUCAUGCUACAAGUAGGACUUGUAAUAAUAUCUCAACUUUUAUUUUUAGUUGUAUGAGCUUUACUUUUCUUUACGGCAGUAUACGCAUUAUUAAAUUCAUACAUGACCCAAAAUUAGAGGAGUUCCUCUACAUUUAACCCUAACAAUAUAUAACUACUUCACCUGCUGGGUGGAUACAAUUUACAGGUAAGUGAUCACACAACGAAACAAACUUGAGGGCACAUUCCUACGAAACCUUCCAAUUUUCAUUAGAUUAUAUUUUUUCAGAGCAUCACACGGAACCAUGUCAAAAUAACUGCACACUUGAAUUUCAGGGAGGAGAGUCAACAAAAAUCCCUUUUGUUUCAUGAAAUGACAGCACCUGGCAAAAGAUAAUGUUAUAGCCUCACAAAAUCCUUCCUACUCGUCAUCGUCGUCUUCUUCAGGCGCCUCUUUUAGCCACUACAAACAAGAAUCAAUAAAUGGCUUAUAUAAGAAAGUAAUACAUCUCAUAGGAUAGUUGGAAAAAAAUGCAAGUAUAACCUAAUUUUACAAGUGUGUAAAAAUAGAUAAGAAUACUCACUUGAAUUAAUUUUUGGGCCUGCUUAACAAAAACUUUAUCAUAUUCAUCUGCGUCUUUCUUCUCAUCUUCCCAACUCAAAAUAGCAUCUUCGUCUACAAUAUCUUCUUCAUACAUGAAGUGCAAUAUCUGAAAGCAAUUAAGAAGUUAGGAGGGGGAAAAGAAAAUCAAAUUUAGUGUUAGAAUGUGAAACUAUUCACUCCAAUUAUGUUACAAGGAAUGAAGUAGUAUAGGUAGGUAUAGCAGCAGGAAAAGGUGACGGUUAAAAAUUGUCCAAUCUCAAUAUCACUAAAGAAGUGGUCGCUGCCGACAAAGUUAGAUAAAGAAGAAUGAAAGCACGAGAACAGAAGGGAAGUUUUAUUGUGUGAAAGUCCAUUUCAUAACUUGAAAACGCACCAGCUUUAGACAUAAAAAUAUCUUCAAUAAAUAAUGGAAGAUAUAGACAGCUAAGUUUAUAGCUCAAUGCAUCUUUCUGACAUACAUCCUUACAGAACGAAGACAAAUCAACAACUCGUUAAAAAUAAGCAUACCUUUGUGAACAAUGGAGCAUACUCCUUCGCAGAUUCCAGACACAUUUCUUCAAGUUUUAGUAUUACUUCAAUCUGGAGUGAAAAAAUUGAAACCACGGAGAGAGGGCAGAUGAUUAAGUAAUAGGAAUCAAAUAGGGGCAUCAAGUAAAUGGUUACUGUAUUCGAAACAUUAAUAUUACUGACAACAUUUCAAUUAAAAAAUACCAUGCCAAUGUUAUGUAACAACUCGAGAGUUCAUUAAACGAAAAAAUUGCCUUCAUGUUUCACACAAUCAAAGAUCUUUUGCUUUUCUUUCUCAGAUGCGUGAAACCACCGCAAUGUCACAAUCAGAUCAAGCAUUGACCAAGCUAAAAGAAUGCUCGGCACUGCAUAUGUAUACAGCAAAACACAGCACUGCAUAUGUAUGCAGCAAAAACACAGCACUGCGCAUUUAAUUUUGUGAAAUUGUCUUUUCAUUAAGCCUUAAAAAUGGACAUCAGAUGAUAAUUAAACCAUUGAAAAAAAAAUGUAGGAUAGAUUCUCCAAAAAACUACAGGAAUGAACGUGAAUAAUUUCAACACGUAAGAAAGAAUUGACAGCCGCACCUGCUCAUCCAUAUCACUCAGAUAGGGUGCAAGAACAUUUUUCCAUUGUUUAAGUACAUCCUGAACAUUCUUCAUCAAGCUAUCUGAAAAAUCAUCCCAGACAUCAUAAAAAGCAUUAAGCAAGCAUAAGAAAUACCAAAAAAGAAAAAGAAUAACAUAUCUACAAACUGAUAAAAAAUAAAAUCAGAUGAAUCAGAACUACCUAACAUUACCCCAGUAGAAGGAGUCAGACACGUGGAUCAACCAACACCAUUAGAAUCAAUCAAAAACCAAAUUUUCAGUAAAACCAUCUAGAGCAAAUUCUUUUCAAUUAUUCUAAUGUUUUAUUAAGUCUUCCUCUACCCCUUUUAAUUGCACUGCCUUCCACUUGACUUGUCACUUUUCUCACUAGAGCCUCCAACUGACUCAUUUAUCUCAUUCUGAAUAUUUAAUUGUUUGGUAUCUCUGACAAGUUUUUCGGGACACCAAGUUUUCCAAAUAGGUUUGUAGUUCUAAACUAAGUUAUGGAAGAAUCUUUUAUCAAAUAAUAAGAAAGGAAUGGCUAAUAAAAAAGGCAUGGAAAAUAAUAAUAAGAUCAGGUAGCCAUAGAGAGAAGGAAUAAGCUUACCAGCUGAACUAUGGGGCAUGUCUAUAGCAUGUUUCAUCAUUGCAUAAAAUACAGCUCCAGCGCAAUCAGCAGUUACCUUAUUGUAUGACAACCUAACACAUAAAUAAAGGCCAUGUUUCUAUUAAUACAGCCCAGUAAACACAUUAAAAAGUGUGAUCAUAUAAAAAUAAUAAAAACAUAUGUUGAGAACACCAAUGUCGAUAAAUUGCAGUAAGAAUACUUCUAAACACAUCCUAUGAAGAUACCAUAGCUUCUAGACAUAAUGGAAUGCAGAUUCUUUACAUUUUUUAUUAAGAGCAGUUGUAAGUUUGGAUGAUCUAGAAAAAGCAGAAUUCCCGAUCUCAUUUCAAGGAUAUCCUAUAAUUUGAUUGCUAUCCUCAGCUUUUUAGACAACUCAAGAAACUCUGUUACACCAAUAAUUGUCUGCCUCCUUCAUUUCCAAUUUGUUAAUAAACAUCAGCAUCAAAACAACUGAAUGCAUGCUUGAAUAUGGGAGGGCAUGUUAAAUUAACGGCUUAUAGAGUGGAUUUACUAAUGGAACACAAUAUAGGUAGAUGUAAGAGAACAGACGAAAAAGGUAAAAAAGGAAGUUGAACAUGAAAACUGAAGGUAACUCAAAUGCUCUGCUCUAUAAUUAGUAUGAGAUGCCACCAUUAGAAAUGUGAAACAACAUCUAUGCACACGUUCACCACAUCCAAAAGUAGAUCUGAGAUCCAAUAUACAGACCGACACCAGAACUCUCUCUCCCUCUCUCUCUCUCUGUGUGUGUGCGUGGUUGUAAUUUGAUGCUUGAAAAUCGCAAGAAACGGAAUAGGCCUCCUACAGUCUACAUACAACUUCAAACAAUCCACAUAAAUAAAUUACAUACUUCAAGGAGUUGACUUCUAAGAUCAAAUGGUUAUCUUGUAUGUUUUCAUCCACACCCCUGAGAAAAGUUGCUUCAACCUGCAAAUGAUAGGAUAUUUAAAAAUCUGAUAUCCACAAAGUGUAAGUGACAUAAGUUUUACAGGUUAAAAUUCACACCUCUUUAUCAAAAUCAUCUCUAGAAUCGUCAUUAUCAUCAUCAUCUGAAUCACUAGAAUCAGGUUUCAGCUCCCCAGAAGGUGGGAGAAUGGUGUCAUCAUGUGUUAACUCCAAAUCAUCUUCAAUAGCUUUCAGUGCUUCCAAAAUUUUAUCUGCAGUAAUAGGCGCUACUGAAUGCCUCCACUCUUCUUCAUGGCCUCCUUCACAUUUUGGCCAAACAUAACCAGCCCCACCCAUACCUAGCUGAUCAAUGAAACAAAUUGAAAUGAGAAACAUUAAAUUCAUUAUAGAAUGAAAUUUUUAUCAACCAAAUCUUAGCUUCACAGAUUAAGAAUCUCAAAUUCCUAAUUAGGUUAAAUGUCUAUAAUUAUUUUGGUACAAGAUGAGACUGGAGCCAAAAAAGAAAGCUAGAUUAGUGUUAGUGUUCUGUACUAGACGAUUAGGAUGUACAAGCUUAUAGAAGUUUGUAGUGUAUGGAGUUCAGACAUGUGUUAAAACUGGCAUAUGUAUCCAUUCUAUUCUAGCUGUAAGCCUGUGACCAAUUCUGUUGUAAAAUAAAUGGACAACUCAUUGUUAGAUUAGACAAUUUAUGUUAUUGGGCUGGUUUCUGUUAGUUGAGGGAGUUCAAGGGAUUGUCAGUAAUUAAAUCUCUAACAAAAUGGGAGGAUAGGAAAUAGAAAAGAAAGAAGAUAAGGCAUCAUUCUGGAUAGUUGGAGAUUUGUCUGCGUGGGAGAUCUCACGCUUUAGAAAUCCUGAGAUAAACCAUAACCAAAUUCGGAUAGCUUGUAUUCAUCCUUUCUAAUGUUCAAGGGCUAGGGAAGGUUUCAUCAACCAAAUUCUAUCUUUUCUUUCAUUUUCCCCCUAAUAUCUGAACAACAACCAAUCAACUAAUUACAAACAAUCCCUAGAACUCCCUCAACUUGCAUAAACUAGCCCAAUAACAAAAAUGAGCCCAUCGGGCUUACCGAACACCCAACGACAAAGCAGCUACAUCUAACUAAUCAAUAACUUGCAAUAUAUAUACUCUACCACACAUGUAAUCAUUGUAACUUUUCUAUCAGAGUUAAGAAUGAACAGUAUAGCUAUUCUCAGAGAUUCUCCUAUUAACUUUCUCACACCUUGUAUCUCCAAUGCCCAACCAUUCUGCAGUAACAGACCUAACUGACCUUUCUUUUCCGGGUUCCUAACACAAUUUCAUUAAAAAUCACUUGCAUCUAAACUUAAUCUUCAUGAUCUGCCUACAAAUAAGUUGAGACAUACUCAACACAAUGGUGAAAAUUAUAAAGUGAAAAGUUCUGCAAAACAAACCUCUGAAGGAGGGCUAAAAUGUGUAUCCAAUUCCUGGUAAGCAAUUUCUACAUCUGACUUAUCCACUGUACUGGUGAUAGCUGCAAACAUUAAAAUGGUAAUUGGAAGGUAUAAUAUAUGCAUUUGACCUAUCAAUACAUAGCAUAAAGAAAAAGGAAUUUGCUUAUAACUUAAUAUAGAAGCUCCAGUAAGAAUAAUUGACCAAAUGGAGAAUAACCCAAUAAUUCAGUGAAGUAUUCUUUAAGGACCUAAAAUUUGUAUUAUAAAUCAAUUACAGAAUCAAACUUUUACUGUUACCAACUAAUGGCUUCAAGAUUACUAAAACAUAUUUUAUUGAAAAAUGGAAGACAAAAAUAUCCCACAUGACAAACAAAAAUAACUUAUAAUAUAGACAGAAUACACGGCAUAGGCAUUUGAGCCUUUCACUAAUUAUUUAUAAAUAAAUACUUUUCAAAAAGUUUAGUUCUUCUACAGCAAAGAAGACUAAGAAAAACUUAAUUAAACCACUCAAAAGGAUUUAAAUCUUUACAAUCCCUCCAAAGAAUAAGAUUUUGAUAAAGUAUAAUAACAUUGAUUGAUCCAUGUAGCUGGCACACAAAAAGUAAUUUAUAUACAAGAUUACUGGAAUUACAUAAAUCAAGCCACUCCUAACUAAAACAGCUAAUCGAGCUCAAAAUACUCAUUUUAAGAAUUAGACACACUCACUCAAGAAAAUUGAAUUCUAUGGAAAUAAAUUAUCAGUGGCGUCAGUGUUGCUUUUGGGUCGAAACAACUGUCUCACUGGUUUUGUUAGUUAUGAGAAAUAUUUUAUACUCUAGCAUUAGUAAAUUAAAUAAUAGGAGAAUAAAAGAUGAGGGUAUGUAUCUCCAGGGCACAGUUGAAAGUUAAAUGAAAAUUCAGCAAUACCACUAGCACUAUCAGCAUAUUCGAGCUCCUCAUCACUAUCUUCCUCAAUUGGCUGCUGUAAUAGAGAUACUUUUGAAUAAGGAGGAACAACAAACCCCUGCCCAACUACAACCUAGAAGCAAAAAAAUUAUGAUUGCAUCAAAAGCUGUAUACAUCAUGAAUAAUGGGCAAAUUCCAUCUAGCAAUGAAUAACUAAAAAAGUCUCUGUAUUCCAAUCUUUGCAAUGGAAAGAGUAACUGAAAUAAACAGGAAGUCAACUGAACUUAACCCAGUUCUUUUCUUAGAUUCAUGCAUGGUCAUAAAAAGUGUAAAUAAAGAAACAGCAUAAGAAAAAACAUUAUAGAAAAUAAUAGUUAAUGUUAUAAUACUAUAAUAGAGAAUAAAAAAAAAAACUGCUUCAAUUAUUCUUGAGUAUCAACUAAAGCCUUUAGUUUAAAAGAUCUUAAUACUUAAAGAAGUCCAAACAUAUGAGAAACCAUAAGAAUGAAAGUAUGGCUCCUGAAAUGGAAUGGUAUAAGGACACGAACCUUGAAAGACAAAACAACACCAGGUUCCAGAACAGCUCCCGACUUCAUAGUCGCUCCAUCACAUACAAUUGCAUGCCAAAGUUUGCAGCCAUCUUCUAUGGUGACGUUAUCCCAUAUAUAGCAUCCCUCUAUGAGUACAUCUGACCCAAUUUUACAUCCUUCUCCAAUAAUAGAAUUUGAAAUUUUAGUGUUAUACCCAAUUUUGGUGCCAGAUCCUAUAGCUGUGGACGGGCCAAUAACAGCAGAUUGUGACUGAGAUAUUUCUGAAAGAACAAAAGAAUUUAUUAAAACAGAAUAUAUUAAUAAAUGAAAAUUAAGAAAAUCAGUAAAAAAUAGUUUGGACUUUGGACUCGAGAAUCUAAAAGCAAGGGUCAUAAUAGGAUAAUUACUUAUUCAGAAAGUUUAAUCUCAUAGGAGAUGAAUAACCAAGUACAUUACACGAAGAAACAAACAUAGUCAUUGAUUGAAACUAAACCAAUAUAUGAGUAUUGAGUACACCAUAUUAUCAUCCAAGGUUUAAAACUCUUCACCAGCACACCAUUCAACACUAAACUUUACAUCCAUACCUGAAGCACGAUACAUUCCUUGUCGUUCAAGUUUAGUAGCUGUCUUGCCAAAAUUCAUAACAUCUGGUACAAAUGGAUAUGUCCAUCUAUGAAUUAUAUCCUUGCUGACAGUGUCGUAACUUCGGAAAUUAUCAAUCCUUGCAGCAUAGUCUGAGUGGAUUUCAUGAACAAAGAUUUUGUACCCCAUUAUCUGAAAGAAAUAUAUGGUAAUGUUAAAGAGGUGUAUACAGAAUGCUAAAAUCAAGAGAAUCUGACCCAUAGAAGAAUCUUUUUUUUUUGAAAUACCCAUAGAAGAAUCUAUUAGCAACCUAAAUGGUGAGGUAGUAUCCUAAAAUAACUUGAAGGCUUGUGCAAGAAAUGCACAAUACUUUCUCAUAGUUCCAAUGCAUCAUGACAAGAAACUUUUGGAAAAGUGACCCAAUACUGAAGUAGUUUACUAUUAUAGUUUCAACACAUGCAAACAUGUGAUGUGAUCAAUACAAAAUAGCACCUAUGGUUAUAUGUGUAACGUGUUCCUCAAAUAAGGCACUACUGAAGGAAUGUUGAAGGUCUGUAUGAGAUUAAAGUUAGCUCUUUUGUUGCAGUAAAGGAACAAUUCAUGAGGAUGAGCUAUUUCCUUCCGUUACAAACUUGAGGAAUAAUUCCCAAAAGAAUAGCAUACACUAGAGUACUGAAACAACAAUGUAUGUCAAUUUAGCAUGUGGAAGAGAAAUUACAUCAUCAACAAGCAAUCCCUUGACAAAAUGACGCCGUAGAUGUUGGUAGUCAAAAUUGUCCGUAAAUAGGCUAAGGACUUCCGGCGAGCAUAUGUCAAUGUAACAAUCCUGCAGAAAGGAAAUUAUCGACCUAAUGAACUCCGAAAGUAUAAUAAGGUUGCAUAGGCCACAAGGAUAUGACCUAACAAAGUAGUAAUGAAUAACAAAGAAACAAUAAGAACAGUAAAUAGUUCACAAAACAACUAAUGAUAAAAUUAGAUUGGUAACACAUCAUUGAUUGAGCGUCUCUUGGCACACAGACCAAUCAUGAGGUAAGCAUCACUGACUAGGAAAUAUAUUAAGUUAAAGAUUCUACCUGCUUGUCAUGGUGCAGAGAGAGGGAAGGAUUAUCAACAAGCAAUGACUUAUCAAGAUGUAAAGUGCUUUUUGAAUAGUCUGCCUUAUCCUCAUAAUACAAAAGCUGCUUGGUAUCAGGAUCAAUGGCCAUAAAAAUUUCAUCAGUACCAAGUCGAGACUGAUGGAUAGCUUGAUUAGGUUUUGACCGUUUGAUGACCAUGGUCAUUACAGCGUUACUAUCUUUCUUCUUCCUUUCUUUAUGUUCUAGAAGUGCCUGAGUAAGUGACAUGUUGCUUACAGUAUCUCCACUGAUCAGGACAAAGUCUCCAUGUAUCUUGAAAACAACAUUAUCAUAAAGUGUUACUACUACACAUACAAAACCUGGUCCCAAUAAAUUACUCAAAGUGUGAAAGAAGACUAUGUUAACAAAAUCACCACUCAGACAGUAAUAACAAGAUCAUCAUGUGUGAUGUGUGAAGUACUACACAUUUUUUAAUAAUCCACUACAGAGAAAUGCUACCAACAUAUUUUGAACACACUCUUCAACACAUUCACUACGAUUGGCUCAUUUUUUACAAAGUCAACAUGUUUCUUUAUAAGUUAUCAGUUUACCAGACAAAUUGUGUAACAUUACAAAAAAAUAGACAAAUCAUAGAGACAUGUUCAAAAGAGUGCAUUGCCGGCAAUCUCGGUAUCAAAUCACAAAACACAAUUACAAUGGACUGGCAGUGGCAGUGGCAAUUCCUAAAAAGAAGCUAUAAAAACAGAGCAUGCAGAACUUGUCAUCAUAGAUAGAGCCAUGUUAGAAGACAAACCACAUUGCGCUCAUAGAUCACGCGGAGCGCGUCUCCAGCGCUCACAGAAUUCUGCGACUCGAUAGUGGUCACGGUGAAAUUCGGUUGCGAUAACCACUCGGAUUUGUCCAAAUAUUGAAUCACUUGCUUGGCAUGAGCACAGCAGAAAACGAAAACCUCUUCAACACCAGCGGAUUCGAGCCAGGUCAAGGUGUAAUUGAUCAUCGGAACAUUCACGAGUGGCAAUAACACCUACAAUAGCAGGAAAAACAAAACUGCGUUACAUUGCGUGAUUCAACAGCAAAUGCAUUGAAUCCAAAGAGGGAGAGGGAGAAAAAGUACCUUGGGGCGUUCAAGCGUGAUAGGUCUGAACUUGGUGGUGAAGCUAUCAGCCAAGAGAAUGGCCUGCCAUGGAACCCUAACCAAAUCGUCAGGGUCCUCUGAAACCCUAGCGGAGCUUUUCUUUGGUGCACCCAUUUUGUUCGUUACACGAAGCACGCACGAUUAACUGCUAUCCGCAACGAUCAGAAGCGAUGCUACUCUGACUACUUAGUUUGAUUUUCGCCUUCUCUUCCGUCGCAGACAGGUAACUGCGGAGGAGGAAGAAGACGCAUGGUGUUUUGUAUUAAUGAUUCCGAACAAUAGAAAAAUUAGGUAGAGAACGGUGCGUUGUGACGGCACAGGCGAAAAACGGAAGAGAAACGCACCUGUGUGACGGCGGGUGGCGGUGGUUGCGGCGGAGGGGCGAGGGUACCGGCGGUGUGAACUGUGAAGCUGCUUACGCUGAAACAAAGCUAGGGAGCUAGUGCUUGAGCUUGAGACAAUGAAGCUUUUUUCCUUUUUCUUUUUUUUCUUUAUGAAAAUGAAAUCUUAUAAAACCAUAUCAAUUUUCCAAUGUUUAAUAUUUAUAGUAAUAAAUUAGUCUUAUAUUAGAAUAAUUAAGGCUAUUUAAAUUAUCGGUUAUAUUUUUUGGCCCUCGUAUGAUAGCUCAAGUGGUAGGAGCUAGGGGGACAUAUGAGUUGGGAUCCAGGGAUCGAUUCCUGCACGAGUGUAAUUUAUCUUUCUGAUGUACCCACUAGACCUCUCUCACCCAAUCCACAUGUCUCAUAUCUUAAGGGUAUUGUUUAGUUUUGUUAUCUAAUAAGAAAUUAUCAUGAGUCUAGUUAUUACUAUAAAUUUGAAUAAGUAUUUUAUCUUUUAAUCAAUUGAUUGUUCGGAAUUCUUUCAAUUUCAACACAAACAACAAAACUUGAAGAGGUUUUAGGUGACCAGAAUGAGGAGCAAGAGAAAAAAGGGGCGUUUCGGUCAAGCUUGUGUUAGCACAGUUUUUUUUUGGGUUAAAUGUGUUCACCGUCCCUGAACUUUGAGCUAGAUCUGGUUUACGUCCCUCGUCGGAAAAUCUUCCUAGCGCCAUCCUCAAACUCAAUUGUUUGUACGGAAACCGUCCUUGCCGUCGAUGAAACUCCGGCCGCCGUGUCCAGGUGUCACUUUGGAGCUGACGUGUAAUUUUUUUUAAAAUAAAAUAAGAAAUAACAUAAUUGAUUUUUAGCUAACCCCAAAUCUUUCCUAAUUUAAUUUCUAAACCUUAAAACUAAAACUAAAACUUUUUUUUUGGGUCCUUUUUAGUUUUUCAUCUAUACUAAAACUAACACUAACAGUAAAUAAAAGAACGGUUAUAAAAAAAAAAAUUAAAUAUGAAAGAAUGUGCUUUGUGAAAAAUCAAAGCACAAAAUCAGAUCUGGGUUUCUCUUUUCUUUCUGUUUUCCUUGUCCAUCAAUGGCAGACUACGACACCCACCACCACCAACAGCGCCUCCAGUGCUGCCACGACGCCACUGUUGGAUCCCCAUCACGCUCCUCUCCCUCGCCCACCUCAUCUUCUACGUCUCAGUCGCACAGACGUUCCGCUCCAUCAACGACGUCAAGGACCAGCGCCACUGCCACAAGCUUACUCUAGGCUUGGCCACCGAGAAGCUCCGGGAGAUGAGGAUGCGCCUCAGCAGCGUUGCCGCCGGUGAUCUGCCACACCUUCAUCCCCCUUUCUCUCCUCUCUCCGGCCACUUCCAUUCCCAUGUUGUUUUGUUGCCACAAAACCCUCUCUCCCUCAUCAAACCCAAACCCGACAAUUAAAGAUCGCACCUUUCCUUCUCCGCCGGCGAAGAAGAACGCAGAACCGGUGGCAGCGCUGGAGAUUCUGGUGCUGGAGAUUGGGGGUUUUAGGGGUUUUGGUGAACAGGUGGAGAUUUAAGGUUUCUGCAGAUCCCCAAUCCCCGACGCCGGAGCGAAGACUCCUCCUCCUCCACUGCAUCUCAUCUUAUAUCACGAAUCUGGGUUUGUAAGCAUUUUUCAGCGAGGAUUCUAGCGUACAGGUUGUGGUUCCCUCUCACCAGAGCUAAGGAAUCUAGUGUCCAGGUUGUAUUCUUAGGACUUUAGUAAUUUUUCAAUUUAAAAUUACCAAACCGUGAUGAAAUUGGGUUUGUCUGUAAAGCCAUUUGAUUGUUAGUAUAACCAUUGUAAUAUCGUUUUAUUCUCUGGUGUGUUCAUGUUUUGAAUUUUUUAUGUAGUUCACUAUCUUCUCACGCUUCAAAUUUUUGGGUUUUUCUUAGAUGGAGGUUCUAGGAAAAAUUGGAGAAGAUGAAGAAGUGAUGAACAUAAUGAAAAACCCAGAAAUCGAACUAAAGGAAGAACCCUAAUUUAUGGGUUGGGUCUGAAGGAGGAAGAUGAUGGAGAGGGUUUUGAUUUAGGGUUAGUUUUAGUUUAGAGUUUAGAAAUUAAAUUAGGAAUGUUCGGGGGGCUUAAUUACAAAUAAAAAUAUUUAGUUUUUUUUAAAUUAACACGUCAUUUCAUUAAAUGACGUGGCAUGGCCACAUAGGACGGUUGGGUACGGUGGCCGGAGGCAAAUCGCCGGCAAGGACGGUUUCCAAACAAAAAAGGUAGUCUGAGGGUGGCGCUAGGAAGAUUUUCCGGCGAGGGACGGAAACCAGAUCUCGUUCAAAGUUCAGGGACGGUGAACACAUUUAACCCUUUUUUUUUUCUAAAAAGAAACACUAGUCAACCAACACCAUUUUGUUCGGUUUUCGCGUGUGUUCCGUUACAACAUUGGUCCACGUGGGACUAAUGAUUUCCAAGACUGGUUCAAUGGAUGAAACUCACUUGAAGAAUUGGUUGAACAUGGGUUUACGUUGGUGCAUCAGCUUCAAUCAGGCAUUAGUGAGUCCUAAUGGUGUUGGUGCAACAAUUUUAAAGUGACUUAAAUAGGUUAAGUCGAAAUGAGUUGUAAGGUCAUUAAUCUCAAGUCAUCCUUCCACACAUAGCACAUUAGCAAAGUUAUUUGACAAAUUAAAGUUACAGAUUUAAAACGUUAUUUUUAUGCGGAGUGACUAAAAUCAAGCUCGCUUACAAAAUUAGAGACUAAUUUAAUCAUUAACCAGUUCAAAUCUGACUAUGACAAAUUGAUUAAUUUUAAUUGGAUGGUUGUGUAAAAUAAUUCACACUAAUUAAUUAACUCAACCCUUUAAAACAAUAAUUAACUCAACACUUAGGUAUGUAAUAACCAAAAUAAAUAUGAAUGUGCAUAUAUAAUAACUAAUACUCACGCAUAUUUGCACCAAUUAUUGAUUAAUUUACUAAAUAAAAUUUAUUAGGGCAUAAUGAUAUUUAAUUAUCCAUAUGACACAUGAUAUUCAAAAUCAAGGGUCUUAAUAUACGCAACGGAAUUCACAAUCACAACUUCGUCCUCAUCUUGAGCACGUCGUCUCCUUUCUCCCACGCACCAACAUUCACGCCUCCAUUGAACUCUCUGUCACGAUAGGUUCAACCUCUGCAAGUUCGACCAAAACGAUAACGAGUCUAGGCUGAGCAUGUUGGAGAGAUCAACGACAAAUCCAAUAUGAACAUACACAGGGCCGCCGUGUAGGGGGCUAGGAAAAGUAGGCAAUUGCCUAAGGCCCCCUAGAAUAUAUAAGGCCUCAAAAAUAUUUUGUAUGUAUAUACUAUAUAAGAUAUAUUAUUGAGACUUGAUAGAGUAAUGAAACAAUAAAAAAUUAUGCAACAUUAAUCGUAACAUGGAUAAUGUAAUGUAAGAACUUAAAAGUUCAACGUAGAAUGUGCAACUUUGGUAUUAUUAGUAGUAUUAUUUUGUAUUGGCAAAUUUACAUUUUUCCGAAAAAUUAAUAAAUAAAAUAGUUGUUGUUUAUACAUUUCGAAAACUAAAAAUAUUAAAUUGUGUCACUCAUAACAUUUAGAUUUUUAAUCACUUAUAUAUAUAUAAUAUAGUAUUAUAUAAGUUUGCUCUAGCUUCACUCGUUAUUUCUUCUCUAAAAAAUGAUUUUUUUUUCAUCACUUUAACAUUUUCGCCUUAGGCCCCAAAAUCUCUCUACACGGCCCUGAACAUACAUUAUGAUGCCACUAAGAUAAGAUUUCACCAUUGUUAGAUCUCAUUGUCAUAGCCCACCCUUAGCUGGGGCAGAGCCGGGCAAUAAUGAAGACAAAGCGGAUAGUGUGGCAGUGAUCAACAACGAUGAGGGUGAGAGGUGAAUCUCACUAUGAAAUUAACACAUUAAUUAAUGAUUAAUUUGAUUGUCAUUAUUAAAAAAAAUCAAAGGUCAAUAUUGUGUAUAGCAAAGCAUGGAGUUUCUUAAAUCUCAACCCCAAAUUUUCAAUCAAAUGACUAUUACUCCUUACCUUUUUUUUUUUUUGAUAAGCACUCCUUACCUUACUCUCCAAGGUGAAUCUCACUAUGGUGACUAGUAUGUCAUGGCUGUUUACACAAGACAUAAUGAUUUACAAAUGAAUUCCCCACUGCAGAUGCCAAGAUAAUGAUGAAAACAACGAAGCAUGUUUAACAACAAAUUCUCAAAUAACCAUCUUCUGUUCCAACCAGAAACAAUCGAGAGAAUGGUAGUAUACUAAUGCUUGAUAAUGCUGACAAGCUUCUCAUUCCAUUAUCAGAAACGUAGAGUUUCUGGGGGAUAAUGUGAUGCUGCCCAUCCUGUGUCAUGGAACCACAUAAUCAUUAUAAAAUCAUCUAUAUGAACAAACAAAGGGGGAAAAUCACAUCAAGCAACAACGAUAUAACUAAAGCAAGAAUGAAUGGAGUUAUUUUGACAACUAAAUUAGGUGCUAGACAAGCUAAAUCAACAGACCCUUCCUAAUUCCUAUCAUCAUCAUGCAAAUAUGAGCCUUAGAGAAAGAGAAGCGUACUGUUUCACUGGCACAUUUAGACAAGGAAAGAAGCCCGAUCCUAUUUCGAGAAAUUGAAAUAACAUCUUGGCCCCAAAUGCAGAAAUUGGAUAUGCCAUCAGAAUGACCUCUGAAAAUAAUGGGCUGCAAUGGCAAAUUCCUGCAAGGAUAAUAAAAAUAAUGUUGUUAAACAAAGCUUAUCACUUUCAUUAGGUUUUUUUUUCAGGAAUAUACUUUCAAAUAAACAAAUGCAUUACACCAAGCAGACUGUGUAUGAAACGUAUAACCACAGAAACAAGGCAAGGGAAGUCCAAAACUGACAUGAGAAUGAAUAAAGAACAAUUUAAUGUUAGUCAAAUAAGAUCUUUUGCUAAUUUUGGUCAUCAUAAAAUUCUUUAUUUCCUGGAGUGAAAUUAUAUACACAUUUUUAUAAUGGAGUUUGGUAAUAACUAGUAGGUGCAUAUGCCAUAAGGGGUGUCAUCCUUCAAACUUCAAUUGACCAUUUGCUUUACCUACUAACAACUUUCAUGUGUCCAAAUAUACAAAUUUUGAUCUCUAAUAGAAGAAGCUUAAAAGAGACAGCUCACAGCUUAGAAUGGUCCAAAACACCUAAGGAAUUUAAGAUUCAUGGGGUCAUAGCUCUUACAUUCUUAAGUCCCAGACUCUUAAAGUUCUGUCCAGAGAGCUGGAAAUGAGCAGAUGCUCGUCAUGUGAUGCCAACUGUAAACAAUGACAUUGUUGAAACUGUUGGAAAAUAUAUCAGUAUUUAUUGUUUUCCAGUCAAUUCUAGAGAUUCUAUUAUUGACUUUUUUAUAUGUAAUAAUUUUCUCCUUAAUUCAAGGAGUAGUAAUUCUCUCCUUAAUUCAAGGAGUAAUAAUUGUAUCCUCUCUAUAAAUACCAGCCUUUGGCUGAGGAAUAAAAUAGAACAGCAUUUACCUAUUAUUUUUCAAUAUGGUAUCAAGAGCCCUAGGUUGGGACUUCUACUGUAGAGCUUUCCACAGCUAGUCUGAUCAACCUAUUUCCUUCCCCGACCCGUUUCACAUACCCAUUUAGCCUCCUAUGGCAGGUCGCAAUAGGUGGCCCUCCAUAGCAGAGGCCUACACCGGAUCCACAGCCAACCACGGCGAACAAUCACUUGACUCGGGCGUCAACAGCGGUGAUGGCGGUGGCAAAGGAGACGGCGGUGGCCGCGGUAAUGGUGGUGGUCGUGGAGAUGGCACACCAAAGUUCGUCACAAACAGUGGCGGUAAUGACGGCAACAAUGAAAACAGAAACAACAGUGUUUAUGGUGACAGUAAUGUCAAUAUAGGUUGCAAUGACCAAGAGGGUUCCUCAUACUCCCUCAAGGUCAAUAUUCCUAAGAUGAAUGGGAAGAACUAUAAUGAAUGGGCCCAAACCGUUCGCUUGGUAUUGGAUAGCAAAGGGAAGCUUGGUUUUUUAACAGGAGCAGUAGCUGAACCAACAAGCGGAGACCCUCGUUACAAACAAUGGAAAUCUGAAAACUCCUUGAUUAUUGCUUGGUUGGUAAGCUCUAUGGAAACUGGAAUAGGUAAGCCUUACAUGUUUUUGCCUUCUGCAAAGGAUGUGUGGGAAGCUGUUAAGGAAACAUACUCUGAUAUUCAAAACUCCUCCCAAAUUUUUGGUUUAAAAUCAAAGUUAUGGCAGGCUAAACAAGGUGACAGGAGUGUAACUGCUUAUUACAAUGAGUUGUUGACCCUGUGGCAAGAAUUAGAUCUCUGUUAUGAUGACAAUUGGAGGUGUACAGAAGAUAGUGUUCUGUUUCUCAAGAGGCAAGAAAAUGAUCGUGUCUUCAUGUUUCUUGCUGGGCUAAAUACAGACCUUGAUGAGGUAAGGGGUCGAGUUUUAGGAAAAAUACCAUUGCCAACUCUUCGUGAAACUUUUGCAGAAAUCAGAAGGGAGGAGGCACGACAAGGAAUUAUGAUGGGCAAGACACCACGAAGUUCUGAAUCUGAAGGCUCUGCUCUGGCUACUAGGAACCUCGGCGAGGGAAAAAGGUCAGAAAAAGUUCCUUGGUGCGAUCACUGCAAGCGCGAAUGGCACACACGUGAAAAUUGUUGGAAGCUCAUAGGAAAACCUCCUAGCUGGAAGAAGAAAGGUCGUCGUGCAUUUCAAGCAAGUAAUUCUGAUCAAGGGCAGCAAUCCUCUUCGACUCAGCUUCCGCUCACUACGGAACAACUAGACAAACUGCUCAAACUCCUCGAGUCUUCAACCCCUUCUUGCUCUAUAGCAACAAAAGGUAAUUCUGCAUGUCUUAGUGUCAGUCCCAGUCAUACUUGGAUAUUAGAUUCAGGUGCCUCGGAUCACAUGACAAGUGAAUCCACCUUGUUUUCUUCAUAUAGUCCAUGUGCAGGUAAUCAAAAAAUAAAAAUUGCAGAUGGCUCUUUUUCAGCCAUUGCAGGUAAAGGGUCAGUUGUGUUGUCUCCAGUGUUAACUCUUAACGAUGUCCUUCAUGUUCCAAACUUAUCCUGUAAUUUAAUGUCUGUUAGUAAAUUAACCCGAGAUAUAAAUUGUCAAACCAAUUUUUUCCGUUCUCACUGUGUCUUUCAGGAUUUGAACUCGGGGAAGAUGAUUGGCAGUGCUAAGGAGAGUGGAGGACUCUACUACCUUGACAUUGGAUCUGCAUCACAACUACCUCCAAAAACAAUAAGUUCCUGCUUUGAAUCCUUUUUUGUUUUGAAUAAUAAUGAUGACAACGUUAUGUUAUGGCAUUUACGAUUAGGUCAUCCUAGUUUUCAUUACUUAAAACACUUGUUUCCUAAGUUAUUUUAUAAUAAGAACCUUUCUUUGCUUAAAUGUGAAGCAUGUGAGUUUGCAAAGCAUCAUCGUUCCCAAUUUCCAAUACAGCCAUAUAAACCAUCAAAACCUUUUUCUAUUGUUCACAGUGAUGUUUGGGGCCCUAACCGUACAAGUACACUUUCUCUUAAAAAAUGGUUCAUCACAUUUAUAGAUGACCAUUCAAGAGUAUGUUGGGUGUACUUGUUAAAGGGGAAAUCAGAUGUUUGUCGGGCUGUAAAGGAUUUUUGUACAAUGGUGCAGAACCAAUAUCAAACAAAUAUUCAAGUCUUUAGAAGUGAUAAUGGCAAAGAAUAUUUUAACACUAUUUUGGAUGAUUUUUUCCUAAAAAAUGGGAUUGUACAUCAAAGUUCAUGUCCUAAUACUCCUCAACAAAAUGGAGUUGCUGAAAGAAAAAAUAGACAUUUAUUGGAGGUUGCUAGAGCAUUACUUUUCUCAAGUAAAGUACCAAACUAUUUGUGGGGCGAAGCUGUUUUAACAGCGGCAUAUUUAAUUAAUAGAAUGCCCUCCAAAGUUCUCAAUUUCCAAACUCCAAUUAAUACUUUCAAAGAAUGUUUUCCUAGUACUCGUGUUUCAACUGAUUUGACAUUAAAAAUCUUUGGUUGCAUAGCCUUUGUUCAUGAACAUAAAAAUGUUGGAAAACUUGAACCACGUGCUAUAAAAUGUGUUUUUGUUGGAUACUCCCCAACCCAAAAGGGGUAUAAAUGUUUUGAUCCAAAAAACAAGAAAAUGUUUGUCACUAUGGACGUUACGUUUUUUGAAAAUAAACCUUUUUUUAAUGACACUCAUCUUCAAGGGGGGGAUAUAAAGGAAGACUCGUUUCAAAUUGAGGACAUGAGUUUUUUAAAUAAAUUAUCUUUGCCUGUACCACAAAGCUCUAAGACUUAUAGUUCUGCACCAACAGAAAAUGGCCAAGAUACUCUAUCUGAUCCUACUCCUGUUAUGAGUAAGGAACUUGAGGAAUCAGAGCCUACAUUUUCUCAUGAAGAAACCAAUGAGAAUCUUGACAAUAGGGAUGAUGAUGAUCUAAUUAAAAUGCCACAAAAUAAUGAGUCACUUAAAGAGAACAGAUUUGAAGUAGGAAACAGGACUUGGAAAGGGAAGGUUUAUGUGAAAAAGCACCACAAAGAAAGGAAUGAGUCCACAUCUCAACACUGUCAGGAAUCUGAACCGGGGAAUGAUCAACCUCCUAAGAAAAUGAAAGGUAAGUCUAUCUCUGUUUCUGAGAGUCGUAUUUUGUAUCCUGAUAUAGAUGAUCCUGUUGCCAUUAGAAAACCUGUUAGAUCUUGCACUAAACACCCUAUUUCCAAUUUUAUAUCAUAUUCAAAUUUGUCUUCAUCUCUGUCUGCCUUCACCUCAAAAUUGUCUAGUGUAGAAAUUCCAAAAAAUGUCCAGGUUGCUCUAGAAAUUCCAAAGUGGAGGGAAGCUGUACUUGAGGAGAUGACAGCUCUUGAAAAGAACAAAACUUGGAGUGUUAUGACACUACCAGAUGGCAAGAAGACAGUUGGAUGCAAAUGGGUGUUUACUGUGAAGUAUAAUUCAGAUGGGUCAAUUGAAAGGUACAAGGCUCGCUUGGUGGCGAAGGGCUUUUCUCAGACCUAUGGUAUAGACUACUCAGAGACAUUUGCUCCUGUUGCAAAAUUGAACACUGUCCGAAUUCUCUUAUCUCUUGCUGCCAACCUGGAUUGGCCCCUACAUCAAUUGGAUGUUAAGAAUGCGUUUCUUAAUGGUGAUCUAGAAGAAGAAGUAUAUAUGGAGAUUCCUCCUGGCUUUGAAAGCAAAUUUGGAUCAAAUGUAUGCAAACUAAAUAGGUCUUUGUAUGGAUUAAAGCAGUCCCCUAGAGCUUGGUUUGAAAAAUUCACUCAGUCCAUGAAGAAACAAGGGUACACUCAAGGACAGGCUGACCACACCUUAUUCACAAAAUUCUCCCAUGAUGGGAAAGUUGCUGCCCUGAUUGUUUAUGUUGAUGAUAUUGUCCUUACUGGAGAUGAUACAGUUGAAAUGGCAAGAGUAAAAGAGAAAUUAGCAGUAGACUUUGAAAUCAAGGACUUAGGACCCAUGAGAUAUUUUCUUGGAAUGGAGGUUGCUCGAUCAAAGAAUGGUAUUGUGGUUUCACAGCAGAAAUACAUUCUAGACUUAUUGAAAGAAACAGGAAUGAGUGGAUGUCGUCCAGCAGAUACCCCUAUGGAUCCUAAUGCUAAACUUUGGGAAGAAGGUAGUGUUCCCGUUGAUACUGGAAGAUACCAAAGAUUGGUUGGGAAACUGAUUUAUUUGUCACACACUCGACCUGAUAUUGCUUUCUCAGUUAGUGCAGUGAGUCAGUUCAUGCAUUCUCCUUUUGAGGAACAUCUUGAGGCAGUCUAUAGGAUACUGAGAUAUUUGAAGGGAAAUCCCGGAAAAGGCUUAUUUUUUAAGAAGACUAGUGAAAGAAAUGUGUCUAUCUUCACCGAUGCUGAUUGGGCAGGCUCAGUCACAGAUAGAAGAUCAACCUCUGGAUAUUGUACCUAUGUUUGGGGUAAUCUUGUGACAUGGAGGAGCAAGAAACAAGGAGUUGUGGCAAGAAGUAGUGCAGAAGCUGAGUUUAGAGCUAUGGCUCAAGGUAUUUGUGAAGGAUUAUGGAUUCAUAGAGUCCUAGAAGAACUUAAGAUGAAAAUUGAGCUUCCAUUGAAAUUAUACUCCGACAGUAAAGCUGCUAUUAGCAUAGCUCAUAACCCAGUUCAACAUGACAGAACCAAGCAUAUUGAGAUUGAUCGACAUUUCAUAAAGGAGAAGUUAGAUGCUGGAAUCAUAUGUCUACCUUUUGUGACUUCGAGUCAGCAAACUGCGGAUAUCCUGACCAAGAGCUUGGCAAGACCUACCUUUGAGCAUUUGAUAGGCAAGUUGGGCAUGAUAGAUAUCUAUGCACCAACUUGAGGGGGGGUGUUGGAAAAUAUAUCAGUAUUUAUUGUUUUCCAGUCAAUUCUAGAGAUUCUAUUAUUGACUUUUUUAUAUGUAAUAAUUUUCUCCUUAAUUCAAGGAGUAGUAAUUCUCUCCUUAAUUCAAGGAGUAAUAAUUGUAUCCUCUCUAUAAAUACCAGCCUUUGGCUGAGGAAUAAAAUAGAACAGCAUUUACCUAUUAUUUUUCAAUAGAAACCGUGGGUAAAAUCAAAUUGGGUAGUCCCAAAUAUUUUGAAUAUAACUCACAUACCUUUGUUACAUAUCCAUCAUGAGCUCGCCAAGAGGCAAUGACAUUUCCACUCUUAGCAUCAAAUAAUUUACAGUGACCAGAACUUAGUCCAGUUGCAAUCAAAGAUGACAAAGUGGGAAUACCACCUGCUUGCAUUUUGUUAGAACCCGAGGAACAAAUGGCAGAAAUAAGUGAAGGAAAACUAGAAUCAUUAGAUUCCCCCCUCCAAAUAUGAAGCUUUUGACCUCGAGCAACAUCAAUAAACCUGCACAGUACAGAAAAAAAUCAUGAGUUGGAAGGCGUCAACGUAUUUCCUAACGUGCAUCGAAUUGAUAUAGUAGCUAAAACAGAGAGUCAAUUUCACCUGAGAGAACCAUUUCCAGUGCCGACUACAAGAGUUUCAGCAGAGUCUAAUAGAUACAUACAAGUAUAAAGGCUUGAGUCAAAAGCACUAGACAAUAUUCCACUUGAUAGUGUAUUCAAAUUAAGGACAUUUGCCUGGUCACUGUUAAUUUUUGGCACAGAGGGUUGAUGGUUUGUAGGAUAGCCAGAUUCUGUUUGGGACUCGGCAAAAACUGAUAUUUGCUUCCCUGUUUGACUAUUCCAAAUAUGAAUUGUUCCAUCACAAGAUGCCACUCUUCCACUAGAAGAUAAGAUGCAAAUAUCGUUUACCACCUAAAAUUUGCAUGAGUAAUGAGUGAUUUGUAGCAAAUGCUGUUACAGUAGAAAAAUAAUAUCUAAAAGCCCAAAGAAGCUAAAAAAAUUUCAAACACACCUUAACUCAUGAAUAACUGUUACAAUUUGUAUACUAAUAAAUAUGUUGUUGCACUAAACAUCCAUUCACAUCACAUCCCCUUUUGUUUUAAAUCAUCAUCCAUUAUGCAUAUGGAUCACCUAGCAGUGCUAGGUGAUGCUUAAUGGAUGAUGACUAGCAGUUUGCUGAUUGAUGCCAUAGUUGAAACUUCAUAGUACUUAGUAGUUCUUUACUAUAGGAAUAUAUAAAUACUACAUGGAUUUACAUCAAGCAAACAAUGGUCGAAGAGUGUCAUUUUAACUGAAUGUAAAAGCAAACCUCCUCAUGGCCAUAAUAGCCUGACAGACAGUUAGUUCGGCUUAAUUCCCACUUCUGAACAGUGCCUUUAUAUCCUUGGCCAAUUCCUGCAGUAAAAACUAUACAUUCAUCCUGAUCAACAGCCAGAGACCUCACUGCUCCAUGAUGUGCCCGUAUAGAGUGAAGUACAGAUGCUCUAAUCUUCCAUGGAAGGUCUUCUUUCUGAACCCCAACCCGCCCAAGAAAUUCAGGCCCAUCCCAGAUGGUGGAUGGACUAGGGAACCAAAACCAGGGUUCAAGGUUCACUUGGCAUGACAUUCCUUCAUGCAUUACUACUGGGCUCUGCUGAACUUUGAAUGACCGUCUCUGAGGAUUCAAAUUUUUGGCACUUUUACUACCUUGGGAUUGUGGAAUUGACCAUCCAACACCAUUAAGCAACAGCUUUGCUGGAUUGUAUUCAGAUGUGAAUCCCCGGGAAAUCGCAUGUCUUCUGGCAAUAAAAUUUUCUGAGCCAUUUUUUGAUGAUUCUCCUGCAUAUUCCCACUGAACCACAACAGGCUUAGAAAUGAGCAAACGAGGCCAUGUGACAGAAAUUAUUGCACCAACAAAAACACAAUUUUCCACUUACAUGAGGGGGGGCAAGAAGGAAACAAAGGUAAACGUAGCAUACCUUCCAAUUAUGAUGGCGUAGAAGAAAUUGUUCAAGAAGCAACCAUGUAGUACAACAUUGACGAAGUUUCUCUAUCCCAAGAAGAGAUGCAAAGGAAGGAUAGAGAAGCAACCUGCAUAUGACCAGAAAAUUUUAUUUAUACUGUGAAUAAUAAAGGAAGAAUGUAAGACAAUAAAGCAGACACAAUAUAAAAUACAACAAACUUGAAAGUGAGCCACAACCAUUUACAGCACCUAACAUAAUGUACCCAAAAAAACUAACUCUCACGGUUUCAGGUGAAUGUGCAUACUUUUUGGGUUAAAAGAAGACCAGACACAUGAAAUGUCAUGGGUUUGGGUUUCCUAUUCUGAGCUCAAAUCAUAAUUGGAGAAGAUCAUUGAUCUUUCAAAUUUUUCUAUCAAUAAAUCAAGUGUUUCAAAUAUGCUUCUCAAAUUAUGAAAGUUGAGCAUUCCUAAAUCCCUCUAUCCCUAUAUGUCUAACAAUUAGAGGUGCAAUAUUGUCUAUGUCUAUUUGUUCUAGCAUUUUUUGUGGGGCAAAUCUACAUAUCAUAUGUGUGAUUACAUGCCUUUCACUAUAAAAAGGUAUAGUACAACUAUUUUCAGAUUUAACAUCAACCACUCCUAAGAAUAAAAAGAAAUUCAUUUCUGCUUAUCCUUGCAUGAUUUCAUUUUUAUCCACUUCUCUUACUUACUACUCUCCACUCUCCUUACCUAGAGCUUUUCUAGUCUUGCAUUAAAUACCCAUGAGAGGAGUUUCUCCCUGCAUAAACCUAGUCUAGAAAGCAGAUUUGUCACUCACACUAGGUCCAUACGACUUUCAAUUUGCAAGUCCCCUCCAAAUUUUAAUUUGGUAACCUUCAAGUUUCUGCCAACAGUAGUCGAACCUUUAGAAAUUUCCUGGGAGAAAGCAAGUUCAUCAAAUAAUUCUUUAAGCUUUGGAAGAAUAUGCAAUGCUGUCAAAUCUGCCCCAAUCCGCUGACAAAUUCCAAAGAGAGUAGUAGCAGCAACCUGACAAAGAGAAGGCGACUGCCAUUAUUUAACAAUUUAAGUGACUAUGGCAAGAUGCAUUGUGGCAAAGAAAUGGAUCAGACAUCUCCAGAGUAUCAGGAUACUAGCCAAAAGGAAACUUUGAUCUAUAAAGUUUGAAAUAUAACUUCUAACUUUGAAGGAUUGCAUACAAACAAUUUGGAAGAAGUGCCAGAGUGUGUCAAUCUGUUUUAGGUACAAAUACAAUGCUUGGUUUCAAAAACCCACGAGUCAAGGCACAGACCUUAAUCUUCAUUUCACCAUAACUCUUCAUUUGACAUUCUAAUUUAAGAAGGCAUAAAAAUAUUCAUGUAAAACUGUAUAUUCCUUUGCGACUUGUGAUUAAAAAGUAAAAAGUCCUCCCUAAAGAGUAAAGCUGAGAUGCCAAUUAGAGCCAAUGAAACCAAGGAAUGGACGAUGGAGCCAAAACAAACCAAUGAAUAAUUUGAAGAACCUGAAGCACUGCAAUUUCCAUAUGUUUCUGCAUGAGAAUCCCAAUAUGUAUGCAACUUACGUCCUGUAUAUUUACAACACAUUAAAAAAUUAAUUGUAAUACAAUACUUACUGGCAAUUAAAGCAUUUUGAAGCCAAAAAAGAAUAAGAACAUACUGCUAGCAGCUCUUUUACAAUGACCUCUUCUGUCAAGAAAGCUGCAAGGCCAUCCAAAGUGAUCAUACAAUCAAUAAGUGCUAAAGCACUCCAACUCUGAACAGGAUCAGGCUUAUUCAUGCAUGACACAUCAGUGAAGGAACGAACAACAUUUUUCAGCAAUGGUAGCAUCUGUUUAACAAUAAAGGAUUCCCCAAAUAUACCACCUGAAAAGUCAAAAGAGGAAAGGGGAUUAAAACUGAAGGCCUCAAACGCGAAACAUGGAAAAAUACAAAAGUCAAUAAAACAAGAAUACCAAUUCUGACUAGCACAUCAAGGCCAUCUGAACACAGUCCUUUCCCAAAGCAGUGAACAAGGGGCAAGAUGGUCUGGUUCAAGAAGAAAAAGGUCAGUAAAACAAUAAUGGUUGAACCUAAGUGGGAGUGCAUGCAUGUGGAAAAAGGAAAACAUAGUGCUGAGGUUGUUGCAAAACAUGAAAACCUGAUGAAUGGUAAUCGGAACACCAAUCUCUUCACUAGAACCGAUUAGAAGCACUGAAGCAGAGGCAGCUGAACUUUUAUCUGGAUAAAUAUACAAAUUUGACAAGACCAACGGGUGAACAGUUGCCAGGUAUGCCUGUUUACCAACUCGAUUCCAUAUUUCCCGUACAAAUGAAUCUUGUAAAAGGGAAACCUUUAAAUGCAAACAACCUGCUGUCUGUAAAAAGAUGUCUCAAUAAGAAGUCAAAGAAUUAAAAAAUAUGUAAAAAGAAAAAAGAAAGAAAAGAUCUUUACAGACUAAAUAAAUUCACACAAUGAAGUUCACAACUAGCCUGUAAAAUUUUCUGUACGGUUGGCAAUAUUAAUGUUUUUACUGCUUGUGCUGUUAAGCAUUUCAUUAGUUCCUCCAGUAGUAUAUAUGCCCAUUCAGCUUCGGUAUCAUUAACAGCGGUCACUAUAAGUGGUAAGCAAUAAGUAGCACACAUUUCAGUUGCAAAUGCACCCAUUUCUCUGAGAGCCCCCUGCUUUGCAAGAUUUGCAGCAUAACGGAGCCGAGUUUCAUCUUUAGAUACAAGCUGAAGUGGGGCAAGAAACAAGUAGGAGGACUUGACUGUCUUUGGGAAAUAAGGGGAUUCAAGAAGAAUUUUGGCUGAUGGCCUCCUAUAUAGCAAAAAUUAAUACUUCAACAAUAUGAUAGAAGAAACAACCCACAAAUCAUAACUAACAAGGACGGUAGACACAUGCAUUCAGUUGCACAUAGGCACGCACACACUGAUACCUCGUCCAAUCCUUUUGGAUGCAUGCUUCAACAAGUAAUCUAACAUGAGGAGGCAGUUCCUGUAGAAAUCCUGGUAAGGCUCCAUCCUCCAAGUACAUUGCCAAUGAAAUUGAAUCGAAGAGGGGCCUGCAAAGAUGAAGCUCAGCUAAGAGACAACCAACAGAAAAUAUGUCCCUAGCAACAUCUUCAGAGUCAAGUCUUGAAGAAGAUAAUUUCUGCCUCCAAAGCAGAAAGUCUGGAUAUCCUGAGGAGCCUUCAUCUUCCUCUUUCAUGUGUUGAAGAAAGGAGAUCAGAUUCAUUUUAUAUGGAACCCAAUAAUUUCUGUUUACCAAAGAUAGUUCACUUAUGUUUUUACUAAAUGUCUCUGGUGCUGGAUCUCCCAAAGAUGAGAUGUUCUUCCCUUUAAUAUGAUUUAGUGGAUAACGAUAACAAGCAUUCAAAUGCCUAGCAUGUUCUGAAAAUGCAGAUGCUUGCUCUAGUUCUUGUAGAUAAGCAGUUUCAGAUAGAAGAGAUGUCUCUCGCUGCAUUUCAUGUGCUUCACUCCAAACUUUGGCAUAUUUGUUGGAACCAUGACGUGUUAUUCUAGAAGUAGCGUGACGAAUGGGGUGCGGUUGUGUAAAGAGCUGACGACGUCCAGUAGAUCUUGGCAUUGUGGGUUCCGAUAAAGGAAGCAUAACAUUCUUAGCAAUAACUGCUGCGUGGCCAGACAUUUUGUACCCAAAGAUUAUAUCUAUCCAAUGGUGUAGUUGAAAUGACACCCUAUCACUUUCUAAUGCGUCACGGUGCAAUUUAAUGAAAUCCUCGGGACUCUCUGCCCAAGAAGGUACAGCCAAAUCAGCCAUACCAUCAUGUAUUGACCUAAAAAUUAGGGCAUCACAGUAAAACUCCGGAAUGCAUUCAUCAGGGGUCCAUUGAUAAAGCCUUUGCAUUGUGGAAGGAUAUUCAUUAGGUUCAUACACUGAACGAACAGCCAUUCGAAGAACGCUCAAAGGCAGCCUUCUUGCUUUAUAACUGCAGACAGCCAAUUCAGACAGACAUUCAUCUGAUACAUGAUGAGGGAUUUCAGAUGUUGAAUAGGUGAAAUCCAACUGUUCAUCACCUUUUGCCAGGCGCCAUUUGCUCUUGUUUAAGUCCCGCCAUCCUGCAUCACAAUUAUCAUCAGGCUUGGAGCUAAAAUCAAUUACCCAAGGCAUUACAGGAUGAAAUGUAUGGUCACCCCACCUUCUUCCUGCUAGUCUGUUUAAGAUAAGUAAAUACUCGAAAUUACUUAGUUCCCCUCUCCACCACUGAUGAAAGCUACAAUUCCAAUCUAUCGAUGGAGAAAGCUUCAGAUCAGCAUAAAGAUCAUUAGAAUGACAGCCACCAUUACAGCAACCGGUUUUUGCAGGUUUAGAAUCAACCCUUUCACUCUUUUGCGAAGUUAAACUUGAUUCCAACACAGGUUCAUUCCACAAUCUCAGCCAAGACCACAACGAGUCCGUCAACAAGAUAUUGGAAGGGCAUAUAUUACCAUGCGAAACCCCUAGACCGUGCAAGUACAAUAAGGCUGAGAGUAGCUGAUAUAUAAGAAAUCUUCUAUUCCAAUCAGAUUUCAACGCACCGGGGUUAAAAUGAAGAAUACUUUCCAAGUUGUAUGGAGUCUUUGGAAGCAUCAUGUUAAUGUAAUCAGAUGUUUUCAAAAUUCCAAGAACAGGAGCUAUGUUUGGAUGCCUCAAAGAGCCUGGAAAAGUAUCUUUCUCAAAUGAAGGCAGCCCAAGUAACCUAAGAAAAUUUACACAGUCCCGUCCAGACGCUUUCCCUGCAAUGAAGAGAUCAAGCGACUCUAACACAUGAUCUUCGCUUAAACCGGACAAGAAAUCAGCGGCAACCUCUUGAAACGUAGAAUACGAAGACAUUCCGACCCGAGCAAUGGGGGCAAGUGAGGUGAUUGUCCUGGAGCAAGAAAACCUUCCAGAAUGAUUACACGACGUGUUUCCGGAAGUAGCAUUUCCAGUUUCAGAAGCAACAGAUAUAGCAAUUCCACCAUUAAUCUCAUCAUUAUAUUGAUUGCCUCCAAUAUCAUGAUCAUUACUCCUAGUGCUUUCACUACUACUAUCCAAAAUAUAUUCAUUUCUGCAAACCCACCAAUAACUAAAUCAUCAAUCAUUUUGUUACAAGAAUGCAUACAACAUCAAAACAUUUCAUAUAACAAUCCACAAAAACAUCAUUAAAUUGAAUCUUACACAUAAUUGACAAAACAAUUCUUGUCGUGACCGGGCAUGUACUGCAAGAUGAAUUGACUGCCCGAUGCUUCAGUACCAGAAACCUGUUUUGGAAGAAACAGAAAAAGCAAGUUAGAAAAUGGAUUAAGAUAACAAAAAAUGAUCAGAAAAUUCAAAGAGAGGAUGAGAGAUUGACAUGAACGAUAGCUGAGGAGCCGAAAGGAAAAGCAGAAGUGGAGAUGGCAUAGUUGAAGACGAGUUGGUCAGAGAAAUCCGAGUUGAUUCGACGUUGGAGGCAGUCGAAGCAGUGAUUCUGUUCCUCCAUGGAAUCGCUCGCUCUGCUGAGUCGAGUCAACUCAGCGAUUCCUCAUGCUUUGCUGCCUGUGCUUCUUCUCCAACUGCAACAGUUGCUUAAACGCAGCGUUUUGUUGUUAAUCGUGGAACUCUGUUGUUAUAUUUGUUGAUUGAAUUUGAGAUUAGGAGUAUGAUUUUAAUCACGGAUCUAACUGAAAGCUUCUUACUUACCCCUUUCCCCAAGACCCCAACCCAAGACUGGUAGGUGGUGUGCACUGGUGCUUAGAUUAGCUAGAUGGAAGUGGUUCUAUUUGAAACGAAAAAUAAACAAAAUGUUUUGCUUCGUCUCAGGGUAGAAUCUUAAUUGUCACUCCAAUAUUCUCAUUUAAAUACAACUUAUUUCAUUUGCUUCGAUACACAACGCUACGGUUGGUUGGACAUCCCGCUAUUAGACAUUUCAUUAUUGUGGUGGUAUUUUACCGCCAAUUCAUGACAGUAAAAACCUGUCACAAAAGUCGAUUUAUUGUCACAAAAGUGAAUCAUCUACAACAAUAAUCGAUAUUUUAUUGCAAUAUAUACGACGAAGUGAGAUAUAUUCGACUAGUGUAGUGACAUCCAUAUUAUGCGGAGUGAUUUUUUAUAUUCUUGACAUGAUUAAAAUUGUGUGAAUAAUAUACUUUGGUAACGGUUCGUCAAGGUCGAUCCAGUCUAAGCCAAAUGUAUUUUGAUUCGGUGUAUACACUUAGGCAUUCCAACGACCUAAGUUAUUCUUCAACAUGCCAAUUAGCGAGGUUGAAACUAGGUUGAGCAGAAGUGCAUGUUUGGAGUUCAUUUUUAGGUUGUUCUUAUACUAUGCUGAUUAAAAUUGAGCUGAUCAGGAGUUAGAACAUGCUAAUAAUAGUGUUGCUGCGACAUGGCUUAAUUUAAUUUCUGUCAUAGUACACUGAACUUCAAACUAAGGAAAUUAAAAAUCCUGUUGGGUAUAAAAACAUGAGUAAUGUGUCCGUUGAAAAGAAAAGGAAUAUAUUGUUGCACAUCUGUUGCUAAAGAAAGAAAGCAUAACGUUAAUCAUCAGGAGACUCUAAGUCUCAAACACGGUUGUAGGCCACUGACUUGCUGAAAAGGCGCCUAAUGUAUAUGACUUGCAGUGUGCUAACAGCAGCCAACAAAAGGUACUCUCCGACAGUGUAGAAUAUGACUCGCGAGCGUGUGCUCUCAUUUGCUACAAACAAAAAAGGGAGUUUGAGUCAGUACAAGGUGGAUAAUGAAAGAAGAAGGAAUGCAGACGAGGAUAAUAUAUCUUUCAUUCUUGAUUCAGGAAAAUACUAUCAUGAGGAUAUUAAGAAACAGAUCUAAAAUGCUGUACAUAAUGACCAGAUAUCAUGAGACUGACAGUUCCUAGAUGCAGAAACUAGGAACAUUCUUAGCCAACAACAAGCGGUACAAACAAACUAGUUCUUAUAUGUCUAAAAAGUUAAUGGAUGGAUGAUGGAUCUCUGCUACACUAGGCCUGGGAGUGGAAAAGCUUUGGGUGAGAUCACGAUCACGUGAGAAACUGUCCCUUUCUUUUCACUACUUUCUCUCGAAAUCCAAGUUCUUAAAAGAAUUGGUGCUGAGCAUGAGUAAUUCUGUUAUCAAAAUUCCCACUCCCCACCUGAUAUCCAUGACUCUGUCCGGCAUUGCGUUUAGAUGCUCAGAAGAGGUUAAUUUUAGCCUCCCGGUUCUUAAAAAGUUUGUGACAAUAAAUUGCAUUUUAUAUAAAUGCAUAUAUGAUUCAAAGAAAAAUAUCAUGACUACCACAAUCAAAUUUCCCAAGGUAGAACAGUGGCAGUUCAUGGAAAAGGAGACUACUUACUAUGGCGAUGCCUAGUAUCACGAGCUUUCAAGUACUUUUGUUCAGCUGUAACAGACUCUAGUGCCUCCCUGAGCUCAGCAAUUUUAACAUUAAUUGGGUCCAGAUGCUCUGCAAGUGCAAACCAUCAAAAUUAGGGAAACUCCCAAAAACCAAACAAUAGAAGGAACAAAAACACUUAGAUUGCUCUUCACAAAUGUCAAGAAUACCUCAGGUAAAUGGUAAACGACUAUACUAUUUAAUACUAUAAAUAUGUUAAUUGUAGAAUCUACUAAGGAUGCUUUCCCAGAGAACAUACCAUCUUUGGCAAGGUUAUGCUCAUUGGGAAUAUGACCAACAUGGAUGUAGAAGGAAACAGUCUCAGGUGUCGAGUAUGGGUUAUGAAAACAAAAUUUGUACAUCCCAGAAGCUGGGGCUUUAAAUUGAAACUUGUCGCCAGAGGUUCCCUUGAUGUCGUGGACAGUAUUACCUGCAGGAGAUGUCACCUGCAUAUAACCCAAAAAUUAGGAUAUCUGAAAAGCUAAAGAUAGAAAACAAUAUGCAAAUUUGGGCUGCUCAAUCAGACAAAGAAUUCAUACAAACAGUAACCAAAGAUGGCUCCUAAUGCACUUCCUAUUAUACUAGUUAGCACACAUAAAUUUCUUUACACAAAACCACUAUGGAUUCAUACAAACAGUAACCAAAGAUGGCUCCCAAUGUACUUCCUAUGAUAUUACUAGUUAGCACAAUAUAAUUUUUUACACAACCCUAAGUCCCCAAAAUAAAAUACAUCACCAAGCAUCAGCUAAUAUCCAUGCAAAACAAGAAAGAACCAACAACCAAGGACUCACCAAUGAUCAUUCAUCACACAAAUGAUACUGAUCACUAAAACAUUUAAACACAAUAUAUGCAGAAUUUGAGGCAUCCAACACAUUUUGGUAAUCCCCAUCCAUAAUUCAGCUUAAGGAAGAUGCAACCAAGUCAUGUAAGAGACACAUCAAUAGCUUCCUACAGCUUAACCAAGUCCAUCCCCUUUUGUUAAAUGAACAAUUUUCAUGUUUGAUUAUAGCUACACAUAGAUCAUAUUCAACCCUAGUAACACCAAUCCUCCUCAAAAACCCUAAUAUAACCUACCCCAACUAAAAACCCUAAAUUCAACUCCAUAACAAAAAUCCAAUAGUUGUUACUAUACAACAAAUCAUCAGUGUGAGUAAUCCAAUAAAACAAAAUUCAAAUUGAAUGACAGGGAAUUGGGUUUGCGUUGCACUCACCGUGAGAUCAAUGCCGGGGUGAUCGGAGCCCCAGAAAAUGUCAUGGUCAACAACAACGAAGUUCCCGGAAACGGUGUCACCCUCAUAGAGCACAUACUCGUAGAUGCACUCAACCUCGUGCACAGUGACAGAGAGCGAUUCAAUGCGAGCAACGAAGCUCAGCAUCAAACACAUCAAAACCAUCCACAUCUUGUUCGCAAUUCUCUUUCCCUCCAUCAUUUAUUUACCCUGUGGAAUCAAAAUUGUGGUUCUCAGAUCUCAGAAGAUUGCAAGUUUGAGAAAAUUGUGAUCCGUUUUGGUCUGUGCGGUGAAGGUGCGGCGAUGAAGCAAAACGGCACCACUGUUGGCGUCGUGGACUUGAGAUGAUGAAGGUGGUAUAUGAAUGAGGGUGUAUGAUGGAGGCGUCGUUUUUGGUGACGUGUGACGUGCACUAGCCAAUCAGAGAAGACUGUAGGUGACAGGUCACACACACACUGUAACUUAACAAAUAUGGAAUUUAUUUUGACAAAUUUUUUAAUAAAAAAUAAUGAUAUUUAUAAUUUGUAAAGUUCUGUUUUUUGAAAAAGAAUUUGUAAAGUUAAUUCCUACGGUAUUUGACUUUCUAGGAGUUACAAUGAUUUUGUAAGUAAGACCUUGAGAAGAUCAAGUAAACAUAUCCCGACACACUUCCCACCUAAAUCAUCAUCAACACACUCCUCCAAGCUUAGAAGGCAACCCUGGGAAAAAGUAGAGGCAAAAGGCUUAUUCACCAUUCAUCAACUGACUGAAAUGACAACAUUUUCAGGUCAUCUAAGGGUCGAUCUCAACACACGUCGAACCUUUGACUACAUAAGGAACCAAAAGAAAAGCGGGUAAGUAAGAUUUAGCCAUUAACCCAAAUUCUCUUCACUAUUAUUAGUUACUUGGUCACUAGAGUAUCUUCACAUGUACACCUCAAAGGGCUCGAGGCGCUAGCUAGCCCAAUGAGAAUAAUUAAGUUCAUGAAGACAAGUGCUGAAGCAUUUACGUGUUCCUGAUAUUAUACACUCAUUUGAGUAACUGAUUAUUUGUUCGAUCAAUUACUUAAUUCAAAAGUUAAAGUAAUAUUAAAAUUUGUUCCUAAAUGAUAGCUCAAGUGUUCAGAGUUAGAGACAUAUGAGUUGAGGAUGAGAAAGUCCAGAAUCAAUCAUGAAGAAUGCAACAGUGUUGUUAGUAUACAAAGCGGACAAUUUCACUUUAACUAUUUAUUUAUCAGUUUUUUUUAAUGAAAUGGUGUUAGGAUACAAAGUGGACACUUAGGCUUAGUUCUUUUUCUUAUUACUAUUACAAUAGUCACCUUUCUCUUUCAAGUUUUCUUCACCAACAUUGGAUCGCAAGCAACAGCAAAGGUCAACAGCGUUGAAAAAUGGAGAAGAUUCAGAUACAAGUCCCACGAGUCAAACUGGGUAGCCAAGGCUUGGAGGUAAAAUUUCUGGAUAAUUUCUCCUUCCUAUAUGGACAUUUUUCAUUCUCCUCAUUAACCACUUUGUUCAUCAUCCAAAGUUGUUGUUUACAAUGGACUGAUUCUUAAUUCAGCAUCAGGAGGGAGAAUACAUUAAACCAUUUUUCCAUUUUCAUCAAAUGCCUGUUAUUGUCAAUCUCUGCAGUUUAAGAAAAGAUCCUUGUUUUCAUGAUCACCAACUCAGGAAUUAUUUUACCCAAAAAGUUGGCAUGAUUCUAUUUUAAUCACCCAUAAUAGGACUUUGUUCUCCAAAUUUCAACUCCACCCCAAGGAAUCUUCAAUCUGGUGGAGUCUUAGCCUGCAUUUAGUGCAUGCUGAUACUUGUAGAAUAAAUGUCUUUUACUUUUACAAUUUGGAUUUUGUUUUCAAGCAGUAGAGAAUGGUAAUUUUGACCUGUUUUGUAUAUCAGACUAUUUUAGAUUCACAGGUUAGAGCCUGAGUAUGAUGAUAGUGGUAGUGUAUACGUCUCUAACUCAAGUAUGCUUGGGUAAACAACUUAAUUAACCGCUUAUUCAUAAGCUAAUUUGAGAAACUUAUUGAAAUAAGAAAUAAGUUAUAGACUUAUGGUAAGCAUAAACUCUAUUUCAUUAGUUAAUCUGAACAAUCAAGUUAGAAAAAAGAUUACAAACCAUACUGUACUGUAUGCAAGUAAGAGUUACAUAAUUAACAUUUCAAUUUUCAGCUACUCCUUCUGACAUUCUAAAUCUCUCUCUAUAUCCCUGCCUCUCUUGAUUUCUCCCUUUUAGCUGGCCUAGUCUUUGAUUUAGUAUUUGUGAUUGUGAUAAGAUAAGGACACCCCCGCCCCCUCCCGUGUGUAUUUUCAUUUUUGCAAUGCAGGUUUCUAGGUUGGGCUUUGGCUGUGGAGGAUUGUCUGGAAUUUAUAAUGCUCCCUUGUCGCAUGAAGAAGGAUGUUCAAUUAUUAAGGAAGUGUUCAAUAAGGGGGUUACCUUCUUUGAUACAUCAGAUCUUUAUGGAGAUAAUCAUGAUAAUGAAAUCAUGGUUGGUAAGGUAACAUAUUAUCCAACUAAUUCAUUGAGUGGUGGAAAACAUAAUUAUCUGUAUGAGCUGCAAAUUGUGAUAAUUUGAUUAGUCAUGUGUUAACAACUGAUACACAAAGAAAUUAUACUUUACAUGUAGCAAGUGGCAUGUAGUUAUGUUUCACCAAUAUCAUUAUAACAUUGCAUAAAAAUGAGUUUGUUUACACUAUCAUCUCGCUGGGAAAGACAGAUUUGUGGGAGAUUUAAAAGAUACUUAGAUGAGGCCUUUUCUUGUGUCAUCAGGCUUUAAAAGAACUUCCCCCGAGAAAAAGUUCAGUUGGCUACAAAAUUUGGUGUUACUAGAUCAGAAGGGAUAGUUCUGCAAUUGGGAGUAAAAGGUACUCCUGAAUAUGUGAGGGAGUGCUGUGAAGCAAGUCUUAAGCGUCUUGAUGUCAAGUAUAUUGAUUUGUACUAUCAGCAUCGAAUAGACACUUCAGUGCCAAUUGAAGACACUGUAAGCUUUGAAUGUUUUUCCUCUGCGAUCCUCUAAGUUUUUCAAUCUAGAUGAUUAAGUGCUUUAACAUUGAUCUUUGUAUAUAUGGAAGAUGGAGGAGUUGAAACAACUAGUAAAUGAAGGAAAGAUAAAUUAUAUUGGGUUGUCAGAGGCUAAUGCUGACACUAUAAAGAGAGCACAUGCUGUUCAUCCGAUCACUGCUCUGCAAAUGGAGUAUUCAUUAUGGAGCCGUGACAUUGAAGAAGAUAUAAUUCCACUUUGCAGGUAUUUUACACACAAAUACUAACUGUGCUGUUCUUAUAGUCACAAAUUACAAGUAUACUUGAAUUUUUCAGUUUGAUAUGUUUUCUAACUCUGUCAUGUAUGCUUUAAGGUUGGAUUAUCUCUAAAUUAUCUGAAAGAAUUUGCUUUUAUUUAACUUAUAAGCAUUUGUGCUUGCAGAGAACUCGGGAUUGGAAUAGUAGCAUAUAGCCCUCUUGGUCGUGGUUUUUUUGCAGGAAAGGCGGUGGUAGAAAGUUUGCCUAGUCAAAGCUUGCUGGUAUGUAGCUAGUAAUAACUAACAAAUGAUAGUUUUAAGUUUGCAUGACUAAGGGAAGGUUUGAACUAUUCGUUGGAUCACAUCUCUCCGGAGGGAAAAUGGAAUAGAUAUCAGUGUUAGUUCUAGCAUGUUUAAAUCAUUUCUUUUUCUUCAGGAUCAAUUCUGAAUGCCAGAAGCUACAAGCUACUCAUAGUAGCUUCUUAUCAGAAUUGAUUUUGGCUAUCAAAUGUAGAAGGAUUUCCAAACAUGCAAUUUUAUUCCUGCAGCGAUUCUCUACUGAAAUUUCUUCAUGUUUCUGGUAACAGACUAUGCAUCCCAGGUUCACAGGAGAAAACUUGGAAAAGAACAAGCUUUUCUAUAAACGACUUGAUGACAUGGCUUCUAAGCAUGCAUGCACUCCUUCUCAAUUAGCCUUAGCAAUGGCUUCUCCAUCAGGGAAAUGACAUAAUCCCUAUCCCUGGUAGAGUCUUAACUAUAUUUAGGAAGACUUAUGUGUUCAAUAUAAGCAUGAGUUGCUUACUAUCUGUUUCUAAAGUUAAUCUUUUUUAUCAUUUGAUAUUCUGCCAAUUUACUUUCUAGAUUUUACUAAUUUCUCUUAAUAAUCACUACUCAAUGAAGAAGGAAAAAAACAUGGUAUUACCAUGUUUGGAUCGGUUUUUCUUUCGUUAGAAUCAAUUCUGACACCCAAACAUUACUCACAAAAGCUUCUCCCCAUGAUUGAUUUUGACUUUAAAAUCAAUUGCAGAAGGAUUUUCAAACAUGCACUCAAAUCCUUUUCUAUACAACUUCUAUAAUAAAUCGAUCAUCUGUCUCUUUCAAGCAUAAUGUGCAUUUGUUCAUUGACUGUACUAUUGUCCAUAAAAUAUGUUGCUAGUUGCUACUAUAAGCAUGUGAUAGAUUGAUUCUAAUGACUAUGUGCUAAUCAUAUAUUACUCUGAUACCACAGGGACUACUAAACUGAGGAACUUUGAGAACAACAUUGGGUCUCUGAUUGUGAAGCUUACAGAGGAAGAUUUGAAAGAAAUUUCUGAAGCAGUUCCUGUUGAUGAAAUUGCUGGGAAACGAGAAUAUGAUAGCUUAUCAAAAUAUACUUGGAAGUUUGCAACUACACCUCCAAAGUAAUUGCAUAGAGAAGAACCGUUGAAGUGUGUAGUGAGUUACUGUUGAGUUUUUAUUUAGUCAUUAUGCUCAUCUCAAUAAAAUAACCUCUGGGAUUCUAGGAGUGAUCUGUUGGAAAAUGGAAAAGCAGUUAUACUACUACCUUCAAAUGUAUGCAUGCCAUUGUUAAUUCUACAACUUAACUGACACUCCUUUUACUAGCAAAAAAUUAUCUCUUAUGUGCAUAUUUCACCAUCUGCACUAUCAGUUCUACUUAACAGCUAUAAUGGCAUUCUGUUUUAGACUAUGGAUCUUUUUUCAUGAACUGAUUGAUAGUGGUUGAGUGAGCCAUAAUUUCUGCAUACAAAUCAGGGCCGGUCCCGACAUUUUGGAGGCCCUGGGCAAAUAAUAACAAUGGAUCCUUAAUAAUUUUAAGGUUCGAAAUUUCAUCAGAACUAUUAUAUUGGUUUGUUUGGCAACUUUCGAACCCGAUACAUAAAAGUAACAUAAACAGUUACUAACCACUAGACCAGCUCAAGUCAUUAAUAACAUCUUGAACAUUAAUUAUUAUAACUAAAUUUUAUUUUAGGGGAAAAGUUUAAUGAGAUUUUUUUUUGGGCCCCUUCUUUUUAGAAGCCCUGGGCUGUGGGCCUGCUUGCACAGGUCCAGGGCCGGCCUUGAUACAAAUAUCAGGGAACAAUGACUGCGGGACAGUAGCUCAAUUCGCCUGUAUCAAUCUUUAAAGCUGGAGAGUAUAACACUAUUUUAUAAAUUAGGUUACUCUUAUUGGAUAUUGGGGUUAUAAUGGUCUCUACUCGAGCUAUCUUCAAAGGAUAAUGUUUGGGGGACAUACGACGAUCCGCAACCACCAAUCAAUACACAUAUUGUGACCGUUUUUUGGGCGGCUUGAGACACAUCCACAACGUUAAUUAAAUUCAAAUGGUUUUUCAUUGUUAAGGUUUAACUUUGUUUUUAAAAUCAUAUUCAAACAAAUUUACACUUUUUAUUCUAAUUAUAAUAAUUAUUUUUAAUUUAAAUUUAAAUUACUUUUAUAACUUAAUAUUGAAAUUUAUGAUUUAAAUUAAAUGUUCACUAAUUUAUUUUAAUUCCAUUUAUAUUAUUUACCCAACUUUUUAGGGUACGAUUUAAAAAAUUAAAAUCACUUCUAAUAAUAAAUUACAAAUCAUAAUUUUUUUUUCCUAACUAAACGUGUGUUGAAUUUUGUAUAAAUUGCAAAACUAAACAUAAUAAAAUAUAAGAAAUUAGUGUUCCAUAAUUAGUGAUACAGAAGAAAGUGUAGAGAAAGUCAUCUUAUUCUCUAUUAGCAAAUAAAAGUAUAUCAGGUCGAUCCUUAGAUGCUAGAGCUGAUCAGAAAAAAGCAAAAAUUGCUAUAAGCAAAGCCAUGUGACCUUAAUUGCAAGAAAAGUUCACUCAGAGCAUCUUCAAUGAUAGGAACUUAUUUUGGGACUUAACUCAAUUUUUGUGGGUCCAAAUUGCUACAUAAAAUUUAAACACCCAUAAGGUCUUCAUACACAUUUCACUCUAGUGGUUGAGAUCUUAUUUUACUUUUUGACUGUACCCACAGUACCCAAUAUAUUUAUAUUAUUUAUUCCCCUCCUUAAUUUUCACUUUGGUUAUGGUAUUGAAAGAGAGAGGAAAAAAUAUUAUUUUAUUUAAGAUCUCACAUUUGAGAGUACAUGAGCUAAGGCAUGCCAUGUAGGAUAGCUCCAAUGGUGAGACCUAAUAAGAUCCGGAUCUUAUUUUAAGGUCCCAAAAUAAGGACUCCAUUAGAGAUGCUCUUAAACACGAAACACGAAUGCUUUUUCCAGCAAAUGUAAUUUGGACAGAAAGCAUUGAAUUAGAGCAAAUAAAUUGAUGUUAAAGGCAGAGGUUCAGUUUCUUGGUUAACUAAGAAUCACUCCAAGAAACUAGAAAGUGAGUUAGUAUAGUGGUUCAAUAUUUUAUUUUUUAAAUAUACGGUUAAAGCUUAUGUAAAUGAAAACAACUCUUUUAUAAACCUUUAUUAUUUUUUGCGCUAGUGUGAGAGAUUAGUCACACAAAUAUCUAUUAUGGGAAUAUCCCUACGAAUCAUUCCAAGCCACGAAUUAUAUUCCAAGAAAGCAUUAGAACGUUCUAGUAAGUAGUACUUACCGAACUAGGUCUGCAGUUAAAACUAAUUGAAGUCCUAAAGGUUCCACGUCAAACACCAACCAUUUUAACCCCUGAUUCACCCUUAUGGCCCUCAAGGGAACCACGUCUCCUCCUUUUACCAUGUGUGGACAAGAGAACCCACGUGAACCAAUUACCUUUUGGACCUAUACACACUAGACGUGGAACCAAACUGUCCACCACAAUGCUUGCCUUAAUUCUAUAUAAACCACCUCAUUCAUUGCUACUAUACCUAACAAAGGAGGUGUAGCAUUAAAAGCAUAGCUUAAAAACUUUACUAAGCUCUUACUAGAAAUUCUCUGAUACAACUUGUUCUUGAGUUAACUUUGCCAAUUUCUCUAAUUCAUCAAUGGCUGCUAUGCAAUCUAUCAUCUCUAGCCCUAUGAUCCGCAUGACCACCAGGUCAAGGGUGAACCAGUUCACCACUCCUGCUGUGUACAUGCCAAGCCUGAGAAGGAAUGCUACCCUGAGAGUUAGGUCCAUGGCUGAGGUAAGGGUGCUUAAAAUAAUUUUCAGACAUAUAGUACUUGUAACAUGCUUCAAUUUUUUAUGAGCACUAAUUUUGUUUGUACACAUGACGAGGAACAAUCUUGUGUGUAACUAUAUGAAUUUUGGUUAAUGUUUGAAGGGAGAGCCAAAAGAGCAACCUAUUGAACCUGUUACUAGCGCUAGCCCAGUUACACCAUCACCACCACCACCACCACCAAAACCUCGUGCACCAAAGGUGAGUGAGCCAAGUGUUCACUAUUUUUUUUUAUAAUAAGUUAUGCUAAUUACACCAUGGAUCUACAGUAUGAGACUUUUACUGACAUGAGUGAUGGUAAAUUUGCAGGUGAGCACUAAGUUUUCUGAUGUGAUGGCAUUUGGUGGGCCUGCACCUGAGAGGAUCAAUGGAAGACUAGCCAUGAUUGGGUUUGUAGCUGCAAUGGCAGUGGAAGUUGCCAGAGGGCAGGGAGUGUUUGAACAAAUAUCAGAUGGUGGAGUUCCAUGGUUCUUGGGGACAAGUGUGGUGUUCACUCUUGCUUCUUUGGUUCCACUGUUUCAAGGGGUUAGUGUGGAGUCAAAAUCCAAAGGUCUCAUGACCUCUGAUGCAGAACUCUGGAAUGGAAGGCUUGCUAUGUUGGGUUUGAUUGCCUUGGCCUUUACAGAGUAUGUUAAGGGAGGAACCCUGGUGUAAGAGUUCAAAGGCUUAGGAACAAUGUCUUAUAAGGAUUGUUUUAUAGUAGGUGAUGUAUGAAACUUGGUGUGUUUUUUAAUGCACAUAUAGAAUUAAUGAAAUUUCAUACCUUAAUCAUAAUCAGAUUUCUUGUUAUCACUUCUAAACUAAGAGCAAAAAUCGUUGAAGGCUAUUAUUAACUGUUGUGAUCCAUACAAAUCAAACAAUGUAUUGUUAACCUGCCUUAAUCGAAUAACUUAAACUGCACACAUGGAGAAAAGUUGGAAAUUGGAAAACAUGAUGAAGUUCUUGCUAAUGAGAAUCAGGUAAUUACUAUCCGGCAAUUGCAAUUAUAAUAAACAGAAAAUUAAUGUGGUUAAAACAUUCAGACCAUUUGUGUGGGGUAACCUGCAGUAAACCUUUAACUAUUGUAAUAGCUAAUAUCUAUCUAACAAUGCAUUCAGGAUAACAUUGAAAUGUCAUUAAACUAGUUCAUACUUCAUAAUGAUAGAUUCGAUGACAAUUGGCCAAUUGCAAUAGCAGAUACUUAAAUUACAUUUCAGGAUACCGAAUGGAACUUUCACUCUUAAUCAUAGAGAAAGCACAACAUGUCCUUUCUUUCUUGGUUGCCAAACACUUGAGACAGAAGAUUACAGCUGGGAGAUAAGUUUACACAUAUGGACUUGGGAAGCUUGGAGGGGUUGUUCAUAAAAUUGACUUGAGUAUGACUUGAGUUGGCAAUGUUAAAUCAUAAAAUACUAAUUAACUCAAUAUUCUGCUUUUGUUUAUGCUGUCGACCCACUUUUUUUAACACAUAAUGAUUAACAUUUAUUUGAAUUACUCUCAAUAUGUCCUUUUUUUCUUGGUUGCCAAACACUUGAGAGAGAAGGUUACACACAUGAAUUUGGGAAGCUGGGAGGGGUUGUUCAUAAAAUUGACUUGAGUAUGACUUGUGUCGACAAUGUUAAAUCAUAAAAUACUAAUUAACUCAAGUGGUUGUUCAUAAAAUUGACUUGAAUAUGACUUGAGUCAACAAUAUUAUUAAAUCAUAAAAUACUAAUUAACUAAAUAUUCUGCUUCCGUUCAUGCUAUCGACCAUAUCUUUUUAACACAUAUUAAUUGAAAUUUAUUUGGGUUUCACUCAACAUGUCCUUUUUUUUCUUGGUUGCCAAACCCUUCAGAGAGAAGGUUACACCUGAGACUGAGAUAGAAGUUGACACAUAUGGACUUGGGAAGCUUGGAGUGGUUGUCCAUAAAAUUAACUUGAGUCAAAAAUGUUAAAUAAUAAAAUAUUAAUUAACUCAAUAUUUUGCUUUUGUUUAUGCUAUCGACCCUCUCUUUUUAGCACAAUGAUUGAAAUUUAUUUGGGUUCUCACUCAAAAUGUGAGUCUCACCACCAAUUUAGUAUGUUUCAUGUGAAUUUCAACCACUAAAAGAAAGAAUUGAAAAAAGAGUUAAAAUAAGUGCUGUUAGCCACUUCUCAUAGUAACACUAUUGAAUAAUAUAGUGCUGACUGACAAUUGACCAAUGUUAACAUACAUAGUGUCAAACAUGGUGCUGACACAAAACGAGCUGGGUAGUAGAAACAACUAAAACUUUAGAGGAACAACAGCCUUUAACUAAGUACAAAAAUAGAAGCCGUGAUAUUGGGUUUUUUACCUAAGUAGUGUAGUUUUGUAGUAAAAUUACAGUUUUGAGGUACUUUUUUUUAUUUACCAUUCUGGUAUAAAUCGCCAUUGUCAGUGGCAAUUUUAUUUUAUUUUUUUAAAGAAUCGCUAAUGCUAUUGGCAUUUUAGUUUUUCUUUUUAGUUUUUUUAUUAAAUUGCCAACAUGGUUGGUGUUUUUCUUAUUUUUUUAAACAAUCGCCAAACAUGUUGGCGUUUUAUUACUUUUUUUACAGUUUUUUUUAAAUGUCAUAUAUAUAUAUAUAUAAACAACUAAAAUUGUAUUUAAUCAAUUGAUACUCACCCGUGUCUUAUUCACUUUUAUAGUGUCUCCGAUGGUUAGUUUAAGUGAUAAAAGUUUAAGACAUGAGAGUUGAGUGAGAUGAAUGGUGAAGGAUUCAUGGUUCGAACCCUAGGAGAGACUAAUUUACUAACAUUACUAACAACUAACAUUUACUUAUAAAAAAACUCACUUUUGCAGUACUAUGGUCAUAAGUAUUUGAACCGAUAUUUAAAGAUAAACAAUACGCAUUACAUAAUUUAAUUUAAGAGAAAUGGCACAAAAGUAUGUGAGUAUCAAUGGAUUAAAUACCAUUUUAAUUGCUGGUUUUUUAAAAAAAUAUAAGCCAACAAGUUGGCCAUUUAAAAAAAAUGUAAAAAAAGUAGUAAAACACCAACAUGGUUGGGGAUUGUUAAAAAAAAUUAAAAAUAAGAAAAAUGCCAACAUGGUUGGCAAUUUAAUAAAAAAAGGAAAAAAUAAAAUAAAACACCAAUAGCAUCGACGAUUUUUUAAAAAAUAAAAAAAAUGUCACUAACAGUGGCGAUUUAUACUAAAAUGGUAAAUAAAUAAAAAAGUACACAAAGCUGUAAUUUUGUUACAAAAUUAAACUGGGGUUGUCUAAAUGACCCAAGGUAAAAAUUGGGUUAAAUCACCCUUUGAUGAAGUGUGCCAAUAAUAUUAUAACAUGUAUUUUUAUAAAUUCUAACUUAUUUCAGUAUUUAUUUUAUUUAUAUUUUCAUAAUAUUCAUUUUAUAUAAUAAUUUAUUUGCAUACUAAUAAACCAAUCAAUUAGUAAUAAUAACACAUAACUCCUUUUUCAAAAAGAAAAAUUGAGAACCCUAAUCCCAAUUUCUUCCAUGCUUUGAUCAAAAUCAUUUGAGUAAAAUCUCUCAAAUAUGAAACUUCUGUGUAAUCAAUUGAUUGUAGUAAACAAGCAAACUCUUCCUCGUCAAUUACGUUUUCAUUCAAAUGAUAAAAAGAAAUUAAUUUCUGCACCAUAUUUCAUUACCAUUGCACGAGUUAUCUUCAAAUGUCAUAGGUUUUUGAUGUGAAAUCAAUAAAUCCCUAAUCACCCCCUUUAAGAAAUGUAUGCCAUAAACUCUAUGCUAAGAGUAAAAGCAAUUAGGAAGAUGCAUGAAAGGUGAUUGCCGACGACGGUGAUGCAACUUUGCUUCUUGGGAGAACAAAUUAGAGUAGCAGACCAAGAAAGCAAGGAAGAAAUUGGGGAUUAGGGUUCUCAAUUUUUGUUUGGAAAAAAAAGUUGUGUGAUUAUAUCAUAAUUAAUUUGUUUAUUGUGCAAAUAGAUUAUUUUAUAGAAUGAAUAUUAUGAAAAUAUAAAUGAAAGAAAUAGUGAAAUGACUUGGAAUUUAUAAAACACAUAAUAUAAUAUUAUUCACACACCUCAUCAAAGGAUGAUUUAACCCAAUUUUUACCUUGGGUCAUUUAGACAACCCCAAUUAAACUACACUACUCGGGUACAAAACCCGCAAUAUUCCAUCGAUACUUAUACUAGCGCAAGAGCUUAUUCAUUACAUGGAUAUCUCAUUUUCAUAUAGAGGGAUGGAUCUCUACACUCAUCCAAGGCUGGUAAGAAGCAAGCACAUGCAGUUCAUAAGCAGAAUGAAAUGAAGCACGGCAAACAAAUUGUAAGGGUAAUGAGACUACACGAAUAAGAAGCUCCAGGUGGAACCAUACCAACGAGAUAAUACUAGUUGCCAGACAAAUGGGAUGAAAAACUCAUCUGGAUGACUCACUUGUUCAUAUGUGAAGCGCAGUUGAGUAAACAUCUGAAAAACAAGAUUCAGCCUAAUAGAAACAAACAAGACAAGUACUGCUCCUUAUAUACCAAGAAACCAAAAGAACGUUCUAGUAGUGACCGAACUAGGUCUGCAGUUAAAACUAACACCAACCAUUUUAACCCCUGAUUCACCCUUAUGGCCCUCAAGGGAACCACGUCUCCUCCUUUUACCAUGUGUGGACAAGAGAACCCACGUGAACCAAUUACCUUUUGGGCCUAUACACACUUGACGUGGAACCUAAAUGUCCACCACAAUGCUUGCCUUUAAUUCUAUAUAAACUACCUUAUUCUAUUCAAUGUAUCAUCAAACAAAGGAGGUGUAGCAUUAAAAGCAUAGCUUGUAAACUUGACUAAGCUCUUCCUUGAAAUUCUCUGAUAUAGCAAGUUCUUGUGUUAUCUCAACCAACACUUCCAAUUCAGCAAUGGCUUCCUCAACUUCUGCUAUGCAAUCUAUCCUGGCUAACCCUAUGAUCCGCAUGACCACCAGGUCAAGGGUGAACCAGUUCACCAUUCCUUCUGUCUACAUGCCAAGCCUGAGAAGGAACUCUAGCUUGAGAGUUAGGUCCAUGGCUGAAGAGCCAAAAGAGCAAAGUGCUAGCCCAGUUACUCCAUCACCACCACCACCAAAACCUCGUGCACCAAAGGUGAGUGAGCCAAGUGUUUGAAGAAUAUAAUUUACAUAGUUGUGACUCUGUUCACUAUUUUCUUUACAUUUAAUUAGUUAUAUAUGCUAAUUAAUCCUUGGAUAUGAGACUUUACUAACAUGAGUGAUGGUAAAAUUGCAGGUGAGCACUAAGUUUUCAGAUGUGAUGGCAUUUGGUGGGCCUGCACCUGAGAGGAUCAAUGGAAGAUUGGCCAUGAUUGGGUUUGUAGCUGCAAUGGCAGUGGAAGUUGCCAGAGGGCAGGGAGUGUUUGAACAAAUAUCAGAUGGUGGAGUUCCAUGGUUCUUGGGAACUAGUGUGGUGCUCACUCUAGCUUCAUUGGUUCCACUGUUUCAAGGGGUUAGUGUGGAGUCAAAGUCCAAAGGAGUCAUGACCUCUGAUGCAGAGCUCUGGAAUGGAAGGCUUGCUAUGUUGGGUUUGAUUGCCUUGGCCUUUACAGAGUAUGUUAAGGGAGGAAUCCUGGUGUAAGAGUUCAAAGGCUUAGGAACAAUGUAUUAUAAGGAUUGAUUUAUAGAAGGUUAUGCAUGAAACUUGGUGUGUUUAUUAAUACACAUAGAAUUAAUGAAAUUUCAUACCUUAUUCAUAAACAGAUUUCUUGUUAUCUAUUUCUAAACUAAGAGCAAAAAUCGUUGAAGGCUAUUAUUAACUGUUGGGAUCCAUACAAAUCAAACAAUGUAUUGUUAAUCUGCCUUAUUGAAUAACUUAAAUUUCAAACAUGGAGAUAAACAGGAAAAUAUGAUGGGGUUCUUGCUAAUGAGAAUCAGGUAAUUACUAUCCGGCAAUUGCAAUUAUCUCAUGGCAAACCUGCAGUUAACCUUCAACAUUGUAAUAGCAAAUAUCUAUCUAACAAUGCAUUCAGGAUAACACUGAAAUGUCAUUAAACUAGUUCACACUUCAUAAUGAUAAAUUCGAUGAGAAUUGCAAUAGCAGAUACUAAAAUUACAUUUCAGGAUAUCGAAUGGAACUUUCACUCUUAAUCAGAGAGAAAGCUCAACAUGUCCUUUUUUUCUUGGUUGCCAAAGACUUGAGAGAGAAGAUUACAGCUGGGAGAGAAGUUUACACAUAUGGACUUGGGAAGCUUGGAGGGGUUGUUCAUAAAAUUGACUUGAGUAUGACUUGAGUCGACAAUGUUAAUUGUUCAAUCAUAAAAUACUAAUUAACUCAAAUGGUUAAAAUUGACUUGAGUAUGACUUGAGUCGACAAUGUUAAAUCAUAAAAUACUAAUUAACUUAAUAUUUAAUUGUUCAAUCAUAAAAUACUAAUUAACUCAAAUGGUUGUUCAUAAAAUUGACUUGAGUAUGACUUGAGUCGACAAUGUUAAAUCAUAAAAUACUAAUUAACUUAAUAUGCUGCUUCCGUUUAAUUAUCGACCCUCUCUUUUUAACACAUAAUGAUUGAAAUUUAUUUGGUUUCCACUCAACAUGUCCUUUUUUUCUUGUUUUCCACAAACACUUGAGAGAGAAGGUUACACAUGAGAGAGAAGUUUACACAUAUGACUUGGGAUGCUGAGAGUGGUUGUUCAUAAAAUUGAGUCAAUGUUAAAUAAUAAAAUAUUAAUUAACUCAAUAUUCUACUUUUGUUUAUGCUAUCAACCUUCUCUUUUUAACACAUAAUGAUUGAAAUUUAUUUGGGUUACACUCAAAAUGUGAGUCUCAACUCUCACCACCAAUUUAAUAUGUUCCACGUGAAUUUCAACUAAUAAAAAAAAGUGUUGAAAAGAGAGUUAAAAUGAGUGUUGUUAGCUACUCCCCGUAAUAACACUAUUAUAUGUAUAGAGUACUUAUUAGAAAAUUUUACUAAACUAGUGCAUAAUUUUUUUUAAUUACACAUCUUAUGUAAAUCGCCACUUAAAGUGUUUAUACCAUUUUUUUUCUUACUUUUUUUAUUGAAAUCGUCACGGUCAGUGGCGACAUGUUCUUUUUUUUUUUCACUUUCUUUCUUAGUGACGGAAACGCAUCCGUCACAAUAUACUAGUAUAAAAAAGAAUUUGUGACGCAAUGUGGAGAGAGAAUUCCGUCACAAACUAACAUUUCCUGACAAAAUUCCGUCGCCAAUUAUUUUGCAAUAUUCACUUAGAUUUUGUGACGGAAAGAACUUCGUCGCAAAGUAUAUUCCGUCGCUACGACGGACUACUUCUUUCAACACAUUCCGUCACUAAUUUCUUUUAGAGUAUGUAUUGGAAUUCUGUGACGGAUUUGUUUCCGUCACUAAUGUAAUUUUUUUUUUUGAAAAAAAGGCCAUGUCGCGACUGACGGUGGCGAUUUCAAUAAAAGAAAAAAGGGUAUCGCCACUUGUAAUGGUGAUUUACCCCAGUUAUGUAAUUAAAAAAAUAUAUGCACUAGUUUGAUAAUUUUUUAAAAAAUUGCACUAUGUAGGUACCAAAGUCGAUUACAACAUCCACAUACAUAUACACCGACACAAAAUAAAAUGUUUGGGUACAUACAUCUGGAUGUAGUUCAACUGGAAACAAGUUUAUGGCUUCUGGGUUGAAUGUGAAUCCACUGAAGGUGACACAAUUUUUGCAUUAGUGACAUGCACAGAAUGAAAAACCAUAUGUAGAAGAGAAUUAACAAAAGUUAUAAUCAAUCAUGCGACAGACAAUAGAAAAAUUUCCCUAGACUUAAUCAUCUCGAGCGUCAAUAGUCAAGAUCACCCAAGGCGGGUAAUAAGCAAGCACAUGCAGUUCAUAAGCAGAAUGAAAUGAAGCACGACCAACAAAUUGUAAGAGUAAAAGCCUUCUAGUAGGAAUAAUGAUACUUUCACACCUCUGUUAGAAGUGGAAAGAAGUGAAAUGAAGAAAGAGAUAAGACGAAAAGAAAAAGUAAGAAAGAGAAAAAGUAUGAGAUGUGAUAUAUUAUAAUAUAAGAGAUAAAAAUAAAAAUAUGUGGAAAUAAAGUGUAUAAAAAACAAGGUGUAUACAUACAUUAUUGUUCUUGUAGUGACCGAACUAGGUUUGCAGUUAAAACUAAUUGAAGUCCUAAAGGUUCCACGUCCAACACCAACCAUUUUAACCCCUGAUUCAGGGUGUGUUUGGAUGCACGUUGGAUCAGGCCUGAUCCACGUUUAAAGACCUCAAACGUGAUUUUUCCAUCUCCAUUGAUGUUUGGAUGCUAAAUGCUGAUCCAAUUCUGGCCCCAGAAUUGGAUCCAUCCUAACACAACAAUUUGUUGCUUCAGCAUCAAUGCUGAUCCAAUUGUCCCCUCACCCUUUUACAGAUCCAAUUCAAGUCUAUCAGAUCCAAUUCCUGAUAAAUGUAUCCAAACAUAAAUCAUGUCACUCAAACUCACGUUUACCAGAUCCAAUUCUUCCAGAUUCAAUUCUGGCCAGAUCCAAUUCUGCUAACGCUAAUCCAAACACACACUCACCCUUAUGGCCCUCAAGGGAACCACGUCUCCUCCUUUUACCAUGUGUGGACAAGAGAACCCACGUGAACCAAUUACCUUUUGUGCCUAUACACACUUGACGUGGAACCAAUAUGUCCACCACAAUGCUUGCCUUUAAUUCUAUAAAAACUACCUUAUUCUAUUCAAUGCAUUCACCAAACAUAGGAGGUGUAGCAUUAAAAGCAUAGCUUAUAAACUUUACUAAGCUCUUCCUAGAAAUUCUCUGAUAUAGCAAGUUCUUGUGUUAACUCAAUCAACACUUCCAAUUCAGCAAUGGCUUCCUCAACUUCUGCUAUGCAAUCUAUCCUGGCUAACCCUAUGAUCCGCAUGACCACCAGGUCAAGGGUGAACCAGUUCACCAUUCCUUCUGUCUACAUGCCAAGCCAGAGAAGGAACUCUAGCCUGAGAGUUAGGUCCAUGGCUGAAGAGCCAAAAAAGCAACCUAUUGAACCUGCUACUAGUGCAAGCCCAGUUACUCCAUCAGCACCACCACCAAAACCUCGUGCACCAAAGGUGAGUGAGCCAAGUGUUUGAAAAUUUUAAUUUGUAUAAUUUACAUAGUUGUGACUCUGUUCACUAUUUUCUUUACAUUUAGUCAUGCUAAUUACACCAUGGUUAUGAGACUUUUACUUACAUUAGUGACGGUAAAAUUGCAGGUGAGCACUAAGUUUUCAGAUGUGAUGGCAUUUGGUGGGCCUGCACCUGAGAGGAUCAAUGGAAGAUUGGCCAUGAUUGGGUUUGUAGCUGCAAUGGCAGUGGAAGUUGCCAGAGGGCAGGGAGUGUUUGAACAAAUAUCAGAUGGUGGAGUUCCAUGGUUCUUGGGGACUAGUGUGGUGCUCACUCUAGCUUCAUUGGUUCCAUUGUUUCAAGGGGUUAGUGUGGAAUCAAAGUCCAAAGGAGUCAUGACCUCUGAUGCAGAGCUCUGGAAUGGAAGGCUUGCUAUGUUGGGUUUGAUUGCCUUGGCCUUUACAGAGUAUGUUAAGGGAGGAAUCCUGGUGUAAGAGUUCAAAGGCUUAGGAACAAUGUAUUAUAAGGAUUGUUUUAUUGAAGGCGAUGUAUGAAACUUGGGUGUGUUUUUUAAUACCCAUAUAGAAUUAAUGAAGUGUCAUACAUUAUUCAUAAGCAAAGUUCUUGUUAUCUACAUCCAUACUAAGAGCAAAAAUCGUUGAAGCCUAUUAUUUACUAUUGUAAUCCAUACAAAUCAAACUAAACAAUGUAUUGUUUACCUGCCUUAAUCUAAUAACUUAAAUUGCAAAUAUGGAGAUAAACACGAAAACAUGAUGGGGUUCUUGCUAAUGAGAAUCAGGUAAUUACUAUCCAACAAUUGUAAUCAUAAAACAAACUACAUAUCCUCAUGGCAAACAGAAAAUUAGUGUAGUAUAAACAUUCAGAUUAAUUGUGCUAGGUAACCUGCAGUAAACCUUUAAAUAUUGUAAGAGCAGAUAUCUAUCCAAUCUAACAAAAAUAGAAGCCGCGAUAUUGCAUGGAUACUAAAUACUAGGGUAAGAGCUUAUUCAUUACAUGGAUAUCUCAUUUUCAUAUAGAGGGAUGGAUCUCUACACUCAAUAUAUGAACAGAAAGAAUGAGAACAAUACACAACUUUUUUUUUCCCAGUGCGCUAUUUCAUAUGUACAAAUAUUCACCAACAUAACUAGUAUUUCCAGCAGCCACGGCUGUCCUGUCCUCAGCUAUGGAUCAAGCUGAUACUCAGGCCUGUCAAAACCACCAUUUUCAAGUGUGCUUUCCACCACCCCAUUUUCAAGUCUCUGCAUCGUCAAUGACCAAAACAAGAGAAGAAAUCAGGAAUAGAAAUCACAUCAUGCAAUGCAUUAAGUUGGCCUUGACCUAACAAUAUACAUGACAAAGCUACAAGUUGCUCUUUAAUUGUUUUAAACGUCAAAUGUAAUGCAGUGGUUCAAUUUUGACAAACAGACAAGAGUUUGGUUUCGUAGAAAAUGUGCCUCCAGUAUGCUUUAUGCAAAUGGGACGUGAGAAUGAUAAUGAUGGUAGGUAUUUAACCACUAUAAAAACAAUAAGAUAUGUUGCAGAGAAUGAUAAUGAUGUGACAAUGAUAAUGAUGGUAGGCAGUUACCACAAGAAAUAGGAAAUGCAGUUAUACGAUUUGAUUAGAUGUUGCAUGUGCAUCCACAUAUACACAAACAGAAAAUAAAAUGUUCGGGUACUUACAUCUGGAUGUAGAUCAACUGGAAACAAGUUUAUCGCCCCUGGGUUGAAUGUGAAUCCACUGAAGGUGACACAAUUUUUGCAUUAGUGACAUGCACAGAAUAGUAAAAAACAUAUGUACAAGAGAAUUAACAAAAGUUAAAAUCAAUCAUGCGAUAGACAAUAGAAAUAAUUCCCCAGACUUCAUCAUCUCGAGCGUCAAUAGUCAAGAUCAUCCAAGGCUGGUAAUAAGCAAGCAUAUGCAGUUCAUAAGCAAAAUGAAAUGAAGCACGACCAACAAAUUGUAAGAGUAAAAUAACAAUAUGCCUUGAGACUACACGAAUAAGAAGCUCCAGGAACCAUACCAACGAGAUAAUACUAGUUGCCAGACAUAUGGGAUGAAAAACUCCUCUGGAUGACUCUCUUGUUCAUAUGUGAAGCGCAGUUGAGUAAACAUCUGAAAAACAAGAUACAGCCUCAUAGAAACAAACAAGACAAGUACUGCUCCUUAUGAUAUUCCCCACUGGUGGGCGGAAGCAAACCACAAAUCAUGAAAUCUAUUUCAUCUUACCUUCAUUCCAUCACCCCUCCACGAACGACAAUUGAUAAUUAUCACUUGGAGCACUUCAUUAACUGACCAGUCACCAUCUACUCGAUGGGCAUCCAUACGACUAUUGAAAAAGUCUAACACCUGCAAAUAUUUAAUAAACACAUUUUUCAGAGAAACAUUGUAUUGUAUAUUAUACAAAGACAAGGUUCAUUGAUGUUACUGAAAACAGCACAGAACUUGCCCCUAUAAAAGUUGCAAGAUUUGAAAGGGUAAGUAUACGCUGUAACUUUGACUUAAGUAUAAGAUAUUAAACAUACAGUAUAAAUGUUUUCAAGCAGUUCAUUGAAGCGUGGAUGAUUCUUGUAUGGCAGAAAGACUUCCUGCCUGUGCAUUACUGCAUAUACAACCUGCCCCAGACACGUAAGAAAGUGAUACAGUAAUCUUUGACAAUUGUGAACUGGAUAAAAAUAGAUGUGAUAAAUCAUUGAUCAAUGAAGUAGAAGAUCGAAUCAUACCUCAGGAUUCCGAGGCAGCGCAUAAGUCAGGAUUGCAUUUAUUAUUUCCAGUACAAGUCUUAAGAAGUCAGUAUAAAUGUGUAACUCAGUUGACUGCAUCAAAAGAAUACAUAAUUUAGAAAAAGGACUGGUUUAAAGUUUGUAAUCAGUAUAACUACUAAAAAACCAAGGUGGUAUGUACCACAUCAUCUACAAGGUUGUUUCCUUCAAUUGAGUUUCCUUUUGCACUAUGGAGCUUAUUAUCUCGGCGAUCUGUUAAUUUGCUAUACCUAGAGAGAAGCAAAGAUUUAGUCAAUUUUUUAUACCAGAGAUCACAAUCAGCUCUAAACACAUAAUUUUGAAAUGGAAAUAGCACAUUAUGAAGAUAAAGAAAGAAGAGAAACAUACUUGCGUGAAAGCAUAUCAAAAAGGCUGACUAGUCUCUGAGAUGCAUAUGCGCUCAAACGAUGGGCAUGAGGUGCCAUGUUAGCCAAUGUUGCCAGACAUGUUGUGUGGAGAUAGACAUCCUAUCAUUAUUCAAUACAUAAAUGAUCUAAGGCAAAAUAUAAAAUAAAAGCAGUUUUAAUAGCUCAAUGCACAUAAACUACUAAUGUAAACAGGAUAUGAAACAUUUCUAAGAUGGAAAUAUGUCUACUCUACUCGUGUCCAUAGGCAUAUUAUACAUGUAGUCAUUGUUGUCAGUAGACAGAGGAUGACAGUAGCAGAUCUCUCAGUAGUGACCAUAUUAAUAGGCUAAUAUAUUAGGGUUUUUUGUACAAUAUAAGUAUCCUCUUAAUUACACAAUCAGUCAGCAGAAAAUGACAUUUUAGAAUUAAGAUACAUGUAAUUAAAUUAAUAGUACAACUGUACAAAUCAGUUUAAGAUUCAUACCCGUAGUUUAGACAAAUUAUACUGCACAGUUCUGAUAAGAAUUAUGACCAUGAGGGAACCAAGAGAAGUCUGAUGGAGAAGACGUUCUUUGUACCACGGAACACCAGUCAAUAUCUGUCCAUUUAUAACCACAUUAGCAUUCAGGAAAAGUUUUGCAGUUUCAGGACAAAUUCUAAUGGUAAAAUAAAACUCUUACCAGCUUAUGAGUGCUCGCAUUGAAAGAAGAAUCUUGACUGAGUAUAAGAAGUAUAAUCAGCAACAUGUAAAUUUGAUUAGCUGUUCUUCUUUGAGCAUUGUAUAGAGCUUCCAAAAUCGGCAUUAACUGUUAAUGAUAGGAAUAAGACUCAGUCUUCAGUCUCUCUAGAUGUAUCACUAGGGCCCAUAUGAUUUAGAAUGACUUAAAACAGGUUGUUAUAAGUAUCACAUGAUAAUCAAGUGAAUACAUGUUUCACAAAGUAAUAGGCCUCGACAGAACUUCAUCUGAAAAUUCUUCUUUUGACUCUUGCAUAUAUAGAUAAUUAAUUAAUUCCCACGUUCAUUCAUAAGAGAAACUUAAGUUUACUGCCUCAUACCAAUGUAUCUAUAUCAGUCCGCACCAAGACAUACUCAAGAAAGGCCGCAUUUCCUUGUAACAAAGAAUAAAGCAGUAGGACAGCUGCCUCAUCAGGUAAGCAUCUGCAGGCGAAUACAAGUUGCCAUGUUAAAAAACUAAAAAAUGUACAAAAUCCAAAACAAAGAAUUGGAAAUAGUAUUUUGUACACAUUCUGAUCAUGGUAAGCAUAACAUGGAUGUAGAUGUUAAUAGUCAAACAUGUAUACAGAUAGAUAGAUGCUCACAUGCCAAGUGUAUCAAACAAUGAAGCAAAAGGCAACUUUAUGUGUCGACCACUGUGUGCAUUGCCCUCAACAUCUACCCGAUCCACUGCAUGUAAAGGGCGAAUAAAAAUUAGGUAGGCUUCUCAAUCAAUUAAAUUAAAUAUACAUGGAUAUGAAAAAUAUAUUACAUUCACAAUCAAUUGCAUGCUCCAAGGCCUUGCAGUAGGGGUUGUCAGUAAAAUAAAGAUUUUCUUUGAGUAAAGAAUCUGAUGUGGAAGACUUUUUAUUCUCAAUGGCAGAGUAAUCCUCACUAAUAGCAUAUUUAUGAUAAUGAAUCAGAACAAGAAGCACGUAAAGACUGCUCUCCGCUAUAGCACUUCUUGACCCUUCACCGCUUGAACUGACCAAAUAACUGAAUGGCAAUAAAACAAUAUUUGCUGCAAGGAAAGAAAAAAGAAAGUACCUAUCAGUAAGUUCCCAGCCUAUCACACAAUAAUCUUGCAGCAAAUAGAUAAUUAUAAUAAUAUUGUCAAAAAAGGAUAUUUGACAUCAAAGAAUUCAUAAAAGUAUAUCAAGUCAUCAUACCAGCUGCAGAACCAACUCUCUGUAGCACACUACUCUGACUUCCGUCAUAAAAGACGGAAUAAGUUGCCCUGUUGAAUGAAACACUAGGGCGGGCAGUAAAAUUUAGAAAUAACUUCCGAACAACUGAAUUAACCAGAGAGCUGUCCUGCAAAAAUAACAACACACUAACCUGACAUUUACUAUCUGCAAAUUCAGAUAAACUCAACAACCAAUGCUAGAUGUUGAAAUAUGAACUUCUAACCUGAGCCAUUGCUGCAUCGAGAAAUGGGUUCACGUCAUUGGGUCCAGGAGAUGGCCCACAGAGAAGUUGAGUUGACAUUGCAAUAAUCAUGAAAUUAAGCAGCUCUAAAUGUAGGAGACAUGUGUGGGAACUAUAAUUGAUAAAAUAAAGUCAGGCAAUAAAAUUCUCACAAUAACUCAACAAGAAUUAGCAGGUCAAGUUACUCAUCACUCACGAUAUACCUCACUUCUACUGAUGCUAUAAAGUUCAGCACAUUCCGCAUAACGAGAUUUUCAAUAGUUUGAUCUGUAUAAAAAAUUAAAAAAUAAAAUAAGAGAUCUGAAAGACACUGGAAAUACAACAUAAAUUCAAAAAAGACUUGAAAGAGAAAAAUGAGAAAACUUAUGUGAACCCCAUGAAAUGUAAGGAAGUUCCAAUUCAAACAAAAGUAAAAAAUCAUGUAUAUAUCUAAUCAAACGAAAUAAGUUGGCAACUCAACAGCUAAGCCAACAAGUUACCCAAGCAGGUUGCCAGACUUCAGCUCAAGCAUUUACAUGAAUCUCAUACUAAUAAUACACCACCCAAAAUAGUGCAAUGAAAUUUACAUGUCUGUAUGUUUGCAGAAUCUGAAACAAUCACAGUUAUACGUACCUGCCAAAACAUCCUUCGGUAAAGCCUCAUCUAAAUCAAGAGACAGGCAUAACUGGACAUCAUUUUCAAUCAAGUGCUUUAAAAAUACUGAACUAAUGUAAACUGCAUUAGCAGCCUUUUCAUAAUCCAAGGGUAGCCCACCGGAGGUAGACAUCGACUCUUGCAAGCAGCAUGCUAGAUGGAACAAAAUCUUUGCAAGAUGCUUGGUGUGCAGAUUGUUUUUGGCUGCAAAACAUUUGCGAGUAAAUUCCCAAUGAAAAGGAAAAAAAAAAAUCACAUAUUAGAAACAAUUUUACUUUCCUUAAUAGCAUAAUCACCAUAUCAUAAACUACUACCAAUGCAUUCAAAGAGAGUAAAACUGAAAAAGAAACAUGUAGAAUGAGUUCUUUUAGAAAACAAUUUUCCUCAGAGAGCAUAAAUAGCAUUCUGAACUCAUGAGAAAGAAAAAUCACACUCCAACAUUCUACCCCACAAAUUAAAUUAGAGAACACACAUAGCAUUCUUGACAACAAUAUUAUCAGUUUUAGAAAGGAAAUUCACACUCCAACACUCUAGCCCAAAAAUGAAAUGAAACUAAGCUCUUAACCAAUGCUAUUCCCCACGAAUUUAUCAAAUGAAGCCUCCCUUUGAAUCCAUUAUCAUUCUAAGCAUUAAGAAAACGGUGAUCAGGGAAAGUAAUCAGAACAAGACUAACCCAAUAGCUCGCAAGCUUGCUGAACACGAUCAGUAGGCCAUUGAACAUUGAGAGGAAGCUCCAGCAAUUUCUGCCAAAACUCAGACGAAACCGGAAACGACUCGUCACCGACAAAAGUCCCGAUAAGAUACUCCGCCGUCUCCGGCGAGAAUGCGCCACGGUUUCUCGGCGUUGACGGCACCGACCCCAUUCGGAAAAGCGGUUUAUUACGCGAUGCGGUGUGUUGGGUCGUCGAUACUCGUCAAAACGGUAGGAGAUUCAGAGCAACGACAAUGUGCGAAGACUCGCGGAGAGAUCAAAAGGGUUUGAUCCAAACACGAAAAUGGAGAUGGGUUUUGAAAAUCUCGCGAUAUCGUGAAGAGAAGAAAGAGAACAGGGAGAGUGUGCGAAGGAAGAGAAGAGAAGACGAAGAAGAAGAAGAACAACAACAGAAGCAGCUUCGAAAUGAAGGUUUUGCAGAGAAAUAAUAAGGACUUGUUUGGAUGAUGGAGCGUCUUGCUUUAUUUAUCUCAUUGAAUUGACCUUCUGAAAAUGGUGGAAACCAAACAAGACGCAAUCGGAAUUUCUUCAAAAUCAAACAUUUCUAAAUCUUUAAUGAAAAAACAAAACAACUUGUUUUUUUCUUUUUUUGACGUGAAAACAACUCGUUUUCUUUUUUUCGUUUGUUGUAAAUAAUUAGUAUAUGGCCUUUCAACCAAAAAUAAGACUUUGUUUGAUGUGAAAAUGUGAGAGAUCUAUCACCUCGCAAAUGGAUAAUUAACUAAACUCGAGACAAAAUAAACAAAUUAAUAAAUAAAAGUAAUAAUUGGAAAUUAAAUAAAGCAUUGCAUUUGUUAAGAAUGCAAUGUGUUUCAAUGUGCAUUUAGCCUAAAGCUUUGACUUACCCAUUAUAAUUCUCAACAUAACCUAAUAGUGUACCAAACAUGUAUAGUUUACUUUUUUAUUCUUCAAAAAAAUUACGACAAAGAGAAACAAUGUUAAGACGUUAUUAAAGAGUUUUUUAGAAGAAGAAUCUCUAGAUUAAUUAAGUUGGGAACAUCAAUGAAACGAGUACUCAAGAUAGGUGUGUGACCUCCUAAUCUAGCUUAGAAGUUCGCAAAAACAUUACAAUCACAAUGCACAAACUUAAGAGAAACAUAGAUUCCAAUUCUUCUUAUGAGACUAAUAUCCUUAAGCAGAGGCAUGAAUUAAUCUCAGGUUAUCCAGAAUCCAGAUCAUCAUUAAGGAAAGAAAUGAGCUCCGCACAAUUCAUCUCACAAACAACUACUAUACUUACGAUUCGAAGCAAAGGAAAGAUCUUCACACAACGCAUGAGCCUUAAUUAGAGAGAAGUGCAUGACCGCCAGACCCAUAGGGCGCAAGGGCACCCAUCCACAUCAUGGGUCAGUAUGCAUGGCAUGCCAAAUAAAUAAGUGAAACGUUUUCUGAAAUUUCUAAUUUUUCAAAUGUUUCAGCAACUGAAAUUAAUAUCAUUCUUAUUUUGAUCACGAAGCCAGCAUCCUCACAGUAUAAAUGCCAUUGGCAUUAUUCACCCAGUCCAAACAUCCUCAGGUGAAUUUUAUAAAACAUUAAAAAAUAAUAAUAGCAAUUCCCAUGUAUCAUUAAAAUAGAAUUGUAAUAUGAUUAUAUAAUGAAUUAAUUAAUUAUUUAACAGUAUUUUAAUUUUACAAAUGAACUAAUUCUUAUUAAGACCCUUUAAUUAAAAAUGAAAAUAAUGAAUUUCUACCUUGCCAAUAUAUAGUUAGUACGAUUAUAAAAUUUUAGAAUGAACAAUUUUUUCAAAGAAAAAUAGUUUGUAAAAAAAUGGACUUUUUUCAAAAAAACAAUUUUAAUAUCUAUUAUAUAGCACAUAACGUAAAGUUGAAAGAGUGAUUACGACCAAAGAAAAAUCAAAGUGGACAAGUAGUUGGCUCCAUUCAUGGGUACGUAAGGCUUGUUUCCAUUUGCUGAUUAUUCUACUCUUCAUUAUUACAAUUUACAACUAGCCACGUAGAAUUGUUACAAAGAAAAUUUGAUUAUAAGUUAUUUAAAUUAUAUAUUAAUAAACUAAUUUAAAUAUAUAUUUCAAAUAAGAUUAUUCGAAAUCUGCAUGGAUGAAUAUUCCUAUUUCUUAAUAAUAAAGUGUGAAUUUCUAAUUACCUGCCACCUUUCCUAGCGUUUAUUGGUUGAGUGAUGUUGGAACCGAUUAAGACGUGACACCAUGUCGGUACCGUUUCCUUGUAAACGACACGUCGUUCCCAGCCAUUAUCAAUGAUGUUUUUUUUUAAUGAAUUUCUUGUAUGUGUUUUCUUUAUUUUAGAGUAUAAUUUUUGGGUGCAUCGGAAAAGAGAGUCUAUCCAUUAAUAAACAAGUAACGUUUAAUUAAAAUCUGUCAAUAUUUGUAAAUAAAAUUAUACUUUGAGUUUGACUUGUUUAUUUUGAUACUAGUGCUAAUUUAAUAUUUUUUGUUGAUCAUUUCAUAUCAUAUUAUAAGUUUGUAGUAGUGCUAUCUAUUUUCUUAAAAUCUAAAUAUUAAAAUAUUAGAUAUAUAUUAUAUGCAAUUUUUAAAUUGACAAAUUACGAGUAUUGAGAUGGUCAUUCUUAGCUCGCCUCUAAUGGGUGGUUAGGAUUAAGCUCUAGCAUUUGAAAAUUGCAUACAUUAGACCGUGAAACGUCUCGUGGACAAGUGAUCAACACAUCUUGCUUAUUUCAAGCUAAUUAACACUCUGAUGACGGUUGCUUUGGGUAGUGAGUUUGAGGUCGGUAUGUCAGUUACUUUUUUUUUUUUUUUAAAUUGGCUCCAUUGAUUUGAUUGUGUUUUCCUUUUAUUUGCUUGGUUUCUUUCCUUGCAUGCUAUCAACCAACCAAUUUACUAUUGAUUCACCCAAACAAUGAACCCAUCCAUAUUUUAUAAUUAAUUAGGUGUUUAUGUCGUAGUCUCUUUGAUACAAUAACUAAGACUUAUAACUCCUAUAUUAUUUUAGAGAUGAAGUAUAAAUUGUUCUUUGCGCAAGUACUUGAAAAGUGUCAAGACAUUUACAAAAGACACACUCUAACACGUAAGUCAAUUUAAUUAUAGGAAAGAGAGGAAAUCUCAUAGCCUAUGAAGAGCAAUGUGAGGGUUCUUAUGGUGCAAGGAAAGACCUUUAUACUUGAUCCUCUAAUUUUGCUCAUAAGCAUGGGUAGUUAACUAUUUGCCAACAUGGAAUAACGUAUAACUCUAGUUGAAUUCGCUUUACUUAUGUUCUAACAACGUAACAUUUAUACAUAGCAAAGUCAGUUGAUUAGGAUGAUGAAAACCUUGUUUUCUUUGGUUUGAUGGUGACUUGAUUAUUAUAUUAAACUUGAUCAUUUAAGCAGAUUAGAGUGAAGUUGUUUGGUAAUUUAUUUUAAUCAUAAUGACAUGGGUCGUAAGGUCAUCUAGACCGCCCAGCCAAAAUAAUAUGGGAAAAAACUUGAUAGGAAUCAAAGUAAAAUAAAUAAUUAACAACUCAUAUUUGAUUUUUAAGAACUAAAAUUUAAUUUAUACUCAAAAUACACAUUUCCUGCCAGCCACACUGCUCAGUGCUCAUGCAUAGCAUGUGCAAUCUUAUCGCUUAAGCAGACAAUUGAAGAAACCCUGCGUGACCCAACCCAAUUUUUGUGACACCAUCAUCAAAAUUUCUGCAACUCAUCUGCAUUUUUUCCAUUAAAGGAAACGAAGCUCUGCCAACGUCUUAAAAUAAUUCACAUGCAUGCAUUAUGAUGCCUCCCGUUAUGCUCCAAUCCAUGGUGUUUUUUUUUUCUUUUUAAAAGGUUCCUUUUAUUUUGCAGAUUAAAAGCCAGAAAACUCAAGAACAUAAUUAAAAUGCAAAUAUAUUUGGCUCUUCAAAAUAAAAUUUGCAAAUAUGUGUCAUGUUACACUAUUCUUUAGUCAUUACCAAAAAUAUUUUGAGCACAAAAGUGAAAUAUGCAUGCUGGCAUGAUUUCAGAUGUGUCCCUCACACAGGGUGCAUUUGAAAAAGGUUUCCUUCAUUGCUUGGUAGCAAAUACAGUGCACUGUUUCGUCUCCUUUUUAAUACAAAAAAGAUUUUUUUUUAUUUACUACAACUUACAUUAGUGUCAUUCACACUCAAGAACAAGAGAAAUAUAAUUUGUUGAAAAGUGCAAGUCUAUAUGGUCAAGAUAACACUUUUGAGAUACCAUACUAUUAACACUUUUUAAGUUAACUAGAGUUAACUCUACCAAAUUCUAAUAUUACUCAUACAUAAAUCACCCACAAAUAUUCAUUCCUUCAAAUCCCAGGCUCCAUAUGUCUAGUCGUGGACAUAUUAAAAGGAUGUGUUGAUAAAUCUCACUUUAAAUAAAAAUAAAGUCAAAACAUUCUACAUAUAAUAAAACAAUACUCACCUCCAAACUAGUGGUUUAGGAGGUUGCUCAGCUCAUGGUUUUUUGGGUUAAUUUCUACCCUUCCUUCUACUAAUUUUCUUUCUCUUUAUUUGAAAUAUAGCUGUUGUUCUCAUUUAAUUUUCUCUUGUAUUGAGUUGAGGCAUCUCUAUCUUUCCAUUUAAUGUCAUUUUACUUUUAUUUUUUAUUCGAAUUCUAGCACCCGUGUGCUAGCUUUGAAUGCAAUUGCUCAUAAAAAAAAGUUAAACUAGACUUUCACUAACUGUAUGCUAUAACUAUCCUAAGUUGCUAACCACCUAUUUGUUACACGUACUUAUAAAUAAACUCAAAAAAUUACAAACAUUGUACAAGUAUACCACCAAUUUGGUGGUCUGUGGUAGAAUGCCCUACCAAGAGACCCUUCUGAAAGAUUGUUUGACACCUUCUCAAGUGUUGAAAUUGAAAACACAAAUGGCAUGUAACAAUGUAGAACUUUCAGAGAGAUCAUGGGAUAUUAUAUUGAAAUUUGGAUAUGAAGUUAAUUUUGAAAUUGAAUAAUGGAGAAAACCAUGAGAACAAACCACCAGUGUACUUGCAUCUAUUCAUGCUUUAAAAAUGGGCCAUGACACUAUCACAAGAGUUGGAGUUUAGUAUCUAGAGAAUCAAGUAUAUAUCAACAUGAAACUGGUCACAAAAGUAUAACGAAGGAAGGAGAUACAAGUACAACCACCACCCAACUAAAUAUUUGACUGAAAUCUUCAAUCCCCAUUUGAUAUUCUCUUACCUGUUCCACCAAUCAAAUUAUACCAUAUCAUUUAAAAAUUAUCCAUGUAAGACUAUAACACACUUACAUGGUACAGGUUAAUUGGUGAGAUAGGAAAUGAGACACCAAAUCAAGACCGGAAAUUUUCAUCCUUCUCAAGGUAGAAAAAUUGCAGCCUAUGACAGCCUCCUAUUUGGACCAGAGGCCAAAUAACCAAGUUGCUCAGCCAAUACAUCUACAUCUUCAACAUCUAGCACAUGUUGAUCACCAAUACCCUCAUCAAGCAAAUCUUGCCAAAACACUUCAUCAAUGUUUUGAUCACUACUUCUUCUAAGAUGAACAUGAUCUUGCUCCACGUUCAUCAUGUUCUGGCUUCCACAUUGUCCCUCAAUAUUCAAAGCAUAAUCCAAGUCAGAUACCUCAAACUCUACUAAUUUGUCACUGUAUUCAUGUGAUUGUUCAAGUUUAACAAAUUCAGAGCUAUCUUCAGCAUGUUCUAAUUCACAUGGCCCUUGAUCAAUAGGUCGCCUUCUCUUCUUGGAAACUGCCUCCUCCGAUUCCUUUCUCCAUUCCUUUUGUUGAGCUAAUUGCUGCAAGAAAUUGGGAUUUUGCACUGCUCUUGCCAAGAAACUCAUCAUCUGUUGCUGUUUCUGCUCUGUCCUUUUAAUCCUUCCUUCCAUUGCUUGAAUGUGAGCUCUAGUACUCUGUUGCUGUUGUCUGAGUUUCACCAACUCCACCAUGAGAACUUGCCGGUCACGCCUUAACCGAUCAACUUCUCCGUCUAAUCCGAACCACCCCACCUCAACACAAGGGUCUAGAGCUUGCUGCAUUGCCUGAGAUUGAUUGGCUUUCCUCCUUCUAAUAUUCUUCAAAAGAUCUUUCUGUCCUCUAAGAAACAUCUCAUUGGCAAACUCCCACCUAUCUGGAUCAACCUUCUUAAACCCCUACAAUAUCAAAUUCCUCCUUCAUUUCCAAGUCCAUAAAAUCCCAAUGUGGUAAUGGUUUGAGAAAGGAUAAACCAGAAUAAAGGAUACACAUCUUGUUUACAUAUACAUACAAGUCUUAAUGCAUGUUUGGAAUUAGUUUUACAAUUGAUUCUAAAGCCAAAAUCAACUAUAAGAGGAAGUUGUAGCUUCAUAGUACAUAAUUGAUUCUGAGGAAAGAGAAACUGAUCUCAACACUUAACAACAACAAUUUGCAUAUAUAGCAUCAUUGCAGAUGAUAUAGAAGCGCAAAUCAACACUGAACAACAACAAAACAAGUCUUAUCCCACUAAGUGAGGUUGACUAUAUGGAUCACCCUACGCUAUUAAGCUCGAUAAAAAAUUAGAUCAAAUCAACACUGAACCAUGUAUCAAUUUAUAUUCUAAAUUCAAUUUAUAUUCUAAAUUUUCUACUAUUUCCUACUCAAGACAUCAGAUUAACAAAAUGUCAAUAGGGAAACCCAUUACUAUAGGAUAAAAUUCGACCAACCAACUAUGAUAAGUAAAAGAAUACUAACACACUCCAGCAGCUUCAUGAACUUCAAUGAAGAUAAGGUUAUCAUUACUCAUGACAACAUCAAGAUGCAAUCCAUAUAUAAAGAAAACAGCACAGAUCAGAAGUUACUGACAUACAUAGGUGUUGAGUUGCCUGACAAAACUGGAGAAAUUGUUGUGCUUGAAGAAUCUGGGGAGAAGGCUUAUGGAAAAGGCCUGUGGGUUCCACACUACGAAGCUGUUAUUCCCUGUGCUCCAUGAAAUUAUAUGAUUUGUGGAAGGGUCAUCAACUAUGUCGUAUGUUUUUGUGAGGAAAGGUGGAGGACCAGUUUCUUGAAGACACUCCAUUGGUUGGGGAGGAACGCCACCAGAAUAGGAAGAACUUUGUCCUACAAACUCCUCUUUCUUCAUUCGUCCCUGAGCCUGAGGAUUCAUAUGGAGCUUUGAUCUGGGAGGUGGUGGCUUUGACUUUGAGGUUGUGAGGCUUUCCUGAUCUCAACUGUUUUGGUAGAGGAUAUUUGAAUAAUGUCAGGUGAAACUGUGUAGGUUGAUGAGUUCAAAUGAAGAUCUGAUCCAGUUCCUUCCUCUAAAGAAGUAAUAGUUCAUGGAAAAGAACUUGAAGAGAGAGGUAGAUGAAGGGUGAGCUUAGAGGGUUGUGAUUAUUAUUAUUAUGGUAUGGAGAAGGAUGGAGUGUUAGGAAUGAAGGAUAUGGAGGAAGCACAAGCAGGUGCACCAUGAGCUUUGUUCAAUUUAUUAUCUGUCUAAUGCCUAUCUAUGUUCUCCUUUUCUUUUUUCACUUACAUACAAUAACAAACUUAAUGUAGACAUAUUUUUCAUUAAGUGUUGAUUAGUCUUUUUUUUUUCUUAGGUAUUCUCCUUUAGAAGCAUAAUCUUAUUUGAGCAAAAAAACAUUCAUAUUAUGACAGAGUUAACUCAAAAUUUAAACUAAAAACUUUACUUAAGAGAAAUCAAGCAUAUAUCACUUGAACCAACAUAUUUAUUCCUCUACUCAAAUAGUAACAUAACAUACCUCACACCUGAAUAUACAUUUACACAAAUCCAUCAUGAUAUGAUAUAUGACGGGUUUGGAUCCUCUCAUGUGUAAAAAAAUUUGAGAGUGUCAAGUUUCAUCAUCUUACCAUUAACUUUUGUGUAGGUAAUAAAUAAAAAAUAAAAUAAAAUAAAAUUAAUAGUGAGAUGAUGAAACUUGACACUCUAAAGUUUUUUUACACGUGAGAAGAUCCAAAUAUAUGACUCAUGGGUGUAGGGAAAAGUAAAGUGAAUAGAAAUCCAACAUGUCAACUAGAUAUUUUUCUCUCUCCGCGUGUUCUUUCUCUUUUGGGAAAGUAGUUGAACAUUGCACUGGCCAAUAACCAAAGCCAAAUGCUUGGUAGAAUAGUGUUCAUUUAUUAGUAAUUUUUAAUUGAUUCUCUCGGAUGAAUAAAAUAUUACUAGCAGUAAAUUUAUAAAAAAAUAAAUAACAUUCUUAGACUACUCAUGAAUUUCUUUAUGUAAGUAAAAGCUAAGCUUUUCAAAAUUACAUUCUAUCAUGCUAAAUAUUAGAGUGUUUUGGAUAAAAAUUAUAAAAUACUUCAUUGGUAUUAUAAAUUAAUAUUAUAAAGUGAAUUAUCAAUUAUAUUUAGAAUUAAAACUUAUAAAAAACACUUAUCGAUAGCAACAUAUAUAAAAAGUAAUGUGAUAGAAAGAGUGAAAAAUAAAAUAUAUGAUAGACGUUAUUAUUAUAUUUUCAGUAUAACAUUUACAGUAAAUAACUAAUAAUUAAAUAAUUGUUUGAUUUUUAAUGGAGUGAUCAACUUUAUUUAUAGGAUUUUUUUUCUUUCGUUUGUUUGAUUUUCACCGUGGUGGUGAACAAUUUGUUGUAAGCAAUUUUUACUCUUAAAUGCAUAAACCAAUGUUUUUAUUAAUACAAAAAUUAGCACAAGUGGUGAUCGAAACCAAUUUUUCUAUUAAUACAAAAAUUAGCACAAGUUAAGAUGGGGCGAGGGACACGUAGCCCAGCUUUUUGGCACCACGAGAGGCAGACACGUGUAUGCCACAGGCUAUUUUUAUAUCAGAUCAAAACAAAAUAGUGAAGUGUUUGGUGUAGAACCGAAUCGAAUGUACCCGACACCAAGAACAUCCAAAAAGUGAUCACAGCAAAGUAAGUGAUCCCAUAUUUAAUUUUAUUGUUAAAUUCAAAACUCUUUUGUGUAUUUCUUUAACAAGUAUCUUACAAUUUAAAUAGAUGUUACACAUUCAUGAAACUUGUGAUAGUUCUAAAUAGCCACAAUUACAUUUUGCACUAGCUUUAAACGCACACGUGUUGUGAUGGUUUUUAACUGCAAAAAAACCUGUAUGUCACCAGGUCACGCAAGAAGGGUUCAAAUAUCACCAUUUUAACACUAUAUAACAUUUAGCCUUGUCGUUUCACAAUAAUUGAACAUACUAUAAGGCAAGAUAGGUCUCACUCUAUCUCUCACCUGAGAUAUCCCUCCAGCCACCGUAACAUUAUUAGGCAGCCAUGAAACAACAGCCUUCAAACCCUCCCACCACCCCAGCACUGUCAAACCCUCGCCUCUCUCGUUUUAUUUCCCUUUCUAUGUGAAUGUUGAAUUAUCUUCUAACUUGGUGAUUGUGAACACUUUUAAUCCAAACCAAAGAAAGUAAAAUAUGCUAAGAGUAUAGAUACAACCACAUAGUGAUGCUAUGUUCUACUCUGUUCACAAAUUCCAGAACCGCAUACUAAUAACAGGGAUGAAUAAAAUGAAGACAAGACUAAGCUAAAGAAGAAAGCAGAAGUAUGAGGAGAUAAUCAAUCUUGCUCCUAGCUAAAAAUAACCCCAACAUAGGUUGACUAGGUUCUUGCCUUCACCCCUGUCCUUUGUCACCAUUGACAAAUGAGGAAAAAUGGUUCAACUUCGGCGCGGCUAGAAAAAUCGGCGUUGAGCGGCACCGCUAGAAAAAUCGGCUUCGCACGUUGUCUGAGCAGGGGAUGAAGGACACAAUCUCGAGUGGCCAUCAUGGAGGAUAAAAGUACAACCUUGGUCUCAUCUCACUAACAGCAAAAUGAGCAAUCACAAAGGCGGCUGAGCGAGAAGGAAGAACUGCAACCUUGCAUGAGUGCAGGGAUGGACCCAAGUGCUCCACAAAUGGGGCAGUCGCAAAGAGAAUUUUAUUUUCAUAUAAUAGUAUUUAAAUGUUGUAUUCUCCCCUUAAGUUUUAGUGUAAAUAAGUUUUACACAAUCAAUCAAUCACAACCCUCUAUUUUGCUAGCUCAUAGUUAAUUUUGAAUUUAAUAAAUUUUAAAUAUGAAAUGGAAAGUUGUGAUUGAAUGAUUGUGUAAAACUUUUUACACUGUCAGUACAUAGAAAUUAAUCUCUAUACUAUUUGCAAAGUAUAUGUUUAUGCUGUACCCAGUUCCAAUAAUAAUACCUCUAAGUCAGAUCCUUAAACAGUACCGGACAAAAUAGAAUACAACAUCAGCUAUGGGGUUAAUUACACACAAACCAUAACAUAUAAAGCCGGUCAUUUUAUUUGAACAGACCAUUAUUGUUUUUAAACCUUAGUCCUUUUCAACCCACACUACUAUCGAUCAGGCAGAACCAGAUCUCACUCUCAUGCAGCAGCAUCAACAGCAUUGUUGGCAACAUCCUUUUCCAGAAAAGCCUUGAUAUAUUCCUCUCUGCACAUUGAAAACACAAUAUGAACCACAACAAAAAGCCUAUCUGAUUGUCCCAUAGGCUACUGAACUUGUUAAAUUAUACCUUGCAGGGAGAUGAUCAUGUGGACGGUUGUAUGGAGUCCAAACUGGUUCACCAACAAAGAAACGCAAAGCCUGCAUAUUUACAAUCAUGUAAGACCGCACUUAUGAGUUAGACUAAUCUUCUAUUUAAGUUAAGAUAAAAAGAAACAUUGAAAAUGGCAAAAUGCACAUCCAAUUGCUGAAAGAUGACAAACACAAGCAUAAAAUAUGUCAUAUCUCAAGAUACACCUUCAUCAUAACACAUAUACAAGAAUACAACUAACAAAAAAAUUUGCAAUCAGAUGCUUCGGUCACUCAAAAAAUACAAAAAUAUGACUCACAAGAAAGCCUUUCAAAAGGGGCACAGGGAAAUGCAGUAAAGUAUGACCAAGUUCAAGGCCUAAAGAGUCAAAGUUCCCCAAAAAGGGACAAACUGACAGGAAAAUGAGAAGUUCAUUGAUAUAAUGCUUUUGUAAAGAUGGCAUCAAUACCUUAAUAUAAUUGGUCUCAUCUAGUGUAAAGCGAUGAUACAUUCCAGCAGGUAAAAUGAUCAUUCCUCCUUUCUUCACCCAUACACGAAUCCAAGCAUCAUUGCGAUCCCUGACAUCAAAAUAACCUAAAGAAAGACAGGAAGUAUUUAGCGUGUGGUUGAUUUGGGGUUGUCCUCAUAGAUGCUUUUGUGUGAUUGCAUUGGAAGGACGCAAAUGAACUUAUGUAAAGACUAUAAACGCCAAAACAAACACACAUUACAAGAUAGCAAGAAAAUAAAAGUAAGGGGAAAAAAUUGCUCAUACCACUUCCAGCAACAGCAUAGCGGAUCUCCUCAUCAAUGUGAAGAUGCUCUUCAAAGAAGCUUUUGAUCUUCGCUUCAUAGUUUGGCAUCUUUUCAGGGCAGAUCUCACAAACAUCCUGCAGAAAGAGAGCCUCAGGUCAAAAUGUUAAACAAACAUAAAUGCAGACAGAAUGACAAGAUUCUGAUUGUUACACAAAACUGAACACAGUCAUACUUUUGCAUAUUGUUGAUUUUUCUGUACACAAAUUUAUUUACUGAGUAGAGGGGAAGUUAAGUAUAAAUGCUAAAUUGCUAAUAAUGAAACAUUAGUAUAACAAACCUUGUAGGUGUAACCACGUUCUUCACAAAUCUUUUUCAGAUCUGGAUCUGUUUCAUGGUUAUCAGCAUCUAAUUUCCAACUAAGGACUCCGAUUUCUGCAAUGUGAAGAUAAGCCCAAGAUCAGAUGCGAGAAUAAAUUUCACAAUUUGUACAUAUCAGAAACAUAACUGACACAUGCAACGAGAAAAUUACCAUCAAGUUUAGCCAAUGAGACAAACUCCUUGGGUUCUCUGUGAUGGGGAAGUCUUUGAUCUUCAUUACUGUCAUCCAUGUACCAGGCUUGAAUGACUUCCUCUCGGGGAUCCUGUGAAAAAUGACAUUUGAAAGAAUGAUUCCUCUUAUUUCUGCUCAAUUUUGAAUGAGAGCUCAUACAACCUCCCAACAACCAAAAAGUAACAAUAGGAAUAGUACAGAACAAUUUGAGCACAUUACCAUGAUUAAGAAUGUAGUAGUAAUUGGGAAACAAAUAAUCUGUUUCAGAUAGAUGAUUGGCUCUAGAGAUAUCAUCAUACAACAGCAAUAAUAACAUAACAGGAACAUUCAAUUUAUACCCACUUGCAAUAGGACAUUUAGCAAAAAGAAACAAGUUAUCUACGAGUAGGAACAAUGACAGUUAGCAUCCAGUUCUCGCAAAAAACAUCACAACCUAUUUAUCAAUGCGAGAUGAUCAAGAAUUCACUAUUUCACACAUGAGAUGCAACAACUUUCAAGUUCUUCAAUAGACUCCGAAUUCAAAAUUUGAUAGAUGCAACAUGUUCUGUCUCUCCUGAGUCCUGAAGAGUAACGAGACAGGUUUUGAUCACACAACAAUGCAGACUCAGGUAAAUUCCUAUAAAACCAAAAAAUUGAAUUGUUUUCCCUAGGGUUUUAAAUUGGGGAAGCGGUCGCGGUUAUGUUGCAGAAAUGCAGGUUGAUAGGUUGAUGCGGCCGCAAUAGCGGUUGCUAUACCAUUACCACGAAUCAAAAACCUGCGACCGGAUCAAUUCAAAACCCUUGUUUGGUCAAUUAGAUUCUCAAGCAAGGGGUCAGAACUCAGAAGUCAAAUUUCCAACUUACUGAUUCAUCCUUAAACAAAUUCAUUAGAAACAAAUCAUGAAAAGAUCAAUAACUUCAUCCACAUCCACAUCCACAUCCACAUGCAUACAAAUUGGUCACAGUUGAAUUCAAAUAGCUUAGGCUACGAUCAUUCAAAUUGUUAAUUCACAACAAAAUCUAUGCAAUUAACAGAACAAGGAAUCAUGUUUUUUUGGAACAAAACAAAAAUUGCUCCGAUGAUGAGAAUCGAGAAAGUACGAGGAAUACCUUGUCGGAAGAAACCAUGAUGAUAGGUUGGUUCGGUGGUGCAGUUGGUGGUUCUUUUGAUCGGAUAUCUGUGACUUGUGCUUAUUGUCCACGCGAUUUAUAUAAACCUCUCAACCUCAUCAUCACCUUUGACCACAAAAAGUCAAAAAUAUUUCUUGGACCUUCAUUUUCCCUAUCACUUUUUUUAAUUUAAAAAUAUUUUUUAGAUUCUGUUUUUAAGAUAAAAAAAUUUGUCAAAGAUUGUAGAAGAAGUAAUAUUGUGUUUGAUAGAAUGAUUUUUUUUAAAGAUUGAUAGAAUGGAUUUGUGUUUGGGAAUGAUGUGUAAAAUAAAUUUAAUAAAAUAAAUGUUGUUUACAUGGAAUAUAGUAAAAUUAAUUUUAGGGAUAAAAUUAUAGAAAUAGAUAUAGUGAGUAUUAGUUAACAAUGAGAAAGAAAAUGUGAGCAAUAUCAACGCAGGGAAGCACACCACUGAAUAGACUUGGGCAACCUCGAGCCACCAUUGCGAGUAGCUACUCACGUUGAAAUUUAUAAGCAUCUAGGUAUAUAUUGUUCACGAGCAAUCUCUCAAACAAUGUAGAACAUAUUCGUCCUCUUCAUUCCACACAACACAUGUAGCUGACAUUGUCAUCAUUCAAACAAUAUUUUCCUUUUUCUUUUGAAAAAUAGAUUUUAAAAAUUGUUUCUGCAAAAUUAAUUUUAGAUAAAAAAAAAACUAAAACACAAAUUAAACAAGCCCUGAGUUAUGAUUCACUUGUUAUUAUAACCGAAGGUAGAGACUUUAUUUGGGCUUCUAAACCGGGUUCUAAAAGGUUAGCAUACUUUUUGAACGGAUCCUUAUUUUAUUGCCCCAGCAUCUCCAAUGCAUAGUUGCUAGUUGGGUUGUUUAAAAACUAUUUCGGUGGGUCCAGACUGACACAUAGGAUUUAAGCAACCCAAGCAGAAUUCGCUCCAACCACAGUUGCUUAGUUUACUUUUAGUUGGGUCCCAUUAUACCUCUUAUAUUUAUAUUAUUUCAAGGUAAUGACACUAUACAAGUACAUGAAUGAAAGAGAAAAUAUGAUUUUUUAGUCAAAAAGUAAGGAGAGAGAAAAUAAGCAACCGUUGCUUAAAUAAGCAACCGUUGCUUAAAUUUAAGCAACCCAACUGCCACGUCAUGUUGCUCCAGUGGUGCUUCAAAAUAAGCAACGUUGCUUAAGUUGCCAACUAGAUUUAAACAACCCCAUUGGAGAUGCUCUAAGGAUGUAGGGUGGUAUGGGUAUUAGAAUACAACUUUGUCAAACAUUUCAUUCCUUGGCAAGCUUUUCUGCAGUAUCUUUCAUGAGCAGCACAAGCUUUGGAUCAGUGUGUUGUGUAAUAAUGGUGAUGGUUAAUACUGGUAGUGAGGUAUUCUUAGAGCUCGAAAUCAGCUCCAAAAUGAUUUUUCUUCUACUUUGGCAAUGAGUACAUCUUUCUGGUUUUAGGAUUUGACAGGUUGGGUCCAAUAGCAUGUCAUGUUAAUUUUGUGGAUAUCAAUGACUUGGAUAUUAGUCUCCUCUCCUGCUUGUUCUAUGUGUUCUUGUCAACAGGAAGAUAUUCUUCAUUGUUUGAGAGAGUGUCCCCAUUCUAAGGAGAUUUGGUGCAGGCUUGAAGCUCUGGCUUGGCCUAAUUUUAUGAAUGUUAAUUUACGUGAUUGUAUUCUUUCUCAAUUAGAGGGAUUGCAUGUUAUUUUUGCUGCUGCAAUUUGGAAGAACCAUGGAGUUUAGAUGGUAAGUUGAAACCAGGCAACACAAACAAACUAUAUAGAUAUGCAUUUCAAUCAUUCUGUAAAUUACACAUUUGCUUGUACACUUUUUCAUCAUAUACUAUAUACAGUGACGCAAUAAAAGAGUGUCUAUACUUAUACACGAAUUUCACCUCGGAUAGAAGUGCCUUAUUGGAAUGAUAAUGAAAUUUGGAUCGCAACCGAUUGCCAGCUAUACAUAUUCCAGGGCUCUAGUUUCUAAUGCUAUUGAUGUUUCCUGCCAAAGAUGAAGAGCAUAGUUAUGUUAGAAGAAACAACCAGUUUAUAUGGUCAACAAGAUAAAAGAUUAAAACCAGAUAUCAAACACACCCUAUAUAGACAUUAGACAUUCAUUUAAAGUUUCAACCAUCUCAAAAACUAAACAUCUGAGUCAAAACUAUUUACUGAUAUCUUCUGUUUUUUUGAUGCUUCAGAUAUUCCAUUUUGUUUUCAGUUUCAUACAGUGCCAAGUUCCGUUCUUUUAAGUAUUGAGACCCAGCAAACCUCAUAAGAAGCCAGGUUUAAAUAUAAGUAUUUUUUGGUGUAGAAAAUAUAAGGUAUAAAGCCAGAGAUGAGAAAGAGUCACCAUAAUCUAAUAUUAAUUCACCAUUAUCUAUGCAACUUCUUUUCUUCAUUCCUAUUUCCUUACUGCAUAGAUUCAUCCAGGACAUGACACUAGGUAUUAUUGGAUCAAUCUUGUUGCUUCUCAACUCAAAUUUGGAAGGAUCCCAGGUAAACUGAUUUGAAUAUUUUAUUUUCUAUCUCCCUUUCCUUAAUGGAAUGAUGAUUUGGAUUCUUGUGGAUUCUCCAUGUCUACCUAUGUGUAUGAUUAGUAAAAAUGAUGUAUAUAAAUUAUAAUUUGUAUCUUGCCUUCAGUUUUGCAGGGCUUGAGAAUAGACAGCUUGCUGUGAUUGCCUUCCCAUGAUCCAAAAGCCAUCCCACUUCACUUUGCGUUUCACCAUCCUCGUUUUGUUUAAGUGAACACCAGAGUUGCUUAGGAAGUAAUAUGUCCUUGUCUCCAUCUCUGACAGAGUUCUGCACAUUUUCACCUACAAGCUCUCGAAAGAUCUUCUGGAGUUGAAUGGAAAGGACAUGUAAAUGAAGUCAAUGAAACAAGAAGGAAAAAAAUACAAACACGAGAAACGGAAGGGAAAGAGAUCCUUGUUCACUCACAGUUUUUGUAGUGCCAAAAGUGGCGACAGCCUUUGAUCCCUGCCAGAUACCAGCAACUUCUGAAGCAGCUAUGGGUGAAGUAGAAGCAAAGGCAGAGUCACGGAUAGCACAACCUCCAAGUUGUUCGCCAUUUCUGAAUGGUCCAUACCACUGUUCACGAAAUACUCUAACACUCUGUAGCACCAUCUUUGUAUUAUCAACUAUAUGGAUAUGCUGAAUAAUCCUAACCCGAGAUUCAAACUCUUGAGGAUUGAUCAAGCAGUACUCCAACUCUAGGAAGUUAUCCUUCUUUUGCCAGACAGCAAUGUAAGAGCCACUGGAUUGGUAAGCAAAGGAAGUAACUCCAUUGUUUUCCCCACCCACUUUCCUCUCAUCCACACUGUAUAUUGUAGCAGCAUCAGCCUCACAUCCAACAGUGGGAAGUAACUGAACGGAUUUGUAUUUAAGAACAUGAUCCUCUGGUUCAGCAAGAGUGGGGCACUGAGUCUGCCAAUCAUAAACUUUAACCUCCCACUCUCGAUAUGCUUCCGGCACCACCGACUCUGGCAGUUCAAUUGUCUUCCCUUGAUUACUGAAGUCCGCACCAAAUCCAUCCCAUUCACCAGAGACUCUUUUGGCAAAUUGCGACCACCCUUCAACACUUUCGUCAUAUACCUUGAGAAAAGUUCUACAUCUAUCAUAUAUGGAAUAGCCAAAUAGGUAUCCAAACCACCUAGUAUUCUAUAAAAUUCUAAACAAGAUAAGGAAGCACAAAUUUGCAUAAUCAUGGCAUGAGUUAUAUCCAUUUUACAGGGCAGGAAAAAAGUAACAGCAUCGCAAUCUACAAAUGAGUUUGAUAAAGACAAAGUGCGAACACCACCUAUUUGGCCCUUCAAAGAUAAAGGCUAUAUCACAUUAGUCAUCUAAUUAUAUCAAAUAUGACACUUUAAAUCAACAAAAUUAUACCAUCAAAUUUUCAUCUUUCAAGGAUCAAGUUGGGCGGCAAAGAUGUGCCAUUAAAGGACAUGUAUUGUAAUGUCAUGUGCACAUAUAGAAUACUAACAUGUACACUUUUUCAAAAACAAAUCACUCAAAUGCCCCAUUUGGAAGAGCUUAUUCGAGCUUAUCUUUUAGCAUCGGUAACUUAGUUUCAACUUAUAUCAAUAAGUUUCUCAUAUUAACUCAUGAAUAAUUGUCAAUUCGAUAAAGGGUUAUUGUCAUAAGCGUUUAUUAGCAUAAGCAUUCAUUAAGCUGUUUAGUCAAAAUGAAAUGGAAAGGUUUGGAACAAAUGGCCAGUGUUCUUACUUGCUGAGGCUCUACUUCUCCCAGCACACUUAUCAGGUCAUCAAUUGCAGCAGUGACUUUUCCAUGGCGUCUUGAUUGACUGAACAGAUGAAAGUUCUCCUUCCUGUUUUGAGAUUCAAACAAGCUACCAAAUAGUUACAAUUGACACAGCUUCAGAAAAUGGCCACAUACUAUAUGAGUGAAUAUUACCUCCUCCUCCAAUUGAAAGAAAAGGGUCUGAACCCCUGAAAUGGCAUCCUGAAAUUCCCAUUAUGCAGCAGUGAAGCCUAUAUUAGAGAAAAGUUGCACUUUAAGCAUAAAGAUCGAGCUAAAAAAAGCAAAUUAGGGAAGUGAUGAGUAGGGAGAGAGAAGAGGAGUACAUGUAGGUGGGUUGAAGAAGAAGUGGUGGAGAAACGAUGUCGCUGGAGAAGGCAUGGAGAAGGUGAAGUGGUGGAGAUGACGGCCAUGAGCGGAAGGAAGUACGUUAAUGGCAGAAACCGCGGCUACUACGACCAUUCAACGAGACAUUAUAUGUAUGCUUUUGGAUAAUGUGUGCUGUGCAGCGAGAAAGAGUUUGCGACGGAACAACUCCGUCACAAUACUGCGACGGAAGACAAUCCGUCACUAAACUGCGACGGAAGACAAUCCGUCACCAAAAUUGCGACGGAUGGAAUUCCGUCACUAAAUUUGCGACGGAUGGAAUUCCGUCACUAUUUUGCGACGGAAAACAAUCCAUCACUAAGUUUCGACGGAACACAAUCCAUCACUAAGUUUCGACGGAACAUAAUCGUCACAAAUUUGCGAUAGAAGAAAAUCCGUCACUAGAGCGGAAAAUAGCCAGUCAAUGAUUUGCGACGGAAUAAUCCGACACAAAAAGUCCUUGUCAGACUGUUAGAUUAUGUAUGACGAGAAUAGAUCUGUCAAUCCUUAGCGACGGAAUAUAGAGAGAGAUUUAUUCCAUCGCAAAUUUUAUCUUGAAAGUGGUUGUUUAAAUAUCCCUGACGGAAUUCCCCCACUAAAUUCGCAUUAAACCAAGGGACUUUGUGACAGAGUAGUUUUUCGUCGCUAAUAUUGGUACUUUGUUUCAUACUAUAUUUUUGUGUAAAUUGUUUUAUUUUUUACAUAAUUUUUCUCCACUAGAAAUCAAUGUUAUUAUACAGCAUGGGUAUUUUAAUGGCUAAAAUUUAUUGUGUUGAGUUUCUUUUAUUUUUGCAGAAUUUUUUACAAGGAAUGACUCAAGGUCCCUUAGCAACACACUUACAAUAGUCAUGACAAUCCUAAAAUGUUUUUGGUCAAUGAGGAUGAUCAAGCCUAUAGAGGUUAAACACUUAAACUCCUAAGAAUUAGCCAUUUGGUGGGUCACUCUAUUAUGGCAAAUUCUAUACACGAAUAUCCAGUUUUCAUCUAACAUUCAAUCAAUGCAUAUUUUAGCUGCAAUUUUUCAUCAGACAUUCAAUCGACACACUUUUUAUAGGCGAUAAAUCGCUGCUAAAGCGUGUAUUAAUUGAAUAUCGAUGAAAACCAGAUAUCCGAAUAACAUUUUCUAACAUUGAAGACACUGCAGCACCCAACACGCAUACCAUCUUGCUAAAUGAACUAUCCACAUAAUUAGGAUUUUCAUUCACUCAACCUCAUUUUUUCAUAGAUUCCAUUUUCACUCACUUUUCUUCAUAUUACAUUAUUUUUUCUUUUCACACUGAUUUCUUUCAUUCCAAAAGGUCCUUGUUGGAACUCAUAAUAAAAAUUCCCAAGGAAUGCCAUCUAGGACAACAUGCAUCUAACGUUUGCAUUCAUCCAAGAUUUGAAUAUGGACCAAAAAAAUUGAGUUUAAAACUUCUGGGAACUAACAUUACCCAAACUACCUUUACAACCUUUACACAAAGGAAAGCUGUAAGAACAUGUAAAGGGCUUUCCAGCUAUAGUUGGCGGUUCUAUCAAAACAAGUUUGCCUUCUCUUUGUAUAUAUGCCAUUAUUUUUCUGAAUGGACAAACUUGAUUUAAACAAGUGAUUACACAGAACAUAACAACAGCUUCACAUAGACAAAAAUUUGUACUGAGUAAACAGACACUAAGUGUUCUUAAACUUAUUUGAGUCUCAUCUCAUGCUUGGUCUGUUUUAGGUUCAUAGACAGACCUUUUACUUGGUAAUAUGCUUAUGUUAUAAUAUCUAAAACAAGAUACACUUGUAUAUUAAAGGACCCUAAUGAGCUGCAAGAGGAAAUCUAUUUUUCUCAAUCAAGCCCUUCAUGUAUUCCUUUCUAGCAGGGUUAUCUUCCUGUGGUCGAUUAUAUGCUGUCCAUACAGGCUCGCCGAUAAACAACCUCAUCAACUGCACACAUCAUGCACAGAAAUAAAACAACUAAUGAUUAAUCAAACCAUAAAAGCUUUGAAUCUUUAUCUAUUGAAACACACUUCAAACUGAAAUUUCUUCCUUCUCAUCCUAAGAAUGAAGCCAUAAUCUAGAGUCUUAAUGAUUGUGGUUAGAAUAAGAUAGUUCCAAACCUUCACAUAAUUACUUGUGUCAAGAGUGAACCGAUGGUAGAUUCCAGCAGGUAAAAUGAUGAGAUCACCGGCCUUGAUCCAAAUGCGAAUCCAUCGAUCAGCUUUGUCUCGCACAUCGAAGUAGCCACUUCCUUCCAAGCAAUAACGAAUCUCUUCAUCCUGAUGGAUGUGCUCAGUGUAGAAGUUCUUCAACUUCUCUUCAUAAUUUCCACUUUCUCUGGGCAUAAAUCAAGCAGAUCCUACAACAUAUAUUCAAAUAAACAGAGAUAUAUUGAAAAACGCAAAUAAAUGCUAUCAACAAUCAGAACAUUCGAAACAAAUGGUCAGCACACAAUAGCAAAUUUGAAGGAUGGCCAGUUGGUAAGGGAAAAAUCUAAGAAGAACAAAAGUUCAGAAGCUCAUAAAUUAACCUCAAAUUGCUAAAUCUCUAAACAGGCAAGUAAUAUUUUGGUCUAACAACUAUGCUACUAAGAUGUGUUUGGAAUCCAAUCUGAAAUCCCAAAACUAUGAUUUGGAUUCAAGCUAAGACAAACUUUUGGCCAAACUCUGUUUUGAACUAAUAGAAAUCCAAACAUGCUAUGAGUACUGAGAAAUGGUGUCAGUCUCAGAGUUUCAGUGUAGCUGCUUAGUUCUGUGCAGCCUAUCCUAGGAAUCAUACACUGUUCAUACAAAAUUGCAUAUCAUGCUCCUCUAUAAAAUCAAGUCUAAUGAGUGUAUUCCAUGAUUCCCUCCAAACCUUAUGAUAGAAUGAAACAGUAAAACUUUGAAGGCUAUCUAUAAACAAUUUAGAUCACAAGCAUGGUUCUUUAGUUUAAUUAGUUGAAUGUAAUAAAAAUUAAACACAAGAUUACCAUGUAAUUGUAUCCCCUGUCUUCCCUAAUCUUCUUCAACUCUUGAUCGUUUUCAUAGUCAGUUGGAUUCAGCUUCCAGUAUAAGACUCCCAAUUCUGCUAAUUGGUCCAAGGAAGCAAAUUGCUGGGGUUUGCAAUGGUGUGGAAGCCUUGGAUCUUCAUUGCUAUCGUCCAUGAACCAUGCCUGUCACAUUUUUUAAUCAAUAAUAAUGAAAAUGAAGCCUUAGAUUGAUAUUAAUUCAUUGGUACAUAGAGAAGAAGAACUCACCUCAAUCGCCAUGAGUGACCAACUUCAAGUUUCAAUGAACCUUGUCGCUUAUUCUAUAUGCGAAAGUGGUGAUGAUAAUUUAUAUAUAUGAAGUACGAGACCAAAAAAUAAUUAAUUAAUUAAUUAAUUAAGAAAUUAAAUAAUAUUAUUGUGGAGUAUAUUUUGUAUUAUUAGUUUAUUACCAUCUCUUCCCUUCCUGUGGUUGGUGUUUUCUGCUAUGGAAAAUAUCAUCAUUGUCGUUUUAUCUUACACUUUGCUUCUAGAAAUUACUUGAGCCGCUUCUUUAAUUUCGUGGCAGAGAGAAGUUUAAAAUGCCAAAUUAUCUCCUCUCUUGUCAUAUGUGACAAAAUAUAUACGACAAUAGCAUGACAACCUCAAAAAUAAAUUAUGAACCUAUUAAACGAUUUUAAAUUAAGACUCUAGGCGUAAUUUUACUGAUAUUUUUCUUCACAAACAAAGUUCAAGAAUUAUACAUUAAUCAUGUAAACAAGUUUUUUCAUUGUUACUGUCAGAAAAAUGUAUCAUGUUAACAAGUUUUACAUGAAUGUCCAAUUUGGAUUCACAAUCUUAAUGUAUGGUUAAAUUCAAAUGUUGUUGUGUUUAUAAUUUCAUAAUUAAGUAAAACGGUUUUACACUGAAAACCAAGUUGAUAAGUCUAAGAAAGAGAAGUCACAAUCUUUAUUAAGCUUGAUAAUUCUCAAAGAGAGAAAAGUCACAAGAGUACAAGACAGAAUUUGGAAAAAGUGCCUAAUGCAAGGGCUAGGCUCAACUUAGCCCAAAAUGUCACACCAUGAAUAUUACUAAUCCAAUUGGACCAAGACAACAAGUCCAAUUUUCCUAUUCUAUGUGGGCCAGAACACAAGCCCAAAAUAUCCCUAAGGCUCAUAUAAAAACCCAAGACAAAAAAAGUAGAAAGCUGCAUUUAAAAAAAUAACCUCUUUAGAUAGCCUUACUUGUUUGUGCUAAAAUCAAACCAGAAAGCUGCAUUUUCUUCUUUUGAAAACUUCUUUAGAUAGCUUUUGCUUGUGAACUGUUUUUUAUAAAACAUAAGAGACUUACUUUUAAAAAACUUCUUUAAAAAUAACUUUUCACCAAAAAAUCUGUCAAGCGUGAACAUAAUCAAAAUUGGCAAAACAAAAAAAAACAAAUUAGAGUAAACAAAAGUAAGAGCAGAGAAAACAUUGGCUUGCAAAAAGCUAUUAACAUUUAACAAGAGGCAGCACAACAAAUUUACAUAUCCAAUUAUCCAUAAAUUCCUGGGAAAAUAGCUGCUCCUGGCUCUAAAUUUUAACUCAAAAAACCUUCAACUACAGAAACAAGAAAUUCCCGACGGAUGAAAAUUAGAUGGCUGAAUUACAAAAUUGAUCAGGUAAGCGGGAGACUCAACUAUCCUAAACAAAAUAAAUUUACCAAGCAGUUAAAGCUACUAAAAUUAACGAGCAGCCCAAUCCUUGCAAUAGGCUCCAAGAAGCUAUGGUCUCUUCGCUUAAGUUAUGCAGUAAUCACCUCCCUUCAAUCAUCUACAGGUCCCAACUCUGCAUAAUCUAUCUGGUCUUGAGUUUUAGGAUCCUUGAACAUCUGCAAAGACACUCAGAUAACAUAAAUUUAUGACAGAAAAAGUGAUAGUUCAUCAAAUCUUGGUUUAUAAUUAGUAUUUCACUAUGGUGCACCGGUACGGUACCUGUACCGAGUACAUAUAUGGGUGGGCUGAGCACAAGAAUUGAAAAAAAAAAACUAAGGCUAGUAUGUGUGUGUAUCUCGACAAGUUAGAAAAACAUCUUCACAAUUAAUAUAACUAAAAUAUACAUUGUUGUCAAAACUAACAAAGCAUAUCGGAGAAAUUGAGAUUUAUGCACGAUGCAUGAGAGAAUUGUGAGUUUAGUAACUUAGUUUUAGUUAGUGUGUGCCCGCGAAGUACCCACCCAAAAGGUACCAAAACAUACCUGUUUUUUUGUUUGCUUGAAUAGUUACUUCAGUAAAUAUCCGAUGCUAAUUUACAAGUAUCAAACGAGUACCAGAUACAAACCCAGUACGUGUAUGACAGCCAAAAUGAAGUACUUAUGCUAAAGAUCAUCACCACCAUGAAUAUAAACCAUUGUAACAACUCAAAAAGGUUGACAGCUGCUUAUAAUCUUAUAAGCAGUAACUAUUAGUCUUUCCAGAAACUUUUGUGAGGGCGUAUAUACGCACAUAUAUAUACAUAGGAUAUGUAUGAUACACACAUAAAAAAAUUCUGAGGCAACUAAUUCACAUGAUACAUACAAUAAAAAGUAAAAUUCUUGUGGGGUAAUUCCCUCCGAAAGCCAAUGAGUAAAUCUGCCCCUGCUUUUGAGCAUGGCAGACAAAGAUCCCAAUCCCUGCUUCAUAGAUGUUCUACAAUUCUAACAUCUCCAAAUAUCAAUACAGCAACCAGGACAAUCUAAUCUAUGCAUCUAUCACAAUUCUCUAAUUGAUAUACUUGAAAGAUUUAUUUUCAUAUCCUUGUUACGGAACUAUAGAGUUAUGUUGUUAUACAACAGUUGAAAAAAAAGAUUAUGAGUUUGUGACCGACCUUUGUCAUUGAGAUCAAUGGGAAGGGAAACUUUUAGCUGAUUGUCAGCUGAGCCACCGGAAACUACAGGCAAUCUAGGCUGUGGAGGAGAGCUAGUGCUACUACGGCUUGAAUUCCCAUUUGAGGCAUGGCCCUUCACUGGAAGGUUCACAUACAUGUCGAAGUUAGAUGAAGUUACGCUGGUCGAUUUCUUGCCCUUCAAUCUUCCCCUAACACAUUAGGCAGCAAAAGAGACUAGUUCACAGGUUCUCACUGAUGGAAUUGAUGUCAAUAAACAAAUGACAUUUGGUACUGCAGAUACCUGUCUUUUCGCUUUUCAAGAUACCGCUGCACUGACACUUUUCUGCUUGCUUGACCCUCUACAUCUUUUAUGAAACAAAAAAAUAUUACCAAUACUUAGGUUCUUAGAAUUUGAUGUAUGAAAGUUUGUUACAAUGUAUUAUGUUUAAACAGAAAUUAUUCUCCCUAGCUCUUAGAGAUACUCACAAUCUAAGUUGAGUAUUAUGCUACCAUGUGAGUACAUGAGCAUGUAUCAUUAAAGUAGUGCAUACUUAUUUAAUUAAAGUAGUGCAUACUUCUUUAAUAUUUCACUAAUUUAAUAUACCACAAGUCUUCCUUUUUCACACGUAUAACUAUAUGUUAGCUUUUUGCCAAUUAGAUCCUUAUUAGGAAAGUAUAUAAAAGGAGAAAUACCAAUGAUUCAAUAGUUAAAAAUAUUGGAAUAUAAUUAUCAGAAAUAGAAUAAUUUCAGUUAUCAGAAAUAGAUAUUAACUAUAGUAAUUAGAAAAUAAUCAUUCUAUAAUGGAGGUAGGACUAUUAAAUAGGAAAUUAAGUAAAGUUAGUAUGUUAUAAAUAAUAGAAGAUAAGAGGUUAGAACUAUCAAUGAAUUGGUAAGAGAAUUUGAGCCUUGGGGCAUGGAUGCAGAGUGUUUUAGUCCAGAGAGAAUUAUUCUUUCUAAUAAAAUAUAAAGUUCCUGUCGACUGGUAUCCGAGCUUGCAUCUUGGAGUUGUGGCCAUUGAAUAUGAAAGGACCCAGGAGCUGUUCACUGUCCGUAAAAUGAAGAAUGAAACUCAUGACAUCCUUAAAGAAAUGAAGCUAGAGAUUGCAGCUUGGAAAAGGGAACUCAAGGACAAAUGCCAAGGGACUUCCGGUCUCUGAAGGAGGGGAUGCGUAGGGAUGGCUGGUUCACAUCAAGCAGCACUUCACAGAUUGGCAGUGGAAGCAUUGGAGGGACGGGCUCACCAUUGGUAUCAAAAGUGGGAGAGCCGUAAUCCUAAGGCCACAUGGGCAGAUUUUCAUAGGGCAAUGCUCAAGCAAUUUCAGUCUGAUUAUGAUCCAAAAUUUACCAAUUUUAAUCCAACAAAGGGGCCUACAGUCUGGGGAUCAAGAAAAUGGAGAAGAUGAAGCUUUGAAGAGCAAGAAUCGGGCGCGGCGUCAGUAGAGGGUCAGCACUUAAAAUGGAUGUAAGAAGGAAUGAACUACCACCAACCUUGAAUGGAUGGGUCUCGGGCAAGCCAGUCAACCCACCCCACCAUCAAAACCACUAGAUAGAGACGGGACACCAAGCAAUUAGGUCAUGCGAUCCCCAAUAGAACCGCAUGACUGGAAUGCAUGUUUGGUGGCAGAAGCUACGCCAGUAACAGAGAAGGGGAUGGAGAAGGUGGGCGUUCCGCAACUCCGAGGUAGAGGUGCAGCGGAUGAGAAGGCAGUUCGGUUGAGCCUAGAGUCACAAAAAGCUGGUCACGAUUAUGCACUAAUGGGCCCGAACCCAGUGUACUUAGCUGUUGGAUGGGUUGCCAGUUGGCAGGAAGUGGGAAAGAGCUCACUUAACACAGGAAUCGUCACAUUUAAGGCAAUAGCUAAGGUUGAGAUCAUAGGCCUUCCAAGCCACUGCCCAAACUAUCAGGUUAAUAAUAGAAGAUAAGAAAGAGAAACUAUCAAUGUAUUUGUGAGAAUUAGGGCCUUAGGGCAAGGAAGUGAACAACCCUCAAAGAUCUCAGUGCUAUAAUCAGCGGAGACUUUAACUGUUCUUUCUAACAAAAGACCAGGUUCCUAACACUAUAGCAGCAAUAUUUCAUUGCUUUAAGAAUUACAAAGAACAAGUUUUUCUAGCUGGGCAUUAAAUGGAAUCAGUACUCAUUUUGCCUGAGUAAUUAAAUGGCUGACAAUCUCUCAUGAACUGACAUGGUUAUGAGUACUAGUACUCAAACAUAUCUUGUAUAAGAACCUCCAAAAACUUGCCGAAUCAAAAGAUAGAAAAUUGGGAGGGCAUAUCAGAAUAAUUUAAAAAACAGAAGCAGCAAAGGUCCAAAUUCAGCAGAGGUCAAUAACAGCUGUCAUUUUCUACUAAAAAUUAUCCAUAAAUCUGCCAAAAAAGAUAACGUAGAAAGUUCUAGCAGACAGCGAAAAUCCACAAACUUAAUUAUCCUUACCAGCAUCGCGAGGUAUGCUCACUUUCUCCCUGUAUUGCAGAGGAUAUUCCACCAUCUUAUCUGUAAUAUCAAAUUUGGAACCCCAAUUAUGAAGUUGCCAAUACCGCAAAAAGUAUAAGGAUCUUAACAUCUUUAGUUCCAAGCUAGAGCAAAUUAUCAUGAUCUUGAACAAAUCAAAGAUGUUUAGCUAUUUGUCGAUUUUCUGGAUACAAGUACUAGGUAGCUUGAAUUCAAAAAUUGGUGUUAAGAGAGAAUUUGACUAUAAAGAUGUCUACAUAUCCAAUGAUUUUUGCACUUGCACAGAAAUGAGCAAUUGAUAGCAUGAAAAUCCCAUAGAACGUGCAUAAAAAAUAGUACAAUAAAAAACAACUAUUAGCUUGAACUCAUUUUUAUGAUCCUUUCUCCAUUAAAACAAAGCAAGGUAACUUGAUGUUAUUAUAUUCUGCUCCAAGUAAUUAAUUGAAUAUGGUACGUAAGCCAGUAAAAAUGCUAUAAUGAUUAUCUGCACAUGCAUAUCAAAUGAAAUAAUGCAUUCCUUCAAGAAAUUCCAAACAUGAUGUAAUGGGCAUUGAAAGAAGUGAGUGAUUCCUUUGCACAUUACAUAACUAAUGCUUCAAUGCAAAAUUAAGCAAUCUUUCUACCCAAUUGCUACCUGUUUGAGCAACCUGAAGGAUUGCUGUAUCAACGGGGAAGAGCGCAUCCUUAUCCAUCAGUGAAGGGCAAGUAGAAGCCCAAACUGCUGCAUUUUUAUUUGAAGGGUCAUCCUGAGGACAUUGGACUGGGCUUGCUGCAAGCUGCAUAAUCGAUCGUGCCUGCAAAUCCAAAUGUCGCUGCAUUGGAAGGUGAAAUUUUAUUGGAAAUAUCACCAGGUAUUUAAGCCAGAGGACACAUCAUUACCUACCUUAUCAGGUGAGACUCCAUCAUAGACAUUCACCUUACCACAGUAGAAAAUUGUCAUUUGCCCAAAUGAUCCACUAGAUGCACAACCUCUAUAACCACAUCACAUAUAUAAGCAGUGUUAGAUGGACAAUACAUAAAAGGAACACUGGAUCAGCUUCUGUCAUGUGUAUUUAAUGCAAAUUUUAUCAAAUUGAAAUUAUUUGACAUCUUAAGUUUCAGAAUCAUUCUCCUAAUGUGAAAUGUAGCUGUAUAGUGGAACUUUUGUACACUUUACAACUAAGCUGGACUCUUAUUUAUAAAGAAUGGCAUAAGUGCAGUUGUUAAUUUAAUAAAUGAAGACACUUAAGUAUAUCUAGAACACCAAAAUACAGUACUUGUGCAGCUUCCUUUUCAGCUGGACAUAACUACUACAUAUUGCAACUGAAAGAAAUUAUUAGAAAUUGGGAGGCCUAUACUCAACCACAAAAGCUAGCUCAAGAGUUGAGGUUUGCACUACCCUUAUAAAGGCUAUCUAUGCUCUAUCUCUAGCCAAUGUGGGACUUCUAACAGAAAUCUUAGAGAUUUGGCACCAGCAGAACAUUUGAUUUCCUACCACAACCAUGGCUGGAAUCAUGGGUUAUUGACUAUCUACCCUUCAAUUAAAGGGGUUCGACAGUUUAGAUGCUAGGAAUAAGGAAACAAGUCUUAAAAUAGAGAUGAACACAAAUUCAUGAUAGAAAUUUCCUCCUAUUUGUUCUUGCCCCUUGAAUCUAGAAAUUUGCGAUGUUAAGAAUCAUUUCCAUACUUAAAAAAGUCUUCCUAGUUUCAUUUGAUGUUUGCCAUAUACUUAAUCUCCAUGAAUCUUGCCUCCACCUCAAUAAUGAUAUCUAGAUAGAAAAUUUAAACAAAAGCAGCUUAAGAUUGUUGGUACUUUUGAUGACGCUAAAAUCUAGUUUGACAUUGUAAGAGUUCAGCCAUGAAAAGAAAACAGAAAAUGACAAGAAAAUUAAAUAUACAAUAGUAGUAAAUAAAAGAUGCACAUGCAACCCAGCAAAUAUAGAAUAACAUUAAACUUGAAGGGAUAUCUAGAUCUCACUCAUACAUAACAGGGUAUUACAGUGUCGAUUGGUCCAGAUUGUCGACCCAACCUAGUGGGAAAAGGUUUGGUUGUCGUUAUUGGGAUAUCUAGAUUUGGUAAUAGCAAAUAUCCACUUCCUAGUUCCUAUACAUCAAGUGGUUGGUUGGAUGGAAAUGAAUUAUCCUUCUACAAUCAUCUAUUCCUCUUCGAAAGAUGCAUCCUCCAAUCCAAAGUAUAUAGUUCAGGAAUGUAUCUAACAUCAAAUGCCUAAAUGACCAUAAACUCCAUGCAUAUCCAAUCUGUUUGUAAAAGUGUGUUUUGAAACCUAACCUAGUAGGUCGCCGUGUUGGGGGGAAAUUGAUCCUUAGAGAAGCUUCUAGGAGUAGCUUUUGUGGGGGGUUUCUGUGGGAUUUAACUGAGGAUUCAUAACCGGAAAAGUACCCACUUUUAUAUCCUCUCAAAAACAGCUUUCCCUUCACUUUCCCCACACACAUUCAUCCUUACCAAAAGCCUACCAUCUGUAUGAUCUUCCAUCUCACUCAGUAAAGUGAUAAAACAACAGUAACAAAAUGCAGUUAAAAAAAAGUAAAAAAACUUCAUUGUUUCAACCAUCCAAAUCAUCCUAUCUAUCAGUCCCUCGAAUCUCCACCAUUCACUCACACACAAAAAGCAUUGAAAAAGGAAAAAGACAAAAAACAGAUCAGACCUGGGGCUAACAACAUUGGCAUCAUUCGUCUCUGGAAGUUUCUCCGCAGACGGAGAUUUCUGCGGCUCUUCGGCGGCAGCCUGAAAACCAGCCUCCUCCGCAACCGGUGCCGUCGCCGGAGCUUCAUUCAGAUUCCUCCCCUGCAAUUUUUCUCAUCAAUUACCAAUCCAAUCAAAAACCAAACGAAAAAUGAUAGAGUGAGCGACUGACUCGAGAGGAGGCAUGGGGAGGUUGCUGGUGGUGGUGGUAGUGGCGGUGCACGGCGGCGGGAGAAUCUUCGUCGGUGGGUUCUAGAAGCGCUUUGAGGGAAAUGACCUGCUGGAUCGCUUGCGAUUUGUUCCAGGAAGGUCUGCGCAUCCCUGUACGAACACGUGUCUUGUGAAAAUCACUUUAUUUCUUAAUUAAUCGUAAUUAAUCGUAAUAAUUAAUGAUUAUAAGUACUAUGAUUGUUGAAAUAAUUAAAAUAAUCCGCAUCCCGAUUACAUAAAUAUUAAUAAAAUUAAAUAAAACAAUGGAGGUUUUUCGGUACCGGAAAUAAUGGAGGGAAGAAGAAAGAAAGAGAGAGGACCUUUUUCUUUGAGGAAUCUGCGACAGUCUUCGCGAGUGAGCUGAGAAAUGUCAUCCUCGGUGAGGUGUUUGAGGGGUUUGUCGAGGAUGGAUCGGAAGGUGGCGGUGGUGGUGGUGGUGGUGGUGCCGCCGUUCAUCGCCGCCGAUUCCCCCACCGGUGGGUUGGUGGGACCAUGUAGUUCUAGAGAGAGUGAGAGUGAGUAGUGUUGGCAGGCAGUGUCUUUGGGGGGAAGGGGAAAUGAAAUGAGGGAAGGGUAGGGAGGGGGGGGCUUUUUAUGAGUUGGGAUGAACCCUAAGCUGCCACGUAUUAUCUGUCUUAAUUAUUAGGGACUAAUUAUCUCUCAGCUUUUUUUUUUCUUCUUUUUUUAAUUUAAUAGACUCUAUUUUUAUUUUUUAUUAUUAUUAUUAUUAUUACAUUGGAGUUUGCAUAAGUUUUGUAAUUAUUUGUGUGUGUAGGGGGUUUUUUCCUGAAUGAAUGGGUCCUGGAAUGAGAUGAUCAUGAUAUCAUACUUUGUCCACUUGUGAUAGCUUCUUCCAUGCCAUUCAUUCACAUCUACUUUUUAUUUUUAUUUCUUUGAAAGGCCCAUUAAGCUGUACUUGGGGCCCCUGCACUUGAUUUACUAAGUAAUUAACUGCAUUUAGUUUUCAUUUAAUUAACUUGUACUCCUAUUUAAUAUAAGUACUACUAUAUGCACUAGUUAUUUUGGAUUAUGAUAUAUUCACACAUAAUCCCAAUAUCUCUUGUUUUUCUUCAUUAUUAUAUGCUUGUUUUUCUAUUGGGUGUUGGUGGAAUGAGUUUCAAUAAAUUUUUACAAUUACAAUUAUUUUUCUUCACUCCACAAACAGAGAAACUAAAAUAGAGUUUUCAUUUUUCAUUUUAUCAAGUUUUCUAAUUAUAUAAUAACAUAUGUAUACUUUUUGAAAAUUCAACAAUAAAUUCUUAUAAUAAAUGUCAUUUAUUUUCAAAAAUAAAAUCCACUUGUCAUGAUUUAAAUUACAAACUUAAUGAAAAUGAUAUAAGGAAUUUUCAUCUAUCUUUUUUUCUUUACAAAUUUCUUGAUCAUAUGCAUUUGUAGUCAAAGUUGAUUAUGGGGAGAAAUUACUAUGAGUAGUUCUAUCUUUAAUUAUUUCAAAACAUAUUAAGUUAUUAAAAGCGUAAAUAUAUUUGAAUUAAAAAUAUUCCUUUAAUUUUUAGAAAUUAAAAUUGCAAAAGAAAAGAACCUCAUGAUGGUGACUCUAGCUACCCCCAUUCUUGUCUUAGUUGCCAUUAAUGUUAGGUUGGCACACCAUUUUCACCUACAUUCAAAAUGUGAAACAAAUAAAAGAAAGAGAAGAAAAAUAGAAGAGGAAAUAAGUGUUUAGGCCCGUUUGGUUACCCGUUCAUUUGUUUUGUUUUUCGGCCCAUAAUUCAACAUCUGUUGAUGGACAAUGAAUUUAUAAAGCAUUAAUUGGAUUGGAUAUCCUUGGAGGGAGGAAAUAAAGUUAUAAAGGUUUUCAGAAACUUCAUAAUGUUGACUGGGUUGUGUCCAAUGUCAUGUCCUAAUCUCCCUUCCUAUAAACUUUAUGAUGAGACUUUAUUAAUCUUCAGGUAAACAAAACAAAUCCCUAUAGAUUCUCCUGUGUAAGAGUAAUGCAUGCAAUAAAUUUCUGAAAGUGAAUCUUUGAAUUACUCCUAAUAAGUAAUAACUCUAUAUCUGAUCAAACCAAACAAGUCAUUAACUUCUUAACAAUUAAUUUAACCAAAGUUUUUUUGUGGACAAGAUCUAGUGAAAGUUCCCGUGGAUGAAUAAUGUGACCUGUGACCUGCCACCUGGUGUAUGCCUUCUGGUUUGGGUACAAACCCUGAAAGCUUCAUCUAUCUAAUGACUCCAUGUCUCACUCCACAAGGGUGAUUCUUCUAUUUUUGGCCCCAAACUGCAUUAUUUCUUACGCCAUGGAAAGUGCUUUACUGUUAGUGUUAUUGGUUCUCAUUGUCUACCAAGAAAUAAUAAAUAAUUAUAUUUUCCUUUUCAGUGCUUAUGGAUUUAGCUCAAGAACUAUAUAGCUAUGUUUGGACAAUAUUCGUUAGAAAAUGUAUUAGAAAACCAUUGAGGAGUCCGCUUUGCAACUUCGUUAGGCAAAAAUAUAACAGAAAAACAUGUUUUUCAAUAAAAAUGGAGUCUAAUUUCUGGAAGCAAAAGAAGUGAGUAUCAUUAAGAUAAAAAAAAAAUUAUAGUGUGAAUGAAAUCACAACGUCUCUUUAUUUUUUGGAAGGUGAAAGUCUCUUAUGAUUGUCAUGAACAUUUAUUUUUGGGGUCAGGGACAAACACAUCUUAUAUUCUCUGGAAAUAAUACCGUAAACUUCACUAAAGACAGAGGAGUGCAUCAAGUAGAAAGGCAUGAUUCACUUUCUGGGUAGGUGUACAUCAUCACCGAUCCUAAAAUAAGUAACCCAAUUACUCCAAGGGCCCAUCAGGACCAUUCAUAUAGGGCCUAAGUUUAUAUGAUCAGGAACCCAAUCAUUUUCUUUCCAAACUCUUUAGAAUUUGUUUUGGGCUAUAUUCCACUCAGGUCUCAGGCAUCAAUGCCAUUGUUAGCCCAAAAUAAAAAUACUAUAUAAUUCAAAUAUUCUUUAAUUUAAAAUUUAAAUUCUUAUUUGUGUAACUCAAAAUCAGAAGCUUAACCUACCCUACUUUUUAUAUUAUAGUCUUAAAUUAAAUAUAAAACCAACUUUUUUAUUUUUAUAAUGUUAACUUGUGUUAGUAUAACUAACUACAGUAUCAAAUAACGUACGAUAAACAAUGAACUUCUAGUACUAUUUAGAGGCUCAUGCAGAACAUGUAAUCCCAAAUUAAAGGAGAAGUAUGAGCUUAUUUAGUCAACAAAUGCAUCCCGAUUAACUUCUCGUAAUAUGUGGUCAAAACUUAACCUUUAUCGCCUAUUCUUCAAAUUCAAAGUCUAAAAAAUGAUGUUAUAACAUAGAGGCGACUCUCCCUACACAAGCUAAACAACAAAUUAAUAGCAUCGGUGGAAUCACUCUCAAUCACCACACUCUUGAUCCCAAGACAUUAAUUAUUAUUUUUGGCAUUAGUUUGAAAGCUAAUUAGAAGAACUAAAUAGCACAUCCUCACGUGCCAUGUUUAAAAAAAAAAAAAACAUUGUAAGAAUAUCUAUAUGAUAUAUAUAUAUUUGUCUUGUUUAAAAUAAAAAUUGUUAUUUGAUUUUGAGACAAAGAAAAUAUAUAGUAUCUGUAAAAUUGGAGUGAAUGAGUGUAAAAUUUCUUAAAAGAGUAACCUAAAAGUUAUUCACACAUCAUACUAUGGGUGAUGUUAGUGCUUUUCUACUUUAAUUAUGAUACAUAGACAUCAAAUAGUACAUACAACUCACAUUGUGUUUUUUUUUCUCUAUCUCUUAUUAUAUCUCAUUUAUUAUUUCUCAUUUAUUUUUCAUUGAGAGUAUUUAGUAUUUACCUUGAGUGUCUUCCAACAUUUCUCUUUUUACUUUAGAGUAAAAAACUACCACUACUAUCACUUAUGAAAUAGACACCUCACCCUAUAUUUUAUCUAAUUGAUUAGAGCUACAUGGUUAUUUAUUUCUGACAAACUCUCAGCGAGCAUUGGACUGGAAUAAUUUUCUUACACUUUCUGAGUGAGUGAUCAAACAGAUGAGAUGAGUAAUGAAUUUGAAAUGCAGAGCCUAGAAAGCCUACCUCGUUGGUUUGCCCUGUACAAGCAAAGCAAAAUCCAGAAGAUGGGGGAGGCAAUCCUGAAUCACACAAUAUUGUGACUUACUUGGCCAUAUGUGCUUUAAAUUCACUGGUAGGUUUAGGAUAGGCCUGCUACAAAGAUAUCAUAUGCCUUCACUCCAUUAAAUACAACUUGCUUCCCCUCUUCCUCUUUUCCCUUUCAUCUUUACUUUUUCAGUAUCAUUUUCAUCCACACCAUUUAAUGCUCUCAUAAAUGACUCUGGUGUUUGUUCUCUGUUCCGUGGGCCGGUUGCCCCAUUCAAUUUAUUGUUUGAACACAUUAUUUUAUUUUUCUUGACCAAUUUAUCCUAUAGCCAGUAACAAGAUUAAUUAUCGCUCUAUAGUAAUCAAUACAUUAAUCAGUUUUUUUUUUCAUUCAUAAGAAUUUGGAUUGAAACGUACAAAAUUACUUAUUUAAAAGACAAAAUGGUGAAUUAGUAUGCAAACUCAGUUACUUUUGCUCAAAUUAUUCACUCACGUAUUUAUACUCAUAUUGUUUUUCAUUUUAUCUAAGCUAAAUUACCAAAUAUAUGUAGUGCACUAAGUGCUAAUAGUGUGUUUAGAUUGGUGGUAGACACAAUUAAACCAUGUCACCUCUGAAAAAAAUUACUACAUUUUAUGAAAAAUGUAACCGUAUAUAUUAAAAGAUUUUUAUGUAAAUUGUAAAAAGAAAUAGAAGCAGGAGUUUUUGACAGGUUUUGGGUCUGAGUGCAGAGGACUCAGAUGUUGGAGCCGUACGAGACAGUACUCUGGAUCUAUACACUCUCAUGAUACGUACAUUUUCACACGGGUGAUGUUGCUGCCGUCCACCUGAUCAACACCCUCAUUUACUCUCUAUGUUUUGGAUCUUUAUAUAUAUGCUUAAUUACUAAACAAAUUGAUUGAUGAAAUAUUGAUCCAUUUUCUGAUGAGACUUUCUCUUUGAUUUGAUAGAUCAUGCAAAUAUGCAAAUAAUUUGUUUUGUUUCUGAUGUGUUCAAACUCUCAACCAAGUGCUAUAACUCCAAAAGGUCUUGUUAUUAACCUUGUCCAUAUUGAAUAUGAUUCAUUUUUUAUAAAAGGAAAUAUAAGUGUAAAAUCUGGAAUGUUGUAUAUUAUUGUAGUAUUUAUCGAAGAAUAACUACUCUUAAAUCAUUCAACUACGAUCGAAAAUGAGCUUAUUAUAAAAUGUAAAAAAGAGAAGGAAAAAAAAAGUUAUAAUUUGCGAACCAAACACUUAUUCAUGUCAAUGUGGGGUGGGGUUAGCCCAAUAACAAUAUUGAAUAAUAAAUUGGGCUAAUCCGAGCAUUAUUCUGGCCCAAUAUAAGGCGCUCAGUAAUGUAGUAUAAUAUUAAUGCAUUUGUGCCAAAUGAAAUAAGAACUCUAAAAUUGUGUAUAUGGAGUUUAGGGUUGGAAACUUAUUUUAUGUUUUUGUCCACCAACAUUCACUUUCAUCUUAUUUCCAUUAUCUUUUUAUUUAUUGGCUCGUAAUUUUUUUUAGGGAAUUUUAUUUUUUGCACGGAUGAAUAUUUGCACUGCACCUUUAUGUCCCUAAUUUUCACCCACUUAAAUUUUCUUUCCAUUUUUCAAUUUCUUUUUAUCCCAUCAUACAUAAUAUGUCUCACUUCUCUUUGUUAUAUUUCUAUCUCUCUAGUCUCUAAUAGGUGUGGUUCUUAUGAACAAUUUUUUACUGAAAAAAAUUACUUCAUUAAAUUAAAUUGUGAACUAUGGGAAUAUUAUUUUGAACUUUUUCUAUCUCCAGGUACUCUUGCACCCCUCUUAGUAUUCUCUAUCUCUCUUAUUGCACUUUUAUAAUAAUGUUCUUUCUCUUUUUAUCAUUAAAACCUUUUCUAAUGUUUUUGUACUUUUUACUCAAUUUAAGGGGUCAAUGGAACCCACACUUCUAAAAUACAAUUAAAAAUAAUUAAAAAGUUCUCAACUUUUUCAAGUGUCACAGGACUGAAAGAAAUUGCAAUUAAAGUGAAAAAUGGAUCAGGUGCUGAUGCAUUCCCUUGCUCACAUAAAUUCAAAUUUCAGUCACCACCUCUAAUAGUUGCCUCUUUAAUUUGUUUUGUGGUUAAGAAAUUUUGUAGGGCUGGGAUGGUGUUCGAGUUCAAUAAAACUGUUGAAUUUAAAAUACACUUUCAAAAGACUUGUAUUUAAUCUUAUCCCAAGAGAACAAUCAAGAGUUUAAAUAUCCAAUCUAUUAGGUAUAAAACUUUGUCAUACCACUAAACCAACACAUUUGACGUUCAAUAGUUGUCUCUUUUAAUAAAAAGACACAUGCAUAUGAAUAAGCCAUAUAUCCUUUGAUGCCUAACUAAAUUUACUAUGGAAACUAAGCCAUAUAUCAAUCGAUGCAUAAAUCAUAACUAAAGAAUAAAUAUGAAUCAUCUACUUGUUAAAUGAAUAAUGCAUUGAAUAUUUUUUAUAUUUUACAUGAAAUAUAUUUAGUUUUUCUAUUCAAUGUUUUUCUUAUAAUUAAUAAAAUAUUUUAUAAAUUUAUUUAUUUUUGCUCCAUCAGAAAAUUAUAAAUUUCUAGCUAGUAACUACGAUGAACCCAACUCUCAAAUACUCCUAAGUCCAAUAAUUAUUUAUUCACACCUCAAAAUGAGGUGGAAUGAGGUGGAGGAAGAGAGAGAUAGGAAAAAAAGAAAAAGUAAGAGUGAGAAAGUAUAAGAUGUGAUAGAUGAUAAGAGGAGAGAGAUAGAAAUAAAAAUAGGUGAAAAUGAAAUGUAUAAAAAAAGAUGUGUGUAUAUUCAUUACCCCUCCUAAGUCUAACUCAAAAAUGAGCAAGGCCAUAGCAUUGGAUCCAAAUUAUUUCAAUCUUUUGUUAUUGGGUCCCAAAAGGAAAUGAAAACAUGGACCCUUUCUAGUUUCAACAUCAUAUAUAUCCACACAAUGAAUAUAGAAAUUCUUAAUGCACCAAUUAUUUUCAUAUCAGCAUAUAUGAAACUAAUUUUUCAAAAACUCUGAAAUUGAUAAAUAAAUUUCUCUUAACAAGUUAUUCUUCAUGCAUGUGUGCCGUCCAGAGAUUGAAUACUUGACUAAAUGCUUAAAAAAUUCAUCUAUCUACUAAAUGUGUUCUAGUAAGUAUGUGAUGAAUAUUUUUUGAGAAAGAAAAAAAAGGCAGCAAUAGCAUAUAUAGGUGAAAGUACCCCAUACAUGUGAGAUAUGUAACACAAACAUUUGACAAAUCAGAGGCUUUGUUUGAAACUAGUACAAGUCCUUCACACUCAUUAUUCACACACUCACUCACUUCAUCAAGUUGCAACCCCACCCCUAUCACAAUCAUCCUGAAGCCUUGUAGGGACCCAUGCCCCCCACCCUUUGGGCCUUUUUCCCUAAUACUCAAACAAAAUCUCUCUCACUCCAUCUCCUCUUUUGGGUUCCAUAUUCCCUUUCUCUUCUCUUUUGACUUGGACUUUCUUUCUUUCUCUCACUCUACCAUCACACGCAACAACAACAACUGCAUACACCUCACUGUUCUGCAACAAUAAUACCACACCCUCUUCUCUUCCCUUCAACACCCUCACUCUCAUCUCACUCUCAUUGUCCCUUGCUAACGUGCGCAUUCCCACCUCGGCGAUGGUCAUAAUCCGUCACCUCCGCCGCCGCAAACACCACCAACACCAUCACUGGUUGCAAGCCUUCACCACCUUCACAUUCCUCUUUCUCUCCUCUGCUUCAGCCAUGGCUACUCUCUCACCACAACCUAGUAAGUAAAAAACGAAGCAGAUUAGUUUCUUAGGUCCAGAACUAAGUUUUCACGUUGCUUUUCCUUCUUUUUCAGGUGGUGGAGCAGUGAAGCAUCCUUUCAGGGAGGAAAACGAAAAUGGGUCGCAGUUUACUGCGGUGGCGGAUCAGAAGAGACUCGGCGGACCAGGGUCAUCGCCGCCGUCAUGCAGAUCCAAGUGCGGGUGGUGCAGCCCUUGCCAACCGGUUCAUAUUCCGGUUCAGCCUGGUUUGAUCAUACGCCUUGAGUACUACCCAGAAGCGUGGCGAUGCAAGUGUGGGAACAAGCUUUUUAUGCCUUAAACAAUAGUAAUGAUAAUGAUGCAGCAUAAUCCUAGUACUGAAGAAAAGAAAAAAGAACACAAACAUUGCCAGAACCGAACAGGGAAAACGGUAGCAGACAGCUAUCUUAAAUUUUUCCCCUUUUGGGGGUUCUUCAGUGUUAGUGCCUAUCAUGCAUUGAUUAUUGAGUACCACUACUACGUUUAUAAUAUUGAUUUUUGAGUUAACCUUUUGAGGGAGAAGGGACAAGAAGGGAACUUUGGGAAUGUAAGAUAUUAAGGUGUGAUUAUCGAGAGGGAACAUCUAAUCUAAACCCUUCUCUGCUUUUUACACACCCUAGCUUCAUAUAUUAAUAUGAUUACCCUUUCUUUUUGUGUUUUUUUUUUGGUUUUAUGUUUGUACCCUUUUUUUAUAAGACAGUGAAAUUAUGUGUAUGAAGGUUGUAAUUAUGAUUAGCUUCUCUUUAGAACAAUAGAGAAUUUUCAUUAUUAUUGUCUUUAAAUUCUUCUUCUUCUUCUACUUCUUUGUUCUAUGAAUCUUUUUAAUGUGUUAAGUUGAAAGCUUUAGUAUAAGGAAGGUGCAUCUUUGAAUGGAUUAGAAACAACAUGGUGAAGAAACUUUUGGGUCUGGUUCAACUUAUUGAUGUGUUUCCAUGUACUUUUACAGGUUGAGGUUAUUCUACAUCACUGUUUCAAACCAUUUAGGUGUCUGAGUAGUAUUCUUAGUUUUUCUUUGUUUGGUUCUUUGUACUGUUGGUUGGGGAAUUAUUGUUACACGCUCACUCACUUGAUCUGUGUCAUCAGUCAUCACUCUCUCCCUCUCUGUUUCUUCUCCUCUCUGCGGUAUUUAAUUGUUUCCUCUAUAUUAAUUUGUAUUUAUUUAGCAAUCCUGAACCCCCUUUCCUUUUCCAUUAAAUGUGCACAACUGCACAUGCCAAUAACAAAAGGAACACAGAUAGGGCAUUUGUUUACCUCAGGUGACUUGAGAUUUAAUGUGCAUAAAUGACUCAUUUUCUCUACUUUCAAACAUUUGGUCAAAAUAAUUUGACUCAAAUUUAACAUAACUUCGUAACUUGCUUGAAUGAAUGUUUACAAAAUUUCAAAUUAUAGCUAGUUAGAGAUUUAGUGAUUUUUUGAUACAUAUGGUAAUCCACAGUGAAGUUAAAAGCACGAUAAACUGUCAUCAAAAUUAAGGAAAAUUGCUUUGUGAUUGUAGUUUGCUGCACAUGCACUUAAUUUGAUCAAUUGAACAUUUCUUUUUAUAGCCUGCUAUCGUUUUCACAUCAGGUACAUAUACAUGACCUCAUAGAGGCAUAAAGUAGAAACCCCAGAUAGUGAACCAUGACCCUAUGAUUCAAGACUGCGUGUCUAGGAAAACGCCAUGCACUCAAUUAAAGUUCAUGUCUCUAUUUAAUGAAACUAACUAAAGCCUUGAUAAAGAUGUGUAAUGGUUUUCAAUUACCUAAAGAAGAAGAUGAGGAAGAAGAAAAUAAUGGUACUAUAUAGUAUUAUUGAUGUGGAUGACAUGUGAGUGACGAGUGUUAUCACUAAGUAUUAAUGUGUGCUCGAAUUCCAAAUUUGCAGUACACACACGAGGGGGUGAAAGCUCUUUUUUCUGCUUCAACAGAGAUAUACAGUUGGUUUGGCUAGCAACCCUGUUUGUCAGUGUUGUUUGUAUCAAAUGGAGUAAAAGUAAAAACUGGCAAUGGAAAGCCCCCAUUCACAAACAUCCGCAACAAGUCACCACUAACAGGUCCCCCUUACCUACAAAGUUAGCUCUUUCAAACACCUUUUCAGUAGUCACUCCCAAAACAGUAAGGUGCUAGUGGUAUAAUUAUACUCACAACUCACAAGUACACAGGUACAUACAUUUAUAACUUUUUCUUAACAUCACUAGUUUUUUUUUUUCUACUUAGAUCAUAUUUUUUCUUAUAAGCUUGUUAGUUAUUAGCAAAUUAAUUAUUUUGUCUCUGGAUAAAACUAUGUAGAUUGUAGUGGUCCAUGUACUGUCACAAUUCACAAAUGUCAAUUGUAUGUAUGUCUCCGGUCUCGUAUGUCAACAUGAUUAAUUGGUUGUUUAUCUUGAUCUCUAUAUAUAAGAUUUUGCUUAGAAAACAAUGUGGCACAGAUACACACAAUGUAUUGUACAGCACAAGAACUGUGCUUUUUCACGAGGCCUGACAGAGUUGUUGUUUUUUAUUUGUUUUUUUGUUGAAUUCCACAGAAAAACACGUAUAUAGUAGUGUUUGUUUUCAGGGAUUGACAAGACAAGUUGACAACGUGAUGGGGAAUGCUUUGAAACGGUGGCUCCAAGAUGGUAUUCAAAUACUAGUCAUGGUGCCCAUUACACCACGCAUGACAGCAUUUGGUUAGGUUUGUGAAAAAGAGGGAGAAAGAUAAUAAUGCUAACAAGUGAUGUCUGAUUUGACAGUGUUAUUGAGUUUGCUGUGAAAGUAAAAGUUCUUCCUACAUCAAAAACUUCACUUCAGAGUAUUCUCUUAUUCCAUUAUAGUCAUUCAUCAGCUUCUGAGUUUUGACCAUGAGUUUUGAAAUUUCAUCAGCUCUUGUUCUUUCAAUGCCAAUGCCAAUGCCAAUGCACUAGAUUUGGUUUGAAAAAGGUAGGCUAGUGCCUCUUUUUUCUUGCUUUCCUUUCCUUUAAUUGAGGUAGUGCUGGUCAUUACAGAGAUGUUACAGGACAGAAUAUAUACAAUCAUGGAUGAAUAUAUAUGGGUCCUUAAAAUCUGUUGGACAAACACCAAUGAAGAAAUUAUGAGCAAUAAUGUAAUGCAUUGGUCACCAAAUAAAAUUGUUAAAGAUGUAUAACAUAAAAAAGUUUGCAAAGGGAAUACAUUUCCUAAAUGUUAUCACAUUCAUACACAAUAGGCGAUUCUUACAUGAUGUGAUUCAUACUAUUGAUUGAUUGGUCAAUCCAUUCAAACUAUUUAAAAUGAGAUUGAUUCUAGACAAAGUUGACCAGUUGAAGAAUGUAAUUGACCAAUCACCUAACGUCAUUGAGUAUUGAUUGAAGUGACUUUACAUAACUGCCUCAAAUUCACUUCCAUGUACUCAAUAUACUAUUCAUUGAUUUAAUUUAUUGAAUGGAAAAAAGAAGUAUAUUAAAUAAUCAAAUAAAGUUUUGCUGUUCAUGAAAUCACAUUAUUGAAUCUUGAAGAUGUGAAUGCUGAUAUUGUAGCCAAAACAUUGCCCGGUAUGCUCAUUAUCCGGUAUGCAUUCUCAUCAUUAAUUAGAUUUUUCAAUUAGUUUCUCUGCAGAUUCUAAGAUUUCAUUAUAUUUGUACUUGGUUGUUGUUCUAUGCUCUUGGAAAGAAUAAUGAAUCUAUACCCAGAUUUUACUACACAUAUGCACCAGCUGUUGAACUUGAUAAAUCGUGCCAUACCAAUUCAUUUACUAUACAGCGACUAGACAAAGGGAUACUAAGAAUAUGGAUAAUAUCUGUAUCUUGAAUGGUAAAGUUAGAAACCUCAUAAUUUAUAUCAGAUCAAUUGAAAUUGGACCAAACUUGGAACCUGUUAGGCUGUUAUUGUAGGAAUCCAUUUAUCAUGCCAUAUAUGUUGGAACACUUUCUCCAGUACCAAUUCUCCAAAAGCUGCCCUGUUUUGUUAGGAAAUAACACAGAUGAAGAAGUAAAAUAUAAAAUAAACCAAGAGCGUAAAUAUUUGAACUACAUCUCACAAUACUUUAAAAUAAGAGCAUAAGAGAAAAAGAAAACACAAAUAUACACUUAAAGUGUUUUCAGGUGUUACAUCUUUGGUGUUUUGGUGUGUUGAAACAAGGAGCCUGAGAUCCAUAUAUAUAGUCUUGAACUCUCCAACCCCUCACUAAUCUAAGCGAUAUGAGACUUCUCCAAAAUACAUAACUUGAUCUUUUUUCUCCUUCAUUAGCAAUGUGAGACUUACAUUGCAAUCAACCCCAACAAACUCCACCUUGAUUGUAAUGGUCUCCAGUCUUCAUUGUCUACACCGACAAUCAUUGUCUUAACCGACAAACAUAAUUCUCAUUGUCUAUAUACCAACAAAUUAAAUUAUUAUACUCCACCAUAAAGAGUGCACUACACUUGAAACUAAACCAUCCCACAAAUUUUCUUCACUUGGAACUAAACCAUUCCAAGAAUUUCCACAUGUCGAAACCUUGCUGAAAAUUUAUGGUGCAACUUCCAUGUUGGCUUUCUCCGGAAGUUCAUCAGUCAUCGACAUAACCACGUACCUUGCAUCAACGCCAACCAAUGUCCGCACGCUAUCACCACACACCUCGCAUCUAUAUCAACUAAUGCCCGUGUGCCACCUGGACAAUUUCAUGCCCAGAACGCCUUGUGUAAUCAUGAUUGCAUCAACUCCUCCAUCACAGCAUCAUCGAAGUUGUAAACCAUACUUCUUCAGCACCUUCGCAAUACCACACAAAGUGAUAUCCAUCGAACCGGAAGCUCUGAUACCACUGUUAGGAAAUAACACAGCUGAAGAAGUAAAAUAAACCAGGAGCGCAAUCAACAACACAAGAAUAUAACGUGGAAACUCCAAAACCGGAGAAAAAACCACGGUCGUUGUCAAAACCGACAACCAUAGAAUAAACACUAUGUAAAAAUUGUUACAUCACAUAGACUUCACUCUCAACCACCCCAUAACCCUAGUACACCCACACUCUCCAAAGUUAAUAUUUGAACUACAUCUCACAAUACUCUAAAACAAGAGCAUAAGAGAAAAAGAAAACACAAAUAUAAACUUAAAGUGUUUUCAGGUGCUACAUCUUUGGUGUUUUGGUGUGUUAAAACAAGGAGCCUAAGAUCCCUAUAUAUAGUCUUGGACUCUCCCACCCCUCACUAAUCUAAGCGAUGUGAGACUUCUUCAAGAUACAUAACUUGAUCUUUUUUCUCCUUCAUUAGCAAUGUGAGACUUACAUUGCAAUCAACUCCAACAUGUUCAACUGCCCAUCUGCUUGAAAAAUGCUGGACCAACUGACCAAGUAUAGAUAGGAAUCCAUCAUCCUUUAGUAGCUUCUGUAAAUGAUUUGGGGCACAUAACAAGCUUUUAAAAUCAGCAAUAAAUAGCUCACUUAUUAGUGACACCCCACUUUUAUGACGAUUUUUAAAUACCUCACUUAAUGUGAAGACUAAAAGAAUUUACUUAAAAUUUAUCAGUUAAAAAGUUGACACAAAGUGAGAUGUCAAUAAAGUGAACUAACUAACUCUUUUUCGUUUAAAAUUUUGGAUAGCAAAGAGUCAUAGUUCACCAAUAAGCACACUUAUUGAAAGUUUUGUAAAUAUGAAAAUCUUGACCUCCAUAGUUAUUUUUUUUCGGAGCACUAAUAUAAUGCACGACACUUGCUAUGCAAUGUAGAAAUGACACAUGUUUGUUGUGCAUAAAACCUAUAUAUAUCACCGUACAGUCAUUUUAGGUUAAUCAAUAAUAUUUAAGAUAAAUGAGUUAGUGAUUUAACAAUUUAUUUCUUUAUUUUUCAUAAAUAGUCUUAUAGAUCAACAAGGGUAGGGUUAACUUAAUCUCAAUGAUGAGGAUUUAGACAACCCAAAAUUUCCAACUCAUCAUGUACGUGUAUCUUCCUAAUAGCUUUUGGGCAUCAGGGCAAACAAAUGACCAGCUGAGUCCCUGAGUUCGAAUUCUAGAAAAGAAAUUUGAAGGGAUUUUAUAACUUGCUAACAACUAACCACUAAUAUUUGCUUAUAAAAAAAAUGACCAGCUGAAAUGUGUGGAUUGGGCCACUUUGUGAGCCCGUCCUGUGAUAACAUGUAUUUCCACUGGUCAAAUCCAGGUUUUAUGUUUGACAAAAAAGUCCAGGUUUUAUGAAGUUAUGAAUGAAACAUUAUCCUUAUUUCUCCAUGUCCAAAAAAAUAGAUCAGCAGCCCAAUUCUUUUAGACUUCAGUGACUCUCUUAUGUCCAGAUCCCCAGAAGAAGAACUUCAAUCUGUGACCCAAAAGAAUAACCCUCUCAAUUGGGUAGUUGGUUUUAUCCAAAAAACACUUGCGUAAUUGGUUUUUUUUUUGUUGGAGCUUGAGUAGUUUUUGUUUAUUUCAUACUUGGGAAAAUUUGGGCUUGCCUGUUGAGGACCACUCAUGCAAAGUUAAGAAGUCUGCCCCUUAUUGACCAAAAAAAAAAAAAAAGAAGUCUGCCCCUUUAUAGCUUUGUGGUACAAGGGCCUUAAACGAAGCUUGCUUGACAUCUUUGACAAAAACAAGACAGUAAAAGCCCCUUUAAGUUUCUUUUAUUAUUUUAUCAAUUGACAAAAACAUCUUUUAAAUUGAUAACUUUUAUCAAUUAAAGUUUAAAACACUCAAUUUGGUUGUCACAUAUAUAUCCUCUAACUAGACAAUCAUAUUCAAGUUAUAUAUGACCAUUAAAAGUAAUAAAACUAUAUCCUCCACUCCGGCAGAUAUUCUAGUUAGAUAGGACUACUAUGGUUGGUGAAACUCUCUAUAGCGAAUAUUUAGCGCAGGUGCAUUAAUAAAGCCAUCCUCUCUUUCAUCAUCAUAUAUUUUUUGAAAUAAUUUUUAAACAAUAUUUUGCAAAACAAAGCAUUCAAAUAAAACGAUAUCAUGAGCAGGACCCAAGAAACAUAUGGACUUGUUAAAUUUUAUAUACUCAGCAUUAUAUUAGUCAUCUAUUGCUAGUCACUUUUAAUACACGAGUGGUAGGACCAUAAGUCAUCAAAGAAAGUCACCAUCCAAAUUCUGUAUCAAUUGCAAGAUAUACUUAUAGACAUCAAUUGAUGUUGAACUGCACUAACAGGAAACUAAUGAGUGGCAUAGAGGUUUACAAGGAAUCAUUCCAAUCUUUUGAGUGGAAAGGAUUGAGGACAUGAAUCAUGCAUGCGUGACAAAUCAAUGAAAUUGAAAUAUACAUCUAUUGCCACUACGACUAAAUCCACAUAAUGUCACAAAUUUUUUUCCUCAUCAAGACCAUAAUUCUUAUAGUGCUUGCAGUGGAUCGACAAAUACAUCGAACAAUCCAAAUGAUAUUCUUUCAUAAGGGUGGUUGACUUCUUUUUUAUUUAAAGAUAUUUUUUCUUACUUAAUAAUUUUUUCUCAUAAUUUUUAGGAAGGAGAAUUUCUUUUGGGGGCUAGGGUUUAAACAGCAAGGAUAUGGAAAUCACCAACAACUAGUAAAGCUGCAAUUAUGAGAAAAAGAAAAAGCCUUAAAUCAUACCAUUCAUUUUAUGGGGUUGUCUAAAUAAUCCAUGGUGAUAUUUGGGUUAAAUAACUCAUGAUCUAGGUGGACCAAUCACAUUCAAGAUAAUUAGUUGAAAUUUUUAUAUAUUUUUAAUUUAUUUAUUUAGGGUUAAAUAUGUUUUUGGUCCUUAAUUGAUACACAUAAAUAUAAAAUGGUAUUUGAAAUAAAUAUAAUGAUUUUAGCCCUUUAAAAUUUUAUUUUCGAUCUAAAAUGGUUUCAUGUGAAAUUUUUUUACAUCUAUUUCAGUCCCUUAAAAAUUUCUUCCAUCAAAUUAAGUCUUCUUUCCCCUCAUAAUUAUUUUAAAACCUAAAAAUUCAUAUCUUCAUCCCAAAACUCAGAAAUUCAUCUAAAAAAUUCUCCAUGUUCUUCAUCUUCCAAAAGCACAAGAAGUGCCAACGAGUAAUAAAGUACAAGUAAGUUCCCCAACCAACAGGAAACAGAGGAACGAAACAUAGCUAGGGGGAAUGAGAUAUCAAAGGGAAAAAAGGAGAGGACCACCUAAGCAUACCACGAAAUUAGAAUACUACAGGGACAAGGAGUCGUGUCACAAAACAAAAGCACCCAUCUACAAGAAAGCUACAGUGGGGCAAAAAAACCAAAACAGUCCUCCCUGCGCCAGUGUCGUCAUGAGUUUUGCAUAACCACAUAAGUAAAAACGGUCCAGAAAAUAAAUCCCCUGCCACACCAAAACCGGCCUCUCAAGGUGGUGGUGUUGGGUGAGGGGGGAGGAGGUGUGUUCGGUGGUGGUUGUUCUGGGUGGGGGUUUGGGUGGUGAUGGUGGUUUUGGUGGGUGAGGAAGAAGGAGGAAGAUGAAGGAAAUUCUGGGUUUUGAAGAUGAAGAAGAUGGAGGGGUUUUGGAGAUGAAGAUAUGAAUUUCUAGGUUUUGAAAUAAUUAUGAGGGGAGAAGGAUGUAAUUUUAUGGAAGAGAUUUUGAGGGACCGAAAUAGAUGUAAAAAAAUUCACAUAGAACCAUUUUAGAUAAAAAUAAAAUUUCAAAGGAUUGAAAUCUUUAUAUUUUUUUCGGGUACCAUUUUAUAUUUAUGUGUAUGAGUUAGGGACCAAAAACAUAUUUAAUCAUAAUAAAUAAUAAAUAAAACAUGAAAAUAUCAAUUAAUUAUCUUGAAUGUGAUUGGUCCACAUAGAUCAUGAGUUAUUUAACCCAAAUAUUAAUAUGGGUCAUUUAAACAACCCCUUCAUUUUAUCCUAAUAAUUUUGAGCGGAAAUAAAUUUUUUUCCUCAUUUUAAUAAGCCCUUAGCUUUUAUAACUCAUUUCAUGUGCAGCUUCUAGAGAAGUCAAUAUUGAAGCUUGAGCACAUUGAGAACAUGAAGAGGGAGGACAAAUGAUCCUAAAACAACAAAAUAAAUCAGAGGCGUGAGAGGGAGAUGGAGAUGUAUGAGUUGGUAGUGGCUGCGAUGACAUCGGUAGAGUUGAUAGCGGUUGAGACUGCAACAUAAUGGGUGCGGAGACGAUGAAUGAUGGAAGAGGAGAGAAACCCCACACUAAGUGGAAAAAAACAACACUUAUUUACGUAGCAAAAUCACUUAUUGUGGUACAUAAUCCACCUAUUAUAAAGAGAAAACACCUAUCGUGGAGAAGAAAAACCUCCUAAACGAGGGUGAAACCCCAAAGGUGGAUAAGACUCCCAAAAAGAGGUCUUAACUGCUCAAUGUUGGAAAUCCCUCUCUACUAGAGUUUUAUGAAAGGAGCGGCUGUUUUCUGAUUUGCGCAAUCUAGCAUACUAUAAAAUACUCAAAAGUUAAUUUCAUUAGUCCCAUUUUCUCACUACUGUUGAAAACUUAUAAAACAUUCUGUUAUGCACAUAUUUAAAGAUAAAGAACACAAAGUGGAUGUGCAGGACAAUGAUGACUCUUGACAUGCAAGAGAAUAUAGUUUUCCAGAGAUCCAAUGGGGAGCCUAACCUCCUAAUUGUUUAUUCUAAAUCACAUGAAAAUCUACACUUUUGACCACUUUUUUACAAGCUCAAAACCUAAAUGUACACACAACACAAAUAGAAUAACAGGGUUUAUUUGUCUUCAAAUUUAUGCAUCCCCUCCAACAUGAUUCUUUCCAAUUCUUUUUUGACUGGCCCCCCAGUCCUAGGUACUCAUUUCCUUUCCAAAACAGUGAAAAGAACAAAAGGAUCAUGGCUCACUUUGGUUCAAUCACUUAGCAUUCAAAAAAUUACAUCAUUCAAAUCCCCAUAUACAUUUUCCCCUAGGUUAAAGUCACCCCCAUCUGACAUAACUUUGCCUUUAGUUUACCCUUUUUACAAUGACCAAAACCCCACCAUGUGUCAAAAAGAUCCACAGUGUAGAGAGCACCAUUGAUCCUAUAUUUUCCCUAUUGCCAAAACGUGUUUCUACUUCACAAUCUAACAGAAGCUCAUAUUCUGUUUCUGUUGUUCUUUUCUGCAGCAAUGGAAAGAAGCCGAGUCACGCCCUGAGUCCAAACAUCAUACUCCCUCUGAUUUACGCACUCAAACUCAACAACACCGCGCGUCACAGUUUUAAGCCCAAAGUAGCGACGAUUCUCACCGCCUUCCAGCAAGUGGCGGCCGGGCCAGGCAGGCAUAUCUUUGAUCACUUCAAUCACCACAUCUAUAAAUUCAAAAAGAAAGUAUGGGAUUAAAGAAGAACAACCCUUUUGAUUAAUUUUUUUCCAUCUUUAGUAGUGGCUAUGACUUUCACAAAUCCCUAUAUGAAACAAGACCCACCUCCAAAUCUGUUGUCAAAUAAUUAGUUAAGAGCAAGACAAAAGUUAUCAACACUCACUCUUUUUCUUUUUGGUGAAGGUCCCAGCAACAUGCUUGCUCUUCAUUUUCACAGUAACCUUCACAAAAAGAAGCUCCAAAGGGUAAAGAUUGCAGUUUUCUAAGAUAGUAAAAUAAGUUGAUACCUUCACAUCAUCAUACUAAAAGCCCCACCACAUAACCUUUUCAUAAUCAGAUUUAAACCCAUCAUUAUCCUCUAAUUGAUGCCCAAAUAAUUAAGUGACUGAUUAUCAUCUACAAUCAACAUAAUGGAAUAGAGAGGGGGGAAACACAACACACCUGAUUCAUUUUGUUUAUAUACACAGAUACAACUUUCCAAUGAAGAUCACCUGCACAAAAUUCUCAGAUCAGCUCACAUUCAAAUAAUCAUACCCUUAAACAAUGGAGGACUAGGGAAAAGUUAGAAAUUUCUUUUCCUACACAGACAAACAGAACCUUGCCAAGCAAACAAUCACAAGACCAUAGAAACACAUCCAUAUCAUGUUUGGAUGGGUUACUCUAUCCUCAGAAUCAAUUAUAAAAUUCAGAAGCUCUCACCAGUAUUAAUUCUAGCUUCACAAAUAUCUUAGGACAUGUAGGAAGGUAAAUUGCAGAAACUAUACCUUUGCGUGUGCGCUUGAGAAGAUCACCACCUCUGGCUAGCAAUUCUCUACUACAAAUACCCAAGAAAUUCUCCUCUAGGGGAAGCUCACCACUGAAACUACUAUUAGAACUUCCAUUGCUACCACUAUUCCCACUACCACCACCCCCUAAAUUCUUCUCCACAGGAAUAACAGCUGCAAUAUUCCAAACAUCCUUCAAGGCCCUAGCUUUUAAUGUUGCAGCCCCACGCAAAGCUGCAAUUCAAUUUCACACCACAAAAGAUAUCCACGCAAGUCAAGAUACAAAAUUUUCAACAAACAAUUGGAAUAUUCCUAAAAACAUUCACCAUGCAUCAACAUCAAAUAUACCUGUAGCUGCUGCUGCAGUUAAAGUCAUGAUAUCACCGGCUGAUCUAACAUUGACGGCGGAGCUGACCACCGAGGCGAGGUGCUCACGCUCCACCCCUAAGGCCUCUGCUGCCUCCACACACUGGGCCGCCACAAGGGUUGCCGCAGAAGCCACCGCCAUAUCGGUCUUCGCCAUAUGCUCAUCCUUGGUGGACGCCGACGAGGCAGCCGUGGCAGCAGCGAUAGCCGCAACCGCAGCGGCAAGACCGGCAACUGAAACAGCCGCAUGGAGCUGAGCAUUGUGGGCCCUGGUUUCCUCUUUCUUCUUCUCCUUCCUAUCCUUGAGCCACCUCCCUACCGUCUUGCUGCCGCCGACACCACCAGGCCCCGCAGCAGCGGCCACGGCAGCCCUGAAAUUACCGCUGCUGCUGUUGUUGACACGGCAAAACUGCAGAGGGGAUUGCACAGGAAGCAUUUCGGGGUUCAAAACAGAACAACACAGGACACCAAACUCAUUAAACCGUGUACAACACACGCUUGUUCUAUGAUUCUACCACCUAUUUUCCUUUUGUGCCAGAAAAAGUAAAACACAUCAAAAUUGUUUCUACGCUGUAACUACUUCGAUAACAACAAAGAGAAUGAUAACCUUAGCCACAUUGCCACGCCUAGGCUAAACCACCAUGGACAUUUUUCUUCAGCCAUUAAUGCAGCAUCACAAGAAGACCGAAUUUUGAUGCUGUGUCAUGCUAAAAUGGGACUUGUAAGGACAGUUAUUAGGUGGUACUCUAACAAAAUUGACAGGAUGAGGGGACCAGGUAACCAAUGGAACCAAACGAUCCCACGAGUCUCUAAAAAUAGAAGGUCUAAAUCCAACACCAAAAAAAUUUACAAGCUUAACUUCACUUUCACACGGUUUUUAUUAAAUUAAGGCUUAAUUUAUGGAAUUGUUUAAUACUACUAGGUAAGUGUCAGUAAAGAGAUUAAUAAAUUACUAGUUUCUAUGUUGUUUGUUUCUGAAAUUUAGCAUAGGAAGCAUCAAAAACUGCAAAGAGAAACAUGGUAUUAUUAUUAUUGUUGUUGUGUGUGGGUGUGUUGAAAUUAAAGAAGGCUUUGGUUAUUGAAAAAGGUGAUGAAGGGUAUGGAAAUGCUAGGUUCUGUGUGAGCAGUCAUGGUGCUUUGUAGCCGAAAAGUUGAAAAGGGAAAGACCUUGAUAGUAGUAACAUAAACAUGCACAUACCUUGAUAUCAUCGAUUUCAGAGGGUGAAACAGGGGGGCUAUCGGAACCACAGCUUUGAUUUCCGUUCAGAGGGCCACUACUGUGAGAGAGCCUCCCUGAGGUUCGUGGAGAAGAUACCUCCUGCUGAACAAUAAAACAAAGGUGGUGAUGUUUGAUGAACCAAUAUAAUCCUCUGUUUUUGAAAAACAGAGUAAAGGACAACAGAACAAGCAUGGUGACAGUAGAAUAAGGCCAAGGAAGAAGACAAAGGAAGCUAAAAACCAAAUCAGAAAACAAAAAUAGACAACAGAGAGUCCAUUUCAGGUGGUUUCCAUUUGCAGGAAAUGGAUUCAAUCUGACACAGAAAGCAACAAGAGUGAGUUCUUUUUUUUUUUUUUCUAUGGAUGCUCUGUUUUUGUUUUGGAAAUGGACUUACAGAUUGUGACAGGAUGCGUUCCAUGACCAUCUGAGAGGUCUCAGAGGAAGCAAAGGAAAAAGGGUGUCCGGAAACAGUGGCAGCUUCUUCAACUUCGCCGGCUACGUCCUCCUGUAUCGAAACGCCGCCGGUGACAUUUGGUGCCGCUUUGGAAGUUGCUGGAGACAGAGCCUUGGAGACCUCCAUAGCUGAGACGCUCCAUGAACGAGAGAGGAACUCCAUCGGCUCACGCGGUGUCUCCGGUGGCCGGAACAUGUGAAGUGGGUCGGGUCGCCAUGGUUCGGUUUGUGCCUUGUCCAUUUGGGUUUGAGAAAUGCAGAGAGAAACAGAGAAAGGUGAAGAGUUGAAAGAGUGAGAAAAUGGUGUCCAGUGAAAGUGUGGGGUGUGUGCUUUAUAGAGAGAGAGAGAGAGAGAGAGAGAGAGAGAGAGAGAGGGAAUGGAAAAAGCAGAGCAGAGGGCAGAGGGUGGAAUGAAUACAAGAGGGACAAAGCAGCCGAUCGUAAUGGUAUGGUGUGUCAGUCUCAGUCUUGAAAAAAGGUCAAAUAUUUUGCAUAAACUAAGAAACAAACAAAAUGUGAUGAAGUGAUGAACCAUAAAACACAAAAAGGAACAGAAUUAGAUGAUUUGAUUUUGAUGGUAAUCAUCAUAGUAUUACUAAUCACAAUCAACUUGAACCAGGCUGAAUAAUUCUCUAAUUGUGAUCUUAAAUUCUUAAUUUUUUAAAGGAAAAUAAAAUAGUAUUAAAUAGAAGUCAUUAUAUUGGCGUUCAUCCAAACUAAAUCAGGAUAGAUAGUUGCGUGUUGCGUUUCUGGUCAGAAAAUCAAUAACAUAGUUAUUGAUCGUCACUGUUAUGCGCAAACUAUGAAACAUCAAAUUCAAAACUAGAAACAAAACAUCAAUAGUCCUCAAUAAUUGUAGCUGAAUGGGAUCCCUAGGAUCUGGCUUCUUCCACCACUGAUAAAAUUGGUGGCAAUCUGUCUCAAAGUAAAUGGAAUCAAAACUCAAAUCGAUCGCCAAAGUCAUCACAUUACUUCGAGGUUAAUGAGUAUUUUCAACGAGCAAUAUUGAGAAAAAAUGACUUCCUGAUAAAUGUGAGAGAAGACAAAGCCAGUUAGGAAAAUCUAAAUUUUUAUUGUGAGUUAGUCAUCAGUGUUACAAUACAUAUGGUUUACAAAAAAAAUUACAUAUCUAACUAAUUACUGUUCUAGGAAUGGACAUUGAAGAGAGGCAUAGUACCUAGAGGUAGAGGGAUUGUGCCAAGAGAGAGUGAGAAUGAGAGAGAGUGCUGAAUUUCAAGUGUUCUUUCAUCAAAUGAGCCAAAAAAGUCCCCUCCAAUUGAUAACUACCUCCUAUUUAUAGAGCUUGGGUACUACCUAUUGGGCCAAUUGGGCCUCCGAGGUCAAGGCCCAACUGAAGGCCAGGGCCCCGCCUCAGGGCGGGAUACAUGCUGGGCGUUGCCCCUCUAGGGGCUCGCCCAGUCCACUUACUAAUGAUGAUGUUUCUUAACUAUGAAGGUGAUUCAUGAUCAUUCUCUUGUUGAUGUUGGUUUAUGUCUUGUUUAAGAAUUACUAUGACACUUGUUAAUUCAGGAAUCUGGAUCCUCUAUAUCAGAUUUUCCCUCAAUCUCUGAUGCGACAUUUUUUAGGGUAAGAUUUAUUCCAUGGUCCAAAAAUUUCCAGCCUUAAAAAAAAAUAGUCAAGAAAAACACACACAUGACACCACUGCCAAUGAAGCAUUUCGGGAAGGCUCGAAAAUGCUUUAACAACUGCCCGAAUGAACCUAUGAAUCCGAUGGGCAUGCAUGUUGUUUGUACAGUCGAAAUGAACCUCAUUGACUCAGUUAAAAAUUCAAUAUAAAGUACCGCAAAUUCUUGCAAAUCUACAUAUGUGGAUAAUUCUACAUAUAAUUGGCGCAAUUUUCUUUCAUUUUGCCUUUUUACAUAAUUUUUCACAGUCUUUCUUUGGGUCUAAUCCACAUGUAUGGAAAAUGAUUUAUUUAGAAAGAUUUACCCAUUUAAUGUGAUAUAGAAAUAAUUAGUCUUAUAGCUACCGACUGUGAGGAUACUUUGGUGCAACAAAAAAAUCCACAUGUAUCAUCCAAUGAAACAAUCAUGCUCAAGUCAAACAUGUCUACCAUAAACGGAAGGUUUGUUUAUCAAAUAUUUAACAUAAUUGCAUUCACAAAAACUCGAACUUAAUAUUUCUAUUCAAGUUAUUCAAUGUGCUUGGUGCAUGGGCGGACCCAUGUGUAGGCUGGGUGUUCCAGAUUUUGAGUUUUUUUUUUAAAUAUCGUAUAUAGCGGCGGUUCGGCAUCCGCUGCUAAAAGUUUUGUGUUAAUGUAUGGCGACGGUCGAAAGCGCCGGCAUAGCUUAAUAAGUAAAAAACCAAAAUUCACGCUUAACAUCAAAUUAGAACGCGGUUUUUCUUUCUUUCUUCCAUUGUUGCUUUUCGGCAUUCAUCAACUUAAAACCUUUUUCCCCAAAAAUAUAAAACCUAUCAAUCUUCACCUUCCUAAAUUUCUCAUCGCAUGGAGAACCCUGAUCACCGCACCAAUCAACCACAAUUCAAGAGGAAAUUCAAUUGAUUCAUUGUCUCUCAGGUAAAUCAACUUCGUAAUUCACCUUACUACGCUACACAGAAUUCAUGUUGGAUGAUCUUUUGCUAUUUCUAUAUUUUUAAUUUUCAAUUUUCAAAGAUUUUUUUUGGUUUAUGAACUUGUUGCACGCGUUGAGUUGGAUCGAUUUUUUUGGUGAGAAUUUUUGCUUGUGAACUCAGCAGAUCUGAGUUCUUUGAUGGAACCUUGUUGGGUUUGGAGCUACCCCCGUUUGUUUUUGCUGAUGGAUUUUCCUGUUUUGAUUGUUGAUUCGUGUCCGCAAAUUUUGGAAUGUUAAAUUAGCAGCAUUGUAAUGUUUUCUUCCAAAAAAAGUAAAAAUUGUUUUUUUUCUGCACAAAUUAGUCUUAACUUUUCAUGGUUGAAUAAACUUUUGUGCUUUUCAUGUGAGAUUAUAGCUACUUCUUGCUUACUACCUAAUAUAAUUUCUACUUUGUAUUUUAGCAUAAAAUUUCUUUUAUGUUUAACCACACCGAUAUAUAAUGUCUGGAUCCGUCCCUGGCUUGGUGGUAAAAAUGAAAGUAAUUAAUCGGCCACGAUCGAUGGACAAAUAUAAAUAAACAUGAGCCUUCAUAUAUUACAAUUUACACAUGUGUGUGUGGUCAAGGAUACCUUUCAAUAAGCAAGAGACUACUCCAUGAAUCUCUCAAUCCGAUUAUGACAAAACAAACCAAUAAUUUUUAUGAGCAAUAUAUUGAUAAUUAUGAACAGACUUACAGAGGAAUUGUUACUAUCAAAUUGCUGGAAAGAAUGCAAUGUGACUGCAGUCUGCAGCUUGAUAUUCAUUUCUGCAAGGUAUUUGAGGUUGAGCUCUUAUGUUGUACAAGUGUAGAUAGAAACAAGUCAAGUAUACACACAUGCUUAUGAACAAACAAAAUUAUAUGCACACACAUGCACUAUAAUCAGGGCCCAAACUAAGUAGUAGCAAAUUAAAAUGAUGCGGUUGCUUCCAAGAGACAUAUUUUCUUUAUUAAAAUAGUAUUUAAAUGUUUUUUUUCGUCCCAUAAUUCUCUAUAUAAUGCUUCUUCCAAAACUAUCCGAGGUAAAUAAUAGUGUUACCCAAAUUUAACAUAUAAGAGUUUUUUUUUUUUUUUUUUGCGGUUACAUUAAUAUAUAAGAGUUUGAUUAGACACAUGUUAAAAAAAUAUAAAAACUAAAAAAUAACGCAUUUCGGAUAAUAUAGUUUGGGCUCAUAGUCGAAACUUGAAGUGGCGGGUGAUCUGUAUCCAUCUGGAGAAUUUAAUGAAAUGGGCCAUUAAGUUUUGUGAGUAAACAUUCCAAAAGAGAGAAAAAAUUGAUAAUCAAUGAUUGGGACACAUAUAUAUAUAUAUAUGGUCACGGGGCCACCGUCUAUCAAAUUUCCCACAAAUUGCCAACUUCUCUAGAUUGAUUUGCCACAAAAAUAUUGGAGAGGAAAUUCAUCCUAAAAUAUAAUAAAGUUGAAAUGAUUUCAUGCAAUUUCGUCUCUUUAAGAUUAUUAAGUGUUUUAAUACUUGUAGGAUGGACACUCUCGCUAUCGCAAUAAAAGAAAGGUUUAAAUAUGCUUUGUAUCCUUGUAUUUAUGAGUUUUUGCUUUUAGUCCCUAAAAAAUUUAUUUAUAAUCUAUACUUCCUCAAUGUCUAAGGUUUAAUUCCCUCUCCAUUAAGUUGUAGGUAGAACAAACAUUUUUUCCUUGCUUCCAACCAAGUGAUGACUUGGAGAUUCAACUAAAAACAAGCAAAGUCAUCGAUUUAACUUAAACCGAUCAAACCAUGCUAAUUCUUACUAGUUUAAUUGAAUAACUGAUUUGAUGAGAGGUUUUGACUGGUUAGUUGAUUGAGUCUCGAUACAACUGAUUGAUUCAGAACACUAAAAGUCACUAUGUCCAUAAAACUCAUUAAAAGUCCUUGUAGAUCACUUAUGCUUACUUCCAGGAAGGCCAUGACUAGAUGGGAAAAUUCAAGGUGGGAAAGGAGAACACAUUUUCUAAGAGAAAUUAAUAAGUUGGUUUAUUUAAUGGGCCUUUACAAAUACAUGGACACAGUCACACAGACCGAUAUUCUAGCGAAGUUCUGAAGCAAUUAAUCUAUGUGAUUGGUGGUAAUCUAAUAGUAGUAUAAUCGUUUUUUUUUUUUCGGUGAGGUAGUAGUAUAAUCUAGUAACAUGUGCUAUAAAUUUUUCCAGCAAUCGUAUUUUAAUUUCUUUUUAUUGAAAUAUAUCGAUUGGUGAAGAUACCUACCAAUUAAUUAACAUUUAAUUUGUGGCAGUGACAGUGUUAGUUUUGUGUCUGAUAUAUCUCUCACUAUUUCUUUCAGAUCUUCGUUGUAAUCAAAAUCAGAAGUUCUCAGCAGCUAGCUCAGCUUGGGAGUGGUGCGCAUUGGCGUGCCUGGCUACGUCAUCAUCUUCCUCGUGUGAUUUUAACCUUCUCUUCCUUACACAUCUUAAAGCAGCACUGGACACUCUGCACUCACCUUUUUCUUUGUCUCCUUUUUUUUUAUAGUAUCAUUUUCUUUCAGUAAAAAUUGAAUAUUUCAAAAAACUUAUAAUGCUAUUGAAUUAUGUUUUAUUAACAUCUCCACCUUAUCCAAAUGGGAAGAAAAAUAAGAGAAAUGAAUAAUAUAAUUUGUGAUUUAACUGGAAAUGCUAAAAGAGAUGAAAGAAAAAUAUUUAAAAUAAGAUGAAAGAGAAAGUGAUAUGUAAAUAUAUCAUUACUCAAUGUUAUCCUUCUAAUAAAUUUGAAAGUUAUUAUAGUGAAAAUGAAACAAAUGAGGAAAAAUAUUUUGUGAUAUCAUGUGCAUGCAUGUAAGUCUCAAAAUAGAAAUAUAUUGAUAAUAUUUAGUAGUUUACAAAUAGUAAGAAUACUCAUACGUCUAAUACCUUAAAGUUUUGGGUGAAAAUAUGAAAUUUAAUCAACAUAUAAUUUACUCCUUAAUCUAAUAUAUGAAGAUAAUAUAGUUUUAAACAUCUCUUUAACCCAAUAGUAACAAUAUAACUGGUGGAAAUGGUGAAAUAACUGGAGAAUGUUUGCACUACUGUACUCUGUUCCUUUUAGUACUACCAACAUUUUUGGGACUUACACCAGAUAUAAAUGUGCUAACUCAAAUAAAUUUGGCCACUUGUCAACUACUAUUAGUAAUGUAUUGCAAUUUCCAACCUUGUCCGGGGGAAAAAACUCCACUUUUUCUAUGGCUACGCAUUGUAAUUCCCUUCACCUUUACAUGAUGUUGAAUCUCAUGAAAAUUUGAUAGAUUAGUUUGUGCAACAACUGAAAGCUUAAAAGAAAAACUUUUUUAAAAACAUGAAGAAGCUUUGGUAAAAUUGUCUAUGAAAUUGAAAACGCCUUUACAAUUAUUUUAUAUAUCACUUUCUCAUAAACUUGUUCUACCUUAAUGAAAGUUCUUAGCUAGAGGCAGAGAGGAACAAACUAAUUAAGAAAGAGCAUUUGAGAGUGAGCACCUUAUGUAGUGUUGUAUGUAGAAUUUGGGAUCAGCUUAACUUUCCCAUAAAACUACUUAGAUUGAGGAUUAUUGUACUACUUUUUAUAAGACUUAUCUUAACGAUGUCUCUAGUUCAUAUGAAAUUUAACAGGAACAAAACAGUUUUCUCUCAUGAGAAACACAACAGUGAUUAAUUUGGGGCUGGAAUUUUGUUCCUUUUGGGUUCCACCCGGGAAUUUUGCAUGCAUACACGGACUGACACACAAAGACAGAGUUACAGGAUUUGAGUCCCUUUGCUGUUCUAUGAACACAAAAAAGUACCAUGAUUGAGUCCAGGACCAAUUAAGCGGAAUAGGAAUAAAGACCAACAAAAAUUUGCACCAAAAUGGAGUGCCAGUAAAUUAUCAACACCUACUACAAGCAGUUACACAUUUACAUGUAACACAACAGUAACUGAGUCAGAGGAGCUUCAUGAUCAUAGCCAGGAUAUGAAACUCAUUGAAUGUUGUGGGUGAUACCUAGGUUGGCCCCAUGAGACAAGGACCUCGUUUUCUUCCCUCAACCGAGUGGAUCAUGAAGUUUUUAAGGUUCAAACCAGAGAAAUCACUUGUGCACCAUGAUCCUUCUUAACAAUUUCAUAGGGCUUAUUUGAAUUUCUGAAGAUUGUUUAUUAUUAAUAAGGAUUAUUUUGAUCAUACUCUAAUCAAUAAUGUGAGAUUUCUAAGACUAACACAUUUCACUAAGUCAAUUGCUAAAAGAACUAAAACGUGUAAUUUGCACGACUAAACAUUAACUAAAUAACCUAUAUUUAAGAGGUAUUUAACAAACGAACUUAAGAUAAGUUAUGAUAUUAUAUUAGAAUUUGAAACUAGUUAUUCUAUCCAAUAGCUAUUUUAGCUAUAUCUUUACUCAAUCCGUACAAUUUUGAAAUUAUGAGUUUGAGCCCUGAAGUGACUUUCCGUGCAUAUUGUUCAAUUAGUUAAAUGUCAUCUGCUCAUAAGUCAAAACCGUACGUAGCACAUAGCGUUUUUCAUUAUUGUAUCUCCUUGAUCACAACUUUGAUUAUGCAGCAAAUUCACGCUACAAGGUUCUUCUCUUUUCCUUCCUGGGGUUGUAUAUGUUCUUUUUUGGGUGGGUCAGCGAAGCAAUUAAUUUGAAACAUAUUAUGGUGCGUAAGUUGAAGGACGAGGACUCAAUAGGUGCCAUAAUGAGAUACGACAAGGCUGCAUCAUGAGAAAGCGAGAGAUACAGUAUAUAGAUGGACGGCUCUCCAGCAAUUAUAUUAUAUAUCAAUAACAAAGGAAAUCAAUAUAGGCAAUGGGGUACACUGUGUUUUUCAUUUUCACUCUAUGAAAAAACCUCAUUUCCAAAAGGUUGCACUUCGUUUAUAGCACUUGAAGUCAGUUUUAGUAAAGAGAAUUAGAGCUUUAUAAGAAUUAAUCACGAUAUAUGUGAUGAUUGUGAUCUAUGAACCCCAAGUAUGAGCAUAGCAACUAGCUAGCUAGAUUACUAAAUGCAAAAGCAAGUAUUAUUAAAGUUUGUUUGCAGUAAUUAUCAACAAAAAAUUUUGUUUGCAGUGAUCCUAACAAAUACCUAAAUAUAACAGACUAAAUAUUAGCAUGCCACUUAAUAAUAAUCAUUUAAAAUCAAUUAUAUGAUUUUUACUCAACCGUCCUUACAUAUAGAUCAUCAACUAAUAUAGCUUUUACAUCAAUAGUAAUAAUCGAACACAAAAUCUUUAUCAGACUAUUUUUUUUAUAUUAACUUUAUAUUGCAUUGGACAUUUUUUAUUAUUUUUUAAUAUACACCGAGUCAAGCAAUCGAACCAGUGACCCACUGGUCCGACCAGUGACUCAGUACCCUGACCGAGUCAAUGACCGAGCCGAGUUUUAAAACACUGUAUCAGAGAAUUGAUUUGUCCAACUAAAGAAAUGUUUGAUGUAGUGCACUCAAUUAAUUUUUUUAUAGACAAAUUUUAAUUGUUAGUAAAUUAUUACAAAUUAUCUCUUCUAAUUAGAAUUCAAAUUCAAGCCUAUCACUUGCAAUUAUCUUUAUCUUAAUGAUGUACCAACCCACCCCACCCGAGUGCACUCAAUUGAUAACAAAUGAUUCGAUACAAGUUUUCUAAAGUCAUUAAUUAAUUGAUGUGAAGUAAAGUAUAAUAACUGAGGCACGUACUAGGUGUAUUAUGGUAACCUAGGAUUAGUCUUCAAUAAAACUUAUCUGAUUAAUGAAUACAUUGUUUCAUCUGUAACGGCGGCGGGCCUGUACUCCACGUGUAUGCAUUUUCUUUUGAUUUAUUAGCCCAUGUUUGGUUUAUCAUUUGAUCCCACUUCAAAUAUCCGUUUGUCGGUCUCUUCUCAUUUUCUUUUUGGUGCAUAGUCUCUUCUCAUAUCAACAUUGAUGAGUAUAUAACUUCACGUAAUUAUCUUUUUACCCACACUACUUGAUGUGUAUACGAUUAUGGAGUGAGGCCUUUUUUGUAAAGUCAAUUUUCAAAGAGGUAUUGAGUGGGUUUGUUUUGGCAAUAGUUGGGUCUUUGUUUUUGUACAUGUUUCUUUUAGCUUUUCCUCCACCUUUACACUUUUCUAUUUGUAUUGAGUUUGAAGUACCCUUUGUCUUUCUCUUUAAUAUAAUUCUUAUUGCCUAUCAAAAACGAUUAUGUAGUGAAAGGAAAACAAAUUGAUGAGACAACUACAUCCGAAUCACUUAAAAAGUGUUAAGUCUUGAGGUCGAGAAUGAAAAAUAACAAUGAUGGUAAUUCUUCAAGUUAGAAUGGUGCCUCCCCCAGUUGGGGAAAUGCUUCUUUGUUAUCAAACCACGUUGGGUGGACCCAUGAAAUGACACUCUUACAUGCAAAGAAUGUGGGUGUGUACUACGGAGUCCAUCUCUUAAAUGAAUAUAGGAUUUUAAGACUAUGAGACUGGGAUUGGAGGUUGGCUUCAUCAUGGAUACGAAGUACAACAACAAAGGAGGGUCGUUGGACCUUUUAACACAUCGUUUAAUCGAGCAGGGAAGGGAAAGCUUGGAUAUUAUAGCAAGACUUUUGAGCAUCGUGCUCGUAGUUUGAGAAGAGAGUCGCAGACUUUAGAUGAGACGUGGUAGAUGAAAGCAUGCCAACUUGUGUCCUAGGUUGAGAUGAAGGACUAUGGAUGUGGAACAGUAAUCGGUCAUGGAUAUGUAAUCGGUUGUGUGGACGCCAUGUAGUCGGUCGUCGUGGUGACGCAAUCAGUUGUGGAAAUGCAAUUGGUUAUGGAGACGCCAUUUAACUCAUCAGAUUGAGUGACACAAUUCGUUGUGAUGAAGCCAGUCUUGGAAAAGCAAUCAGUUACCAACCUUAUGCCAAUUAGUAUUUGUAGACGAGGCCUUUUGUGGUGAUUUCUUGAGGGGUUACAACGUGAGUGA
Molecule: long non-coding RNA, 124306 nt
Filed under: Lotus japonicus
Lineage: Eukaryota; Viridiplantae; Streptophyta; Magnoliopsida; Fabales; Fabaceae
Description: long non-coding RNA (LJAP_LNC002104)
Source: RNAcentral